AAAAAAGAUACCUUAUAAAAAAUAUCAUUUUUACCUUUGGUGGUUGGUAGGCAAACAGAUGUGUUAGGAGCAGAGUUUGCUAAUGUAAUUUUGCUUAAAGUGUAUUUGCAAUGAAGUGAUUUAUGUUUUGUUUGAGUAUUGAUGAUAAGAAUCCCAGUUGAACGAGUAAUACUAAUUACCAAAAGGAGUAUGAGCAACCUCUUGGAUGAGGUUAUAAAUAAAGUGAUGAAAAGAACUGCUUCACAAUUAACUGCAUAUUUCUUCUCUUUUUUUCUGAGCAGAGACCAAAACCGAUACUUGCAUAUGAACCAAAUAACUGAGCAUGAGAGGUGUUGUAAAAUACAGAUAUUGCAAAUCCCUGAUAACAAAUGAGCAUAUAGUGUUAAGAUCUUCUUAGAUAUUGAAGGUCUUGUCCUUUAAUUUGUUUUACUUAUUGUUUGAUGUGUUAGUUUGGCAAUCUAAAACACAAAUAACACAAUUAGUUUGGUGUUGGUCUUCCAAACACAAGGAAAUGCUUUAACUAUCAAAUAGUAUUUAGCUAAUAUUUUAUUGUUGUGGUGAUUUAAUAUCUUAUUUAAGGAUUGGGUUCAUUUUCCUCAUUUAUUUGUUCCAAAUUUGUUGGAUGAUUUUAUGGCUUAUGAAAAAGAAUCCAUAGAGUUUGUUAGUGUCCAUUAGGCUGUCAUCCAUAAAUCAUCAAAUUUCUGAUUUGAUUUAUCUGACAUUGUCUAUGCAAAGUUGCAAGUGACUCAAUUUACAUUUCCCUUUUGAUAACUUGGUAACCUCGCCUGUUUUGAAAUUGGAUUGGCAGCAUGAUAAAAUUUUGAUUUCUUUCUUUUUCCUUUUUCCUGGUGCUUAUGUUUUACAGUUUUCCUCAAAUUAUUUAUUCCUAACCUGAAAUUGGAUUGAGAGAUGGCUAUCAGGAAGUGCCUUGAAGCAACUGGCCAUGUUUGUUUGCCCCUAACCCCACACGAGUGGUGUCUUUCCUGCUAAAAGACUGGAAUUUUUUUGAGGUUCCUGAAAAUACUGUAAGGCGUACCAUGCAUGAAGAGUACUUUCACUACGUUUUCUAAUUUAUUUGUGGAGAAACCUUAGAUGUAGUUCCUUAAUUGCUUUGGUGUUCUUCAAUCAAAAUUGGACUUUUACUUUGGCAAUCUACGUAAUAAAAGUUUGCAUUAUAGGUCACUAAGAUGAAACUCUAAUUUUGAUUGGAGAACAACACCAAGAGCACUUAAAAAAUUGCAUCGAAGGGUCUCUUCUGGGAAACAGCUUAAUUUUAAGCAAUUGUUGAAUAAGUACUCAUCAUUAUAUGUUGUUUUUAUAAUCAAAGACAAAUAAGAUUAAGGUUGAAUUGUUUUCAUAUAUAUAACUUAUAAGUUGUUUUCACAAGUUAAAUAGGAAAGCUUAUUGAAAUAAAUUGAAAACAACUUAUGCAAAGAUCAUAAGCUAAGCCAUUUUCAUAAGCUUAAGCGCAUAUAUAAGUGUUUAUGUUACAAGUCCAAAUAAAAUAUAAAUGGGCUCUUCUAAGUUUUUUCCAUUAUAUAUAGGCGUAUCUGUUUACCUAUGUUAAUCUACAUUUUCGUUUUCUCCAUAAGGUUUGCUGUGGAUGCGCACUGCAGCAAUCAUGCAAGUUUGGGAAUCAAAGUGUAUGGAAAUGUAAAGAUGCCAAUAAUUUGGAUUCUGUGACUGUGAUGAAGGUUAUUACUCCAUAUGCUUUAGAGUCAGUGAACCCCCAACUGGUAGUGCCUGAUGAAGUAAAGAAGUCAGUAAAUUAAUUGCUGAAGGAGGUUGUGAAACUGAGUCAAACCACCUGAGAUUGCUUCUGCUUGACCACAUAUUGUUAUAACUUUUUCUCACAAAUGUAUGGGAAAUUGAGACACUCAUCACAGAUUCACAAGAGGGAAAAUUUGUGAACAUAAUCAGGCCUUGCAGACCAUUGUUGGAGAUUCUCUUUCUCUCUACACAAGCCUAGAAGUUUCAAAGUCAUGCUCAGGUAAAAAAAAGAGAAUUCAUAAGGACAACCUACCUCUCCUUAAUGCAGAAUUUCUCAUGAGUGACAACGUUUUCUUUGGAUAAAGUGCCUGUAUGAAAAUGACGAAGGCCAUCUUUAUGGGCUUUCAAUAGAUUGAAUUCUUAGUUCAUCUUAUUUUCAAAGAAUAGUUGUUUAUUUUUAUCAAUUUCUUGAAUGAAUUUUUAAUAAAUUAAGCAAUUUUUUUUUACAAAAAAUGUUACCAAACAUGCACUGCUAUGAACUUUGGCUGUUCAUAUUGGAAGAGGUGUAUCUAGUAGGUUGAGUGUUCCUCUUUUUGUUUGUCUUUUCAUUAUAGGCUGAGUUUUCUGAUAUGCCAAUCCAUUGAUUUUAACCCAACUUAUACAAAAGAUGGGUUGUUUAGGCUCCCCAGUCAAGAUUCUAAUCAAGUUUAGGAUUAUCCUGAAUCUGAUGCCUCUCAACAAAGUUUUAUUUUAUCUCUGUAAUAUUUAUUUUUCUCUCUUCGAUUCGAUCCUUUAGCCAUCCACUGCAAAAAAACAAACAAACAAACAUACCUUAUUAGGACAUGUUAUAUUUUGAUUAUUUUAUAGUGUCCUUUGAAGAAUGAACAUCUACCAUACUCCAUGUCUAUUUUUGCUUAAGCAUAUAAUUAUGGACUGAAAACAUAAAUCCAAUCAGCCCAACACACACUAAGCAAGACCAUCCAAAUUCAUGUACUAGCCUUCGCAUGAGGACAAAAAUAUAUGUACUCAAAACAAGAGCACAUGCACAAUUUUUCCUCCUAGUUUUUUUUAGUGUCUAAUAACAACACCAAGAUUUGAAUUUAGAACAUAUAAUAAAUUACUCAAACAUUAUUAUUAGGCCGACAAUAAUAUAUUAUAAUUUCUCUUCCUAGUCCCAACAUUGUUUCUUAUACAAAAUUACAUUCUCAAAUUUUUUGACGAUUUGGAACAAUAACAAAUUAAAUAUUUGCCUCUUGUAUAUAUCAUAUUAUACCAUAGGACCGACCAUGCACAUGAAGGCUAAUUUUGGAUAAAAGAAAGAAAAAAAAUGAAAUGUUAUUAGAAAUUUAGAACUUAGAAGAAGUUAGUAAAAGGAGGACAAGAAAAUCGGAAAGAUAUUGUGAUGACAUGAGGAAAGCGUAGGUGUAGCAUUUGGCAGAAGUUGGCGUUUGUCUGUUUGUUGAUGUCGGGAGAGGGAAAGCAAAAUAUGAAAAAACGCAUUGGUUUUCUUUUUCUACGCUGACUGGGUCUUUGGGUCUUUCUUCUCUUCACACCACUCUUUUGCACGUGCUUUGAUUCUUUUCGAGUUGUUCCAUGGGAGAGACUACUCUCACUCUAUUCUAUUGCUCCCAUUUCAUAACUUCUUCUUUGUUUACAAAACUAAUAUUUGUGAGAUGGUAUUUUUUUAUGGAUAAAUAUUAUUUUAUUAAUUUUAUUAGAAAUAUCAAUUAAGGGGGACUCAAAUUUGCAAUUUUUCUCCCAUUUGUUUUUCUUUUUCUAACCAUUGGAUCAAAUCUUAUAUUUCUUAUUUGUGAGAUGGUAGGUUGAGCAAAUAGCUCACAGAUGGUUGAAAUUUAUUCUACACAUUAAAGAGGAAAAUUGAGAGGUAGAGAUUGGCAUGGACUUUGAAGGAAGUUGAUUUUCAUUUUUCUAGUUUUAUAUUAAAAAGAAUAAUAAUUAACUUUAUAAUAGUAAGUAAUAAAAAUAAGGAUUUUACUAAACAAUGUUCAAAAAUUAAGAAGUGAAAGUUUUUAUUAUGAAUCAUAUACAAGGGACCACAAUUUUAUGUAUCCUAAUAAAAAAAAUUACUUUCUCCGUCACUACUCUUAGAAUAUUGAUUAGUAUUUGUUAAUAAAUAAUUCAAUGUUGAGUAAAAAAAUAUAACUGAAAAUAUUUUUUUCAUUAUUAUUAACUCACGUAUUGUCUAAGUAUGGUAAGUGUGAUUACUUUUAAGUCAUUUCUACAAUGAUUUUUUAUUGAUUAAUUAGACUAAUUGUGCAUUAUAGUGGUGAGGAGUGAGGUAGAUGCAUGAGGAAACUCUCAUUGUUAGUCAUUGUAAAAAAAAAAUGUAUUACAACUACAUUGGAGGAAUUUUUUUUCUUUUUUUCUGAAUUUUAGCCAUCCAAACAAUAUAUUUUUCUAUUUCUUUUCUCGUGCAUUUUAUCCUUGCUAUUUCUUUUUAUUUCAUUCCUUUCUAAAACAAAGUAUACGCGAUUGAUGCAUUUAAAAUAUCGUACCAAAGAACUAAUUUGUGAUUACCAAUUUCGAGAAAUUUUAAUGUUGUUUAAGUCUAAAGUUUGCAAGUUGUGUUUAUCAAGGGCACAAGACAGUAAUCCGUGCAUAGAAUAAAUUCUUAGGCAAUAAGGCCUAGGGGUAUGAUUUCAAUUGUACUAAUUUAAAUUCCCCUGAUUCUCAUUUUAUAUUAAUCCUAUAUUAAACUUCAAUUAAUGAUUUUUCCUUAGCUUCUAUCAACAAAAUGUCAUAAACGAUUGAUAAUCUUUUCCCAUAAUUAAAGUCUUAUUUGUUCAUUUAGGGAUUCAACUCAAAGAAAGCGUGAAACAUAGAGAGUAUGAUUAAUAGAAAUUAUUAAUCUAAUCAAAAGUUUAGAAAACGAGUUUGAUCAUACAAUGUCCAUAAACCCAAUUAUCCUAUAUAUCCACCAACUAAUUGUAGUAUGAUCGUUACUUAAUCAAUUGAUUCAUACUUGUAGAGAUUGAUCGUUUCUUGGCAAGAAUUAAAACAAUAAGAUAAUUCAAUUGACUGAAUAAAAUAAGAAUUCAAAUAAAUUAAGAAUUGAGGUUCAACGGGUACAAUUUACACCAUAACCCUAGUUAUGUAAUUUAGCUAGUACAUAAAAGUAAAAAAGGGAGAAAAACUGUAAACAAAUCUAGAUUCUCUCGUUCCUACUCUUCACGUCAUCCUUACUCCUUAUACUCACUCUUGUAGCUAUUGUUUCUCAGACAGAGCCUUCGAUUCUCCAAACCACAAAUAAGUCUCACCUUUACUUCCCUUUUCCUUUUAGAAAAAAUAUUUACAAUUAAGAAGCAGAGGGAACAAACACAGUUGUGCUUUGAGCAACACGACUGUGUUGAAAACACAAAGAAGAAAGUCUCAAAAUCAAACACGAUUAUGCUGAGAUUUGUACAAUUUAAUGAAACGCAUAACAAAUUAUCUUUGAAAAAAAGAAAAAACUCUAUUGAAUUUGCAUCUCAUUGACUUCUUCAAUUUGUGAUUGAGGGCUUGCACAAUUAAUUACAUAGUUUGUGAUUCUUAUUGUGAGUUAUGCAAGAUUUUGGAAAUCUUAAAGAGGAUUCAAACAACCAUGAUAAGAUUAUCUCUUGGAUUUCUUUAUAUGGUUCUUGGGUGAGAUAUCUCUAUCCUACAAAGUCAAGUAACUUUGUGUGCACAUUAAGAUUAUAGUAAAAACUCUCAAUUGGAUUGAUUGAGGAUCAAAUGUAAUUAUGUUGUGUAAAUUGGAUUUCUUCUAAGCCCUAAUCUCUCUUAAAUUCCAUUGAUUCUAAUUAACAGUUGACAUAAUCUUGAUUGAGAGUAAUUGAAUUGUUCAAGAUUGUAUUCGGUUGAAUUGAGAUUCUUGUAUUUAAUUGGUAUUGUUUUUCGUUAUUUUACUACACAAAUUUGGGUUUAUUCAUUGAAUGCAUUACAUUAAUUGCAUCAUUAAGGACAUAAAUGUUUCAUUGCACCACUAGUUUUUUUUUUUUAGGGAGAAAUUGUACGUACCACUAGUUAGGAACUUGGUUUUUUAGGCUGGACAUAUUCAUAUUCAUCAGUUAUUAAUUACAUUAUUAAUAUGAAUAUUUUAAAUUUCAUUCUAGAUAUAUUAUUAUGUAAUUUUAUUAAUAAAAAUAUUUCAUGAAAAUACAAUAAAGUUAAAUACGACCAUUGAUUAAGCAUUUUCUAUAUUCUUUAAAAACAAAUAAUAUAUUAUUUUCUUAUACAACUUUUAAAUAAUUACAAUUUAAAAGUUAUAAUAUUCUAAUACAAUUUUAUACUUGUUACACAGCUAUAACUAUUUAUAUUUUUAACUAUUUUUGAGACAUUUACUAUAGGAUUUAUCUAAUUCACCCAAGGUAAAAAUGAGAUUAAACCACUUCAUUUUUAAUAAUCAAUAAAAUUUAAAUAAUUAUCUUAUUACGAAUUAUACUAUUAAUGCAUUUACUAUCAUAUUUAAUACAUUAUUUUUUCUCUCAUAAAGCUAAAAUUUUCUAUAUGAUACGCAACAUGUUUUUGAUAUGAGAUACACAUAGCAUAUGUCAUCCAAUAUUUGUUUGUUAGCUUUGAUUUUGUUUGUGAAAACUGCAAUAGUUAAAAAAUAUUUCUCUGAAUUUUGUAAAGAAUAGAAUACUAAGUCACACGAAAAAUGAAUGGUUGAAUGAGUAUUUGUUUCUAUAUACAUAGAAAAAGAUAUUUUUAAUAGUAUUGACGAUGAAAAAAUCAUAAAAUAUUUUUAAAAUAUGAAAAAUGGUAAAUGACAAUUAUAAUUUGUAAAAAUUUAAAUAUUUUUCUAAAAAAGUAUUAGAAAUUAUCUCUUAUCACCAUUAAAAAAAAUCUGAUUCACCACUACUUUAGAUUAUGGAGGAAUCCAAUUCUUUGCAGCCAGAAAGACUAAAUGUAGUAUUGGGAAAAAUAUAUUUACACAUCUUAAAGGAUGUAGACACGUUGAGAGAUAUAUAGAAAGACAGGAAAAAUAAAUAAUUGAUAAUAUGAGAUAGCAAGCUAAGAAAAGAGAAUGAAAAUAAAUUUUGAAUGUCUAGAUAUUAGAGCUAUUGUUAUUUAUCGAUUUUGGUCUGCUUGAAUGAGAGAGAAAGUGGAACCCACGUGAAUGAGAGAGAGACACACUCCAACACGUGCGCCGAACUCCCUCACACGUGUCCCUUCCCUCCCCCAAUACGACGCCGUUCUGUUCCUUACCUGAGUUGUGUAUGUGCUUUCACCCCGAAUUGCGGAAAAGGUAAUAAUAAAAAUAAUAUAUAAAAUGUGGUGUAAUAAAUAUUAUUAUUAACAACGAAUAAUAUCAUGUGUGUAAAUGCAUCCUUGUGCAAGUGCUUUUUUGCGUGGUUUAUGUUCCGAAAAUACCCCUGGGAUCAUUUUCUGGUUGUCGUCUUCUUACCCGAAAUCGUGAAUUAUGUAUGGUGCGUCCAUCUAUCUAUCCAUAUCAACGAGGGCUCAUGGACUUUCAACAUCAGUUUGUGCUGUUCAUGUCAAAUAAGCGUGCUUUGUAAUAAUGCUACAUUUUGGCUUUUUAUCCCUCCUGUCAACUCCCAACCACAAAAAAACUAGGGCAAAGAAAAUUUGGAGAACAACAACUUGUACUACCUCACACACAUAUUGAAGAAAGACUAUCAUAUGAAAAUCAUCUUUUUAUAUAAAAAUGAGAAUGAUUAAUCUUAAUCAUUAAAUUAAAAUAAAAUAUUAACAUUCAAAUAUUUUAAAUUUAAAUUAAAAACUCAUUUAAUUAUAAAAUCUUUAUAAGAUUUAUCAAAUGAAAAGUUAAAUAUCUUAUAGAUUUAAUUUAUGUCAAGAUUAUCAUUAUAAUCACCAUCACCACCACCAUCAUCAUGAUCGUUUUUAAUAUGACCGUUGUUGCUGCUACCACCACUAGUGGUGAUGGUGGCGACGACGAUGAUGGAGAUGACGACAGUAAUGACGAUAACAAUCAUAUUGAUGGUUAUGGUAGCAACCAUGACAAUUGUGAUGGAAACACUCAUGACAGUAUAAUAAUUAUGGUGAUGAUAAAUUUGAAAUAUUUUAAAAUGUUAUAAAUUAUUCUUUUAAGAUAUUUGAUUUUCUAUUUGGCAAAUCUUAAAUAAAUUUUAUAGUUAAAUAAAGUUUUAAUUUAAAUUUAAAAUAUUUUAAUCUUAAUCUUUUAUUUUAAUAUAAUAUUUAAAAAAAUUUAUCCCCAUUUUCACGUAAGAUAAUUAUUCUUAUAUAACACAUCAUAUAUAUAUUGAUCACAUGGUAAUUAUAACUUUCAUAAUUACGUAAGACUGUGUUUAUGAUAUAUAAGUAAUACUAAAGGGAAUGUGUUAUUUUAUCCCUCCUGAUUAACGGGGCAUUUGUGUUAAAUCAUGUUCAUAUAAUAAAGUUGUACUGUAAUUAAUGCGUAUUAGAUAAAUUUGAGUUGGAGGUGUACUAAAAAUGACACAUGAUAUGCUUCUUAAUUAUAUUCGGACAUUUUACUUUCAUUAUUGAUGAUUCAGAGUUUGAGUUUAUUAUCCCUGAUUGGAUGUAUGACUUUUUCGUUUUAGUUACCUUGACUUUAAACUACUACUACAAGUUAAAGAUAUCGUUAACGUUUAUCCGGAUAUAGGAAAAACUAUGACAAUUAAUAACAGAACUUACGGUAAAACUCAAAAGCUGUGUUCUACUACGAAAGAAACUAAAAGAAGCUAAAAAAUGUACCCAAUUUCAAUAUUAGUUCAUUAUCUAGGUUUUUAAAAAUAAUAAAAAUGCUUUAAUUAAUUUCUAUUUUUUUCAUUUUACUAUAGUUUUAAUAUAAUUACUCAUUCUCAUAACAUUUAUUUAUUUUUACUUAUAUUUCUCAUAAUAUUAAUGAUGAACAAUAAAAUCUAUAAAUGAGUUAAUGAUGAUAUAAGAUUAAUUUUAUAAAAUUACUACUUUAUUUUAUCUAUUUAUUAUUAUUUUUUAUAUGUAUAAAAUAACUUAGCGACAAUUAUUUUGGAAUAAAGAGAAGGAGUAACAUAUAAUCCAUAUAUUAUUAGUUACUACAUAACUCUUAAUUAUUAUACCUCAAAAAACUCUCAAUUAUUAGUUAUAUUAUAUCAAGCUAAUAAUAUAAACCAUUUUCACAUUUAUCGAUUUUAGAAUUUUCUUGCAUUUUUUAUUUUUUAAAUAUUUUCUUUAUCUCAAUCCUAACAAGCAUAGUGUAAUUAAAAGGGAGUAUAGCAAUAAAAUCAUGUCACUCCACUUUUUGUGCUUCACAUUAACUGAAGCAUCCUAGACCAAACUAAUAUGAAUUGAGGAUUAUUAAUAGUUUAUAAUAUGUAUAAUGAUAAUUAUAAAAUCAACAUUUGUUCCUUUUUUUAGUGUUUAUAAAAUGUUUGACUCUUUCUUUAAUUUUUAUAUUUUUAUUAUCAAAAGACUAUUUUCAUACACAAUAAUUCUAACAAGUACCCGAGUUCGAUUUUUUUACAUAUAAGAAAUAAAGUAAUUCUAAAAAGUAUGGGAUACACCAUAAAGUACAGCUCGUAACAUUAUUGCUUUAAAAAAUAAUUGACAAUAUGAAUAUGCUUUAAGGAAAUAACAAUAUUUAUUAUAUUUAAAAUAUAAAAUUAUUUAAGAUUUAAAUUUAAAGUGAUAAUAUAUUAUAUAAUGCACCAUGUUGAGAUUGUAGUCUACCUUUUGGACUCAUUUAUUAUAAGUGGUACAGUGUAUUACUUUCCUCAAUUCAUGGACAAUAACAAUUUAAUUUUUAGAUAGAUAUCUACUUAAACAUGUUGACGAAACAUUAUAUUUUAAAAUUAUAAGAUUAAUUUGAUGACUAAAAAAAGAACGAAAAAAGAGAUGUUGUAAUUCAAAUCAAUUCAAUGAGGAAUAAAAAAUAUAAGAAUACUUAAUGACUUUCGAUCUAAUACUACGAUCUAACCUCCUUUCUUAUAUGAGGAUAUAAACAUAAUUCACUCUCGAUGGAUCAAACAUAAAAUAUUAUUUUUAUAUUGAUUCUUGAGAAUUUUUUGUGAUUACAAAGGAAUGGACAAAGAACAUGCAAGACUAUUUAUAAGGAAGGAACAAACGCAUUUCAAGCAACUUGACAAACAAAAGGAAAAAUCUAAAGCUAUGUAUAUAGUCCCCAAGGUUGUAUUUAUUAAACCUCAAAACGACAUGAUCUGCACAUGUGUAGUCACCCAAUGAUCACCUUUUUUAUGUCAUGCAUAAAUGCGAGCAUAAAAAAUGGAGGUAUCAUAAACAUUAAAUAUAUCUCAUCGCUGACAUCAUGGUAAAAAGCUCAAAUACGUGGUGAUGUUGAUAAACAUUUAUAUAUCAGACAAUAUGCAAAAAAUGAAAAAGACACUAAUCCAUAAGGCUAACUUAUGUUAGCAUGUUUUUGUCUCACUUGUCUUUCAACUCAAGAUUAGAGGAUUAUUUACCUUUUUGAGUUAACCAAUAAUUCAUCAUGCUUUAGCCUUAUUUGUCUUUUGAGACAAAGCUAAAGGGGUUUGUAUCCUCUUAAGUUUGUGGUUGACUUAUAACUCAACUUACUUUAGCCUUAUUUGCCUUUGGCUCAAGUGCAUGGCCAACCUAUUAAGAUAAAUUAUAAGUCAUAUAACCAAUUACUUUACUCAAGAUUUGGACAACAAUAAUGUGGUUUUUAGAUAGGUAAGUAGUUAACAAACUUGUUGAGGAUGUGACUAUAACAGAAUACCCCCACAAGGGAAUAAUUGUCCAUUAAAUGAUAUUUCAAGCUCUUUUCCCCUUGAAAGGACAAAUAUAACUCACUCUUGAUGGGCCAAACAUAAAAUAUUAUUUUUAUAUUGAUUUUUGAGGAUUCUUUUAUGAUUGCAAGGAGUUAAGAAUGAGAAAUGAACAUGUAAGACUAUUCAUAAGGAAUAAGUAAACACAUUUCAAGCAUCUCGAAAAUUGAAAGGGAAAAUCUAAAGCAAUUCACAAAGUCCCUAAGGUUGUAUUUAUUAAACCUUGAAAUGGUGUGACCUACACAUGUGCAUACACCCAUGGAUCACCUUUUUGUGGCAUGCAUUAAAUGCAAGUGCGGAAAGUGGAGGUGUAAAAAAUGUUAAAUAUAUUUGAUUGUUGACAUCACGAUACAAAGCUCAAAUACAUGAUGAGGAUGUUAAACAUUUAUAUAUCAGACAAGAUGCAAAAAUGGAAAAAGACUAUAAUAUAUAAGGUGUCACAUGUAAGCAUGCUUUUGUCUAAUUCACUUUUUCAGCUCAAGAUUGGAAGGCUAUGUAUGUACCCUUUCAAGUUCAUGACUGAUCUAUAACUUGGCAUACUUUAGGUUUAUUCACCUUCUAGCUUGAAGCUAAAGGAUUGUGUUUCUUCCCAGGUUUAUAGCCAGGUCAUAACUCAAAUGCUUCAACUUUCUUUUCCAUUCGGUUUGAGGCUAAAGGAUUGUGUAUCUCCACAAAUUCAUGGUUUACCUAUGAGAAUGAUCUAUGGAGAUGAAUAAUAAGUCAUAAAUUUGAUUACUUUACUCUGGUUAUAGACGAGAUACAUGUGAUUUUAAGUUAGAUAGGUAGUUGAGAAACAUCUUGAGGACAAAAUCAUAAUAGGAUACCCCGUGAGGGAAUAGCUGCCCAAUAAAUGAUAUUCCUACCUCCCUGCCCCUUGCAAAGAUGAAUAAAAUUCAUUCUUCAUAGGCUAGACAAAAAUUGUCUCCAAAUUGAUCUUGAAGGACUUCCCGUAAUCAGAAAGUGUGGAAAAUGAGAAAAAGACAAGACUAUUUAUAAGGAAGUAAUAGAAAUAUUUUCAAGCCUCCUGAUAAAUUAAAAGAAAAAACUAAAGUAAUGAUGUAGUCCAUAAAGGUUGUAUUUAUUAAACAUCUAAAUGGCGCGACCUGCACACCGUGUCACUUAGGCAUUACCUUCUUAUGGCAUGCAUUAAAUGCAAGUAUAGAAAGUAAAGGUAUCGUAAGCGUUAAAUUUAUUCCAUCUUUGACACCAUGGUACAAUGUUUGAAUACAUGAUGACACUGAUAAACGGUUAUACAUUAGACAAGAUGCAAAAAUGGGAAAGGAUGCUAAUAUAAAAGGUGUCAUGUGUUAGUAUGCUUUAGUCCCAUUCGCCUUUUGACUUAAGGCUAGAGGGUUAUGUACCUCUCUAAGUUUGUGACCCACUUGUAACUCAACAUGCUUUAGCCUCAUUCAUGUUUCAGCUUGAAGUUGAAGAAUUGGUUAUCCUCCCAAGUUCACAAUCAACUCAUAAAUCAACAUGUUUUAACUUUAUUUGCCUUUUGGCUUGAGGCUGGAGGAUUAUGUACCUUCUUGAGUUUAUGGUCGACAUAUGAUUGAGUUAUAAUAAGAUAUCCCACAAGGGAAUAAUUGCCUAUUAAAUGAUAUUUCAACCUCCUUGUCCUUUGUGAGGAUGAAUACAAUUUACUCUUGAUGGAACCAUACAUAAAUUAUUUCUAAAUUGAUCUUUGAGGACUUUUCUUCUUCUUAUGAUUGGAGAGUAUGGAGAAUGGGAGAUAAGCAAGGUUAUUUAUAAGGGAAGAUUCGAGCACCCUCUAAAGUAACUAAUGUAAUCACCUAGAUUUGUAUUUAUUAUACCUCAAAACAACAACCUCUACAUCCAUAGUCACCUAGGCUUCACCUUUCUUUUUUGUUACACGUAUUAAAUGUGAGUAUAGGAAAGCAAAUGCAUAAUAAAUGUCAAAUUCAUCUCAUCACUUACACCAAGGUACAAAGCUCAAAUACAUAAUGACACUGAUAGACAUUCAUUCAUAAGACAAAAUGCAUAAAUGAAAAAAAAACAUUAAUCUAAAGGUAUGACAUGUGUUAGGUUUCUUUAGCCUUAUUCUCCUUUUGGCUUGAAGUUGGGGGAGUUUGUACCCUUUCAAGUUCAUGGUUGACUUAUAACUCAACAUGUUUUAGUCUCAUUUGUCUUUCAACUCGAGGCUAUAGGAUUGUGUAUCCUCUUGAGUUUUUAAUUGACUUAUAACUCAACAUGUUUUAGCCCCGUUCACCUUUCGACUUGAGGUUGGAGUAUUCUAUAUCAUUUUGAGUUCAUAGCCAACCUAUUGGAUUGACCUAUGAAAAUAAAUUAUAAGUCAUUCAGUCUUUGUUACUUUACUUGGCUUCUGGGUGUGAAUAAUACGAUUUUUAGAUGGGUAGGCAGUUAAGAAAUAUGUUGAGGAUCAUUGUAAUAAAUUAUUUCCAAAUCAAUAUUUGAGGAUUUUUCGUGACUGGAGAAUGUAGAAAGUAGGCAAUAAACAAGGCUAGUUGUUUGUGUAGGGGGGGACAAACACAUUUUAAGCAUCCUAACAAAUGAAAGGAUACAUAUAAAGAAUAUAAAGGCAUCAUAAACAUCAAACCUAUCCAAUCAUGAUAUAUAUAUAUAUAUAUAUAUAUAUAUAUAUAUAUAUAUAUAUAUAUAUAUAUAUAUAUAUAUAUAUAUAUAUAUAUAUAUAAAAAAAGAAAUAGCGUGCUUUACCCUCGCUCUCUUUUGGGCUCGAGGGAGAGAGAUUAUGUACUCUUCAGAGUUCGUACUCAACUUAUAACUCAACAUACUUUACUCUCUUUGCUUCUAGUCUCAAGGAUGAAGGAGUAUUGUCCUCUUGAGUUUGUGGUUGACCUAUAACUCAACAUGUUUUAGCCUUAUUUUCUUCUCAGCUCAAGGCUAAAGGAUUAUGUAGCUUCCUGACUUUGUGUUUGGCCUAUAACUUAACAUGAAUUAGACUUAUUUGCUUCUUAGUUCAAGGCCGAAGGAUAAUGUAUCAUCCUUAAUUCAUGAUUGGCCUAUAACUUAACAUGCUUUAGUUUUAUUCACCUUUUAACUUAAGGUUAAAGGAUUAUGUACCCUCCUAAAUGUAUGAUUUGACUUAUAACUCAUUAUACUUUAGCCUUAUUCGUUUUUCAACUCAAGGCUAGAGGGUUAUGUAUUUUCUGAAUUUUGUGAUCAACUUACAAAGACAAAUAAUAUAUCCAUAUAAUUGGUUACUCUACUCAAUUUAUGGACGAAAAGAUUUUUUAAUAAUUAUUAUUAUUAAAGUAGUUGUUAAUAAUAUACACUCUUAAUUAAAUAUAUCAAAAUUAUUUCUGCUUAAAAGUGCCUUUACAACUUUUAAUAUUUUGUUCGUUCAUUAAUUAUUUUUUAGACAUAAUAAUUGCGAUACUACCUCUACAAUUAGGAUGGAAAUUAUUAGAAGGACAUCUAAGUAUUUUAUUACUUAAUAAAUUAUGGUUUUAUUUUUAUGGUAACAAAUUAUUAUUUUAUUUUAAAAUUAAAUUUCUGCUUCAAGACACUUUUACUUUUUUAUAUAUAUAUAAUUAGCCUAAAAAACUUAUUAUUAAGCAUUAAAUUAAUAAUAUUUAAAAAUUAAUUCAAUAGAAGUUAUUGUUAAAAAAACAAGUGGUUAUAUUUUCAUAUAUUAAAUACUAUGACAAAAAUUAAUCUUUACAGUAAAAAUCUUUUACAAAUUUUGAUAGGAAAAAAAACAUUACAUCAUCAAAUAAUAACUUACAGUUGAAACCUUGUCUUUCUCUCCGCUUAAGUUUAAACUUUAAAAAUUUUACGUACUUCAGUUAAAUGAACUAAAACUAACUUAAUCAGAGUCUUACUUACAGUUUAAACCUUGUCUUUGUCUCCCCUUAGCAAUAAGCAAUUAGAUUAAUAUGAAGACGUAGACAUUAUUAAAGUAAAUUUAUAUAUUUCGAUACAGUCUUUUGUAUAUACACAAAUAAUGAAUCAAAUUCCUAUCAGCUUAUGAAAUCCAAAAAAAAUAAAUGCCCGUGAUUAAUUUUUAAUAAAUUUUAUUAACUAAUAUUCUUAGAAUAUUGAUUAAAAAAUUAACAGAAAAAACAUUGACGGUAUAAAUGAUAAAAAAACGUAAAAAAAUAAUUAAUAGCAUAAUUUUUUAUUUUAAAAUUUGAAUAUUCUUAAAAAACUUGUUAACAUUUGCAUUUUUAAAAUUUAAUUUAAAUUCUUAGUAAGAUUCCCCGACAAAUUCGUUUAGUUUACUAGACUGGCAUGCAGAUUAGAGAAGGCAGUCAACCUUAACACGUAGUCGAGUCACGCACGUACGAAAAUCCCACUCCCCCAUACUAAUACAUUUCACAUUCUCUCUCUAUCUAAAUCCAGUGGCACAUCCGUAAAUAAGCCCCAAAAGCAAGCCCAAUUCCCUCUCCCUCAACGUAUUAAGUCCACCUUCUCCCCAUUCUGCACACCCAACACAAACCCACUUCCUCUCUUUUCCGGCCACCACCCCGCCUCACUCGCCUAGAUCUGCUCAGAUCACAAUCCCAAACUUCUCAAAUCCGACGUCGUUUUACCUCAGCUUAUAGAAACACUAACAGAAACGAUUUCCUUUCCUCGAUAAUUCGCUUACUCGCGCUCUGUUUCUUUCUAAUUAACCUUCGUGUUCGCGCGUGUGUUUGUUUCUCUCUUUUUGUUGUUUUUGGAGCUUCUUUGAUUUUUCCGGCGACAAGAGAAUGACGUCCGGCGCGAGGCAGCCGACGUGGAAGGAGCGGGAGAACAACAAGAGGCGGGAGAGGCGGAGGAGAGCUAUCGCGGCGAAGAUCUUCUCCGGCCUCAGAAUGUACGGAAACUACAAGCUCCCGAAGCACUGCGACAACAACGAAGUUCUCAAGGCUCUCUGCAACGAAGCCGGCUGGACCGUCGAAGCCGACGGCACCACCUAUCGCAAGGUAUUAUAAAUUUGAGGACGAAACUUAGAUACAAUUAUAUAUAUAUAUAUAUAUAUAUAUAUAUAUAUAUAUAUAUAUAUAUAUAUAUAUAUAUAUAUAUAUAUAUAUAUAUUUUUUUUUUUUUUUUUUUUCUGUCAUCAGAAUUUCGGAGUUUCACCUCGAUAAUUCGCGAAAUAAUUCAGAUGAAGAUUUAGUUGUGAAUUGAACUGAAUCUAUGUUUUGAUGUGCAAUUUGAGAAAUUUGGCUUGAUUUUUUUAUGAAUUUGGAUUUUUUUACUGAAUUUGCUAGUUUUUUUUUUUAAUGUGGAUUGUUUUUGGUGGCGUGUAUAUACGGUGUCGUUUUGGUUUAGUUUAAUGGCAUGGCACAUGCUACUGUUGGUGGUGGGAAUCAAAAGGACGUGAAAGGCGCAGGGAGUUACGGAAAGAGUGAUGCUGUCUGAUUCUAUUAUUAUUAUUAUUAUUAAAAUUAUUGCUGCUGUGUGUGUUGUGUGAAAUGUGAAUGUGUGUUGUCUUUUUGGUUGUGAAUUGUGUGUGUGGUGUGGGGGGGUUAGAUCUGCGUUUUUUACUUUGGGGCGUGAAAAGAUUCUCUGUAUCUCCGUGGUGGUGUUUUGAUGAGUCAUAAUGAUAAUCCUCGAGAGAAACCUCAGGGGGGGCAUAGAUCUCGAGGGGGAGAAAAAAAAGAGAAAGAAAAUGGCCGUUAUUAUGGUUUUGGGGGGUAAUGGGCAAUGGAAUUGCCAAAAGUUUCUUAGCUGGGCCUGGAAUGCCGGAAUUCUGGGAAUUGGUAGGGGUAAAUGGGUAAUUUCGUGUGUUUUUAGGUGUCUGCUUGUUGUGCUUGUUGUUGUAACAUGACAGAAGCUUUUGCAGACAUUGCGGUGUACUCUCUGAUCUGGAGGGUACCUUUUUUACUCAGUUCUCGUGAUUUUUUCUUCUUUCUUAGGGGGUGCGGUUGCGUUUAUUUAUUUUUAUGCAGUACCUUUAUGUUGAUGACGCUCUCACACUAUUUGGAGAGACGGUAUGUUUUGAUUCACCAGAUUUGUUUGUGCUCUGUAUUUGGGUUGCGUUACAAUUUUUAUAUAUAUAUAUUUUGGAAAAAAGAGGGGUGGGUGAGUACGUGUGUGUAAAGGGGCUUAUUCUAUCUUUGGUAAAAGUGGAUACAAAAAUUAAUGAGAAUGGCAAGCAAUCCAAUUUCAUAUAAAAGAAAGCAAGCAACUUUUUUCAAUACUUAGGAGGUAACUUAUUAAGUCAGUUCUAAGUUUUAAAUGCUGUAUUAGAUGCUGCCUACAGAAUUGAUAUCUAGUUGGAUUAUACUAUACUUUUAAUUUAAUGCACAUUACCAUAAAAGUGAGAUCAUAUUGAUAUUCUGAGAAGUAAGAACACUUUUGUGAUGAGUUUUAGGUUGCAAAAUGGUUUUAAUUGAAGACAGACAAAAUUUGACGUGUUGGAUUAGGCAAAAUUGAUGUAAAGAGAGUUAACGUUUUCCAACUCUGACAGCUGUAGGAAUAUUUGUAAAGAUGGCUUGAUAUCUGUUUCUAGUAAGUGAUCUGUUGGUUGGUUGUUGUUUUUGUUGAUGCAAGUUUAAUAAAAUGCACUGAUUCAUUUAAAAGAAAAGAACCUCAUUCCCUUAUGUAGAGAUAUCAACUCUUAGUUUCCUAGUUACCACAAAUGUAUAAUUAUUAGUGGACCAUUUAUAAACCAUCUAAGUCCGUUUCUUUGUUUCUAUGCCGUGAUUGUUCUCUAGCUAGCUAAGAUGUUAGUCACCAACGUUUUUGUUAUUUUUUUUUUGUAACAUGGGAAAAUAGCAAACAGAGAAAAGAAAGCAAAUUACACUAACAAACGAGCAUCCUGCCCGACAACAUUUUUGCUUUUAUCGCUAGUUAGUUAAUUCUCUCCAUCAUCUAUAUUUAUUUUUAUACCUUCACUGGUGGAAUUUAAGCAAUGGUAUAAUUUUCCACUGAAAAAAUUUACUUCAUGAUUUAAAAUUAGUUUUGUUGGAUAGGCUUGUUUUCUUGAUUGUUUAUGGGUUUCAUGCCACUGGCUUAUAGUAAGGGUGCUACAAGGUCCAAUAAUAAGCAGUUGCUUUUCAAAUUAGUCCCGUGUAAUACAUUUAUAUGUGUGAAACAGAGAUUUAAGGACAGAAUUGAUGCCUUGUUGAAUGGAAAAAGGCUACAUUGUUGUUUAUAGCCAGUGGAUCCAUCUAGUUGGUAAAAAUAUCUUGGUUUUACAAAUGUUAGUCAUUUGGAGACUUGUUAUUGUAUAUGUUGACUCUGAAUUAUUAACAAAAAGAUUUUUUAUAUGAAGGGAUGCAAGCCUCCUGUUGAACGCAUGGACAUAGUAGGUGGUUCUGCAGCAGCAAGCCCGUGCUCAUCUUACCAUCCAAGUCCUUGUGCUUCCUACAACCCUAGUCCAGGCUCUUCUUGCUUACCGAGCCCUCGUGCAUCCCCCUAUCCUCCAAACCACAAUGCUGAUGGAAAUUCUCUCAUUCCAUGGCUCAAAAACCUUUCAUCAGGAUCAUCAUCAGCAUCCUCUUCCAAGCUUCCGCAGCUGUACAUUCCAAACGGCUCCAUCAGCGCUCCUGUCACUCCUCCAAUCAGCUCUCCAUCGUCUCGAAAGCCCCGAAUCAACGCUGACUGGGAGGAUCUGUCCACUCGUCCGGCAGCGUGGGGCGGACCUGCAUACACCUUCCUGCCCUCUUCAACUCCUCCUAGCCCCGGUCGCCAGGUUGCUGAAACAGAUUGGUUUUCCAAGAUCAGGAUUCCUCAGGUAGGACUAACACCAACUUCUCCAACCUUCAGCCUGGUCUCUUCCAACCCAUUUGGCUUCAAGGAAGAUGCUAUGGGUGGCAGCGGUUCCCGCAUGUGGACGACACCAGGGGCAAGUGGAACAUGUUCUCCAGCUGUAGCUGCAGGCUCUGAAAACACUUCUGACAUUCCAAUGGCUGAAGCAGUUUCAGAUGAAUUUGCCUUUGGAAGCAGCUCAUCAGUUUUAGUGAAUGCCUGGAAAGGGGAGAGGAUCCAUGAAGCUUCUUUCGGAACAGAUGAUCUUGAGCUCACUCUUGGGAGCUCAAAAACCAGGUAGCAAGAAUAUUUGAUGAAACAGGGCAAAAAUUAUGCAUAUUUUUUUUAUCUGUUGGAAUUUCAUGUCUUUUGAAACAAAAUUUGAACCUAAAUUUGUUCUUUUUGCAGGCUACUCCAUAAGUGAAUAGUCAAUGGUCCCUUCAACGACAAGAACUUUGACUCUGUUUAUUCUGUAGAAAAGGCUAGAGGAGGGAAUUAAGAUGAGCAGCAAGUAGUUGCUCUUUACAUACCAGAAAAAAAUAGCAGUUUAUUUUAUUCUUUUAUUUUCUCUUAGGUUUUAUUGGUUCCUAAGUUAUAUAUACAGCCUUAGCUAGGUCUCGGGUGGUUUUCAACCAUUUCAUGUGGUCAAUGUCUUGUUAAAACUUUUAAUACUCUGGGAAAGAUCAUAUACAUGUAUGGAUUGGCUUGGUUUGAUAUUGAAAGGGAAAAAUUACUCGAUUUCAACUGUAACUGAAUGAUCAAGAAAGUUAUGCAAAUUCCAACUGAAUGGGCCUACAAAAUAUCUCUUCUCUCACUUUUAUGUUUUUAUGAUUUUGUUUCUCCCCAUAUGGCGACAGAUUUUAUCAUUUUGUAGGCGUGCUUAUCAUUUUUUUGUAGACUUUGAUAAAAUAAAUAUGAUUGCUUUGCUACCGGUAUCUUUCUAUUCUAAAUCAAUAAAAAAAAAUAUUUGUAUGUUAAAAUCACAUUAUAAAUGAGUUAGAAUUUAAUUUUAAUGGUAUUUUAAAUUUUAUAGUUGUCAAAUUAAGGUUCAUUUCAUUUUUUUUACAAAUUAAAUAUUAAACAUGAAAAAAAAUAUGCAACUAUAGAUGGAAUUGGCAACAAAAAUAAUCUAAAGGUCUGUUAAGAAUAGUCCCACAUCGGGUAAUUCAUGAAUAUGAUAAGUGCUUAUAUAGCUGGGUAGACCACAUUCUUAUGAACCGGUUUUUAAGGGGACCUUUCGGGGUAAUUCAUGAAUAUGAUAAGUGCUUAUAUAACUGGGUAGACCACCCCCUUAUGAACCCCUUUUUAAGGGGACCUAUUCUAAACAAAUAAUUCAUAUUACUCAAAGUAAAUAUUUCAAAUGCAUUUUAUAAUUUAGCCAUUUAGGUGUCGUUGAACUUUCCUUAAAUGAAAUGUAAAAUUUUAGUACUAGUUUAUAAUGAUCACGGGUGGAGCAGUGAGCUACAAUACAAUACUUAACUACCUUAUCAGAGAUUUCCCUGAAACGGGAAUAUGGCUCUGUCCUCUUAGGAUGGGUCUAUUUUUCGAACAAUUUUUGCUAUCCUUUGACCCUGAUCUUUGAUAGCAGCCAUUUUUGGUUCCAGUCAAUACUUGCUCUAAUCUAACUACGCCAAUUUGAGUGGCAGCCCUUCCUAGAGUGAAAGAGCAAUGUCCUUCACACACUCAUUGUCACCGAAAAGCUCUCACUAACUGGCCAAUUAAAAUUAAAUUAAAAAAAAAAAAGCAAAGUGCUUACUCCUAUCGUGCUUCUAGUCAAUAAUAGAUCAGAAUUGAACAGGGUUUUGCAUGAGAUCAAAUUCACUUUGUGCAGGAAGUGCUUUUCCUUUUUUCUUGAGUGUGACUGUCAUUUUCAUGUAGUAAUUAAAAGGAGCAAGGAUAUAUGGUGAGGCCAAUAGAGAAAAAGGAACAUACAAUAGAGAAAAACAUACAUGGGUAGUGAAGCUUUUCAAUUUCAUAAUUUAGAGAAGAAAUAAAAAUAAACAAAAAACAAAAUUCACUCCAUACUUCCAUAAUAUCUACUGGGCAACCACAUGAGGUAUUCAACAGGCUUUAUAUGUAAUGAGGCUAUGAUACAUGAAGAGGAGGAAAGAAAGAAAAGAGCAUAUUACUAGUGGUAAAGGCUAAGGUGAACCACUUGAUACAUGGUCCAUUAUGGACAAUAAAGUUUAAGCGUUAGAUUAAUCUAUGUCAAUAGGUUAUACUAUGAGGCUUAUACACCAGACUAUAUCCCCCCACUCUAUCUCUCCCUAGCCACCACUGUUCAUUCACGUUGAACCAUCCACCUCCGCAAUGAGCCACAAACUAACCCGUGUUUGAAGUGGAUCUCUCUCUCUCUCGCCGGAAGCCACCAAUGCAUCUCUCUCUACAGCCUUUGUUCUCACUCUCACGCGCGUCGCUAGGACAUGGCCGUCGGUAUAAUAGAGAAGACAUCAAUUUCAAUUUUCAUAGCUUUUGAAAUGUUUAAAUAUGUAAUCUUUUUCCUUGUUUUUCAUCUGGGUUUUCAUUUAUCAUAGUUUUCACUGGAAGUGAAUCCUACCCAAUGAUUUUAAUGGCAAUAACUUCCAAGGGGUCCAUUGUUGAUGUAGAGAGAGUUAGAGAAGGAAAGAGCGUUGUAUCGACGGAAAUCAUUCACUGGUUUUCUGAAGAUGUCGUUAGAGUAGUUUUUGAAGGAGUUCAUUCCAGGGAUCUAUCAUUCAUUGGUUGCAGAGAGAUCGUAGGAGAAGAGGGUGGAGGUGGCAAGGGAACAAACAAGGAUAUAUAAGAAUCCAUCAAAGAGUGUUCAUUUCUUUCCACCACAAGUCUUGUAGAUUCCCAUAUCUGAAAGUUAUAAUAUUUUCCCAGACUGCUCAAUGAUCCGUUGCUAAUUAAGAUUGAAAGAGUCAUUAUUAUUUAAAAUAUUGAUAUUACUAAUAUUAUAAAUGUUUCAUAAAUAAUAAUUAUAAACUAUUCAACUAUAUUUACAUAUAACGAAUAACAUUAAUAACAUGAUAUUUAGUAUAAAAUAAACAAAUAUUAAUAUUCAAAAUAUCAUAAUAUAAAUUAUAGUUUAAUUUUAAUGAUGUGAAAUAUUAUUCAAAUUGAAAACAAUGUUUUUCCAUAAAUAAAUUUUACUUAUCAUCAAUAAAAUAAAAUAUCAUUUCCAUUAAAUAAAUUAAUAUCCUAUUUAUAUUAUAUAAAAUUUUUAAAAUAACUUAAAGUUAAGUAUUCACGCAAAAUUUUAAUACAAAUUUUCGUUGGUAAAAAAUUUCAUGGAUACAAAAGUAGAAACUGAAUUUUUUUUAUCAAUGUUAAUUGUUGAUUUGUUAGUUUUUUUAUUAACAAAAGGAAAGAUUAAAUCUAUAACUUUUUUCCUUUUUUUUAACUAUCAAAUCAACCUUAAAGAAGAAAACUAAUAAAGCCAUCAGAGCAUCCACAUGGUUCAUUACUUAAAUAGAUUAUCUAAUUUUUAUAAGUAUGUACAAUACAUUGUCACAUAAAUUUAAGUAUUCUACAUAAAAAUUAAUUCUAACGUUUAGAUUGUUAAAAGUGAAUGUUUAACUUAACUUUAUGGAAUACUAUAAUAUAUGCUAAUUUCUCUCAUUCAUAAUAUAAAAAAGAAUAUUUUUUUAUUUUUAACAAUUUUUUAAACAACAUUAUUUAUAUAAACAAACGUAUUUGAAUAAGUAAUGUCAAGUCAUGUGCUCCAAUAAUAAAUUUUGUUAAACAACGUUACUUAACUUCAAACAUCCUUAUAAGCAAUGAAGAUGGCCUAAAAGCUCAUUGCACAUUCCCUUAUCAAAACUCAAACUUUAAGAUUCAGAUUUUUCUAACUUUUUUAUAAUAUAAAAUUAUCAAAUUUUUUUAACAUGCACUAAACACACACUAAAGAGGUGGUAAAUACAUGUGCCUCUAUUAGAUCAAGGUGUGAAACUGAGCUGACCUAGGUCAGGUCAAAUUUUUAUGAGUUGCAAAUUUUUUGCGUCAGCCUAGCCUAAUGACCAUUUAAAAAAAAUUAAAUUUAUAUAAUUUUCACAAUAAAUAAAAUCAAAGUAAUAAAUAAUAUCAUACUCAAUUGGUUCAAUUGCUUUCAUGCUUACAUUCUAUAGAUCUAACCCAAUCCAUUUAGUUUAUGUUUGUUUUGUCGUCAAAAUCUUGUUUGCACAAAUUGCGAGGCACCUAAACGGAAAAAAUACAAAGGUCUUGUUGUGAGCAAAUUACAUUUAAGGAUUUUGGAAGGGUAUCCAAACAUGCUUUUAGUAGGAUCGAUUUAAUUGGUUCAUUUUAAGUCUAUAAUUCAAAAUUUUACUCCAAACUUCGCUUAUUUAUAUAUAGGUUUCUGGAGUAAGUUUAUUAUAGACCAAACUCAGUUUAACACCAUGCACUAGAAUGUUAGAGAAAAUUUGGUAGACUAGAAAUGAAACAAUGGUAGGGGUCGACAUAGAAAGGUGGGAUCAACGUGAAAGAGGCUCUUGGAUUGGAUUGAGGACCCUCCAUAGUGCAUAUAUUCUCCCCACAACAAUAUAUCAAAUUAUCAAUAGAUAAAUAUUAAGCACAAAAAAAUAUAUCAAUAGAUAAUAAUUAUCAUCAUUCGACCUUUAUCUUUCAUUGCUUUGCACCCCACACAUCAUCAACGUAGAUAACGGUCCGUUUUUAUCACGUGCGCCGAACUCUAACACGUGCACCUUUCAUAUUUCAUUUGGUCUCCAAUUUUUUUUAGGAAUGAAUAUCCAUUUUAAACAUGUAAAUGUUAUCAUUUUAGUGUUUUUUUUUCUACCCAUGAUAUUGAAAUGAAGUAACCUCACAAAAAAUAAUGACUAAUUUUUAUUGGAAACUUUGAGCGUAUUAUAAGUUGUGUUUUUUUUUUUUAAUUAUAAAGCUUAUAAAAUAUGGUCUUUAAUGUAUUUUUUUUUAAUUUUAUCAAUGGACUAAUUGGGUAUAAGAAAAAUUACAUAACAUAAUAAUUCGUACUUUGAUGUGAAAAACUAUUGAAAGGCUAGGUUUAUAUCUUGUGGUGUAUUUAUAAUUGGAUGAUCAAAUUAUCACACUUAAUUAUAUUAUUAAAUAUUAAAUACUUAAAUAAGUUUUUAAUUACUGUAAGUAUGACUAAAUUUAAUUUAAGCCUUCUAAAUAUUUUAUUGGUUUUUUCUUAUAAAUUUAUUUUCCAUUCUUCUUAAAGAAAAAAGGUCUUGUAACCAUUAAAGACUUCUUCAAUUGCGUAAACUCGAAAAAAGCAUCAACUUAUAGCCAAUAAAUCUAAAUCUAUGCCACAAUAAAAAAAAAAAAUCUAAAUUCUAUGCCUUUGACAAUUUGUUAACAAUGGUUUCUUGUACUAGUAUUUCUGUUUUGAUUUGACGAGUAAUCUACUACUCAAAUUCGAUCCUUAUCAUUAACUAGCAAAUUCAAAUCUAAAACAUAUAUACAUUUGUCAACUAAUGUUCUUUGAUCUUACCAAAAUGUUCAAGCAAUUAUCUUUCACUAUAACCCUGAUCCCAACAGGUGGCAUCAAUCCAAAAAUAAAAUAACUAAAGUUUAUACUUUUUUAAUAUACAAAACUAGGAUUUCUAAUAAAGAUAGGUGACAAUUUAUUGUUUCUCUAUGUCCUAAACCCCUCUUUGUUGGGGUUAAGUGAAUUUUUGUGUACCAUAUGGAUUUCUAAAUUGUGUCUUUUAAUGAAAGUUUGAUUUUGUUCUUUGCAUUUAUAAUUUUUUUUUCCUUAGUGCCUCUUAAGACUUCAUUGCCGUUAAAGAGAUUAUUUUUAUCUUUAAUAAAUGAAAAUUUGUUCUACAAACAUAUGUUAAGCUAAGAAUAAUUAUUAGAUGCUUGGUACCGCUAUAGAUUUCUUAACUUAGUGUUUGUUUCUCUUUAAAUUGCCUAGGAAAUUAUGUUUUAAAUAAUAAAUUAAAAAUUUCGGUAAACAAAGUAAGAAGUCAAAUUGAAUUAAAACUCAUAUUGAGAAUUCAAGGUAAAAUAGAAUGAACCCUAACACUUUCCUAUUUGGUUUAUUUUACAUUCUUGUUUUUUUAUUCUCUAAAAAAAAUUCCAAAAAUAUUUUUUUAUUGUGUUUUUCAAAUUUAAUUAAUUUUUUCUUAAACAAAAUCAAAUCCAAAUUGUCUGUUGUGAUUUGCAUUAUUCUCUUUUGUAAAAUUACUAGGUAUGAAUUAAGAUAUUCGUGUGCCGAAAGCCAAUAACUGAUUUGCCAAGUUCUUAUGGAAUGUCUUAAAUGUCAUGUAAUUAAACAUAUAUAAAGAGUUAUUAUACUAAUUCUUUAACAUUUUGACUUCACAUACUUCAUAAGAAAUCCCGAGGCCAUCAACUAAAUGUGUGUUCGUUUCCAUUUUCACUCAACACACCAACUGGUGGUCAGCAGAAGGAAAAAAAAUCCUUCUUAUAAUCAUCUAUUGGGAAGUCAAAUUCAUAUGAACAUUUAUUUUUUUCACGCUUGUGUUGGUUUAUAUCUAAACCAAACACAUGCAUAAUAUAAGCCCCAUAGCGUUCAUUAUAACCAAUCUUUUCAUUGGUGUGACAUUGGCUCUAUCCUUAACCCAUUUGGUAUAGCUCUAUCCUUAACAUCUUUUCAGUAUCAUAAUUGACUUCUAGAUUUCAAAGCAAGCAUAUGGUAUCGGUUGAAUAAAGGUUAAUGAAAAUGGAAUAAAUAUUUACUUUAACAAAAAAAUUGACUAUAUUAUUAACUGGUCUUUUUGGUUCUUUUCUUUUGCAAUUUUUCUUCCAGAUAUCUUUGUAUUAUUUUUUUCCAUCUGCGCAAUGAAAAUUGCCUCUUUUCUGUGUUGUAGGCCAUGCGUGUUCUUCUCCAAACACUAAUUAAAGGUACCACGGUUGGUGGGAAAGAAGACAUGUAAAAAGAAAUUGGUCCAUGUCCUGAAAGGAUUCAUUUUGUGGCAGCACCGAAUUACCCCUUUCUCAUUCACAAUUCACAAUUGAAGAUAAAGUUUAUAUACUAUUAACUCUUUCAUCUCUUCAACUUUCUAAUUUCUUACUGUAAACUUUAUAUAUUACAUGUCCAAUCUUUAGUACAUUAAGGGUGUGUAAAGAUCAAAUAAUCCCCAUCCAUUAUUCCCUUUCUUUCUUGUCUCCUAGGUUUUUUUCCCCACUUUUUUGGUUUCUCUUAUUUUCCGUUAGCUUUAUAUAUAUAUAUAUAUAUAUAUAUAUAUAUAUAUAUAUAUAUAUAUAUAUAUAUAUAUAUAUAUAUAUAUAUAUAUAUAUAUAUAGUUUGCUAACUUAUAUCCACUUAUUUUUUUAAAAGGAGUAAGUUAAUAAAUUAUAAUUAUAAAUUUUCUUAAAAUACACUUAGGUAUAACUUGCUAAUUUAUUUCUUAUAAAAAUUAAGUAGGUGUAUGUUAGUAAAUAUGUAUAAAGUUUGUAUGUUAGUAAAUAUAUACAAAGUUUGCUAACUUAAAAAAUUAUAACUAUGAUUUUUCUUAAAAUACAUCUAUGUAACUUGUUAACUUACUUUUUCUGAAGUAAGUGGAUUUAUAUUAACAAAUACGUAUAGAAUUUAUUAACUUAUACCUACUUAUUUUUUAAAAGGAAUAAAUUAAUAUGUUAUAAUUUUAAAUUUUCUUAAAAUACACUUAUGUGUAACUUGCUAACUUCUAAAAAAAUAGCUUAAUUUUUACUGUUUUUCACAAAUAUUAAAUUUACAAUAUAUAGUUUAUAGAGUAAUUUUUUAUAUUAUUUAAAUUUUUAAUAUAUUAUUAAUUUUUUAGUUUAAAUUUUGAUAAAUGUAUGUUAUUAGAUAUGUUAAUAAAUAAUUUAUACGGUUUUGACGAACGAUAAUUGAUUUAAGAUUUUAUUAGAAAUAAAAUAAAAUAAAUAUAAAAUCUACAUUAAUUAAAUUAUUUUAAAAAAAUAAAUAUAAAAAUAUCACGUAACAUCACUUCAUAGAAUAAAAUUAUAUAUAUAUAUAUAUAUAUAUAUAUAUAUAUAUAUAUAUAUAUAUAUAUAUAUAUAUAUAUUAUAUUUAUGUUAAAAAAAUUCUAAAGCGAAUUUUAUUUGAAAAUUUCAUCUAACUUGAUAAUAGCACUUUGUUUUGUUAAUUACAAAAGAGAUAUAAUAUAUGGUAUGGAAGAAGAGGGAGGAUAUACUAAUCUAAAGAGAAAAUGUCACAAGUGGAAAUCCAUUUUACACAACAAAGAUUUUUCCCCAUAAUAUAAUCCCUGACCGAUGUAGGGAAAAGGUUGCAUUAAUUGAACCCAGUUGCUGAACUUUCAUUAAUAAGACCCACAUGGCUAUGGCAAAAAAAGGGGUAGGUUAAAAAUCAUGCUCCACACUUCUAUGUUUUUUAGGGUUAACUUUUGAAGGCAGGAACAAAAAUAAAAGUUAGCACUGCUUUGACUAUUAGUAACUCACUUUUAUCAAAGCCCAUAUGAUGCCAUUUCAAAAAGAUAUUCUUAGUUGAAAAAGAAAUUCGUUUUGAUACAUGAUUAUUUUUACUUUAUCAUCCAAUUUUUAUUUUACAUUUAUAUUGUAUUAUUUAAUACUAGUAGAAAGAUAAGCACUAUUAUGCUUCUGUGUUCACAUUUUUAUUUGUUGGAAUUGGACUUUAUAUGUAUAGUUAGUGUAGUUUUUGUCCAUGUUUUUUUUUUAUAUAUAGAGUAGUUUAGUGUGUGAGAGAAAUAAUUGAAGUAAGAGAUUUUGAAACAUAAUUGGGAGAAGAUUUAUAAUAGGUUAAAUUAAUUUUUUUACUGCAGGUUAAAUAUUAACAUUUUUGUUAGUUUGGUUGUUUUAAAUUUAAAAAGUUUUAUUUGGAUCCCUUAGAUUAAAUUGAUCAUUUUAUUAAUUUAUUACACUAACAUGACUGAUUUGAUAAUACAUAAUAAAUUGUGAGAGAUACUACCUCAUAUUUACAUUUGUCAUGUUACUCAAAAUUGAUAGGAUAUUGUUGGUGCCACCUUAAAUAUCUAUUUUUAUCAAUGUGACAUAUGACUAACAUCUCUCACAAUUUAUCAUAUAUCACCAUGUUAAUAAAUUGAUGCAAGGACCAUUAAUCUAACAUAAAUACUUUAGGAUUUGUUAUGGAUCCCCUUUGAGCUUGUCACGUGGUUCAUGGCCCACAACAACUAUUCAAUUGCUUCACCUGUUAACUAUUACUAUAUAAGACAUUUCAUGUAUACAAGUAUGAGUCUAAACUCAUUUUAUAGAUCUUUUACAUUCUUUGACUUUGAUGUGAGAGUGUAUGUUUAGAUGAUUGCAAGUCUCACUCCUCACCAGAGGUUGUCAUGAAAUUCCAACAUGUUUAGAACACAUCCCUCUAGGACUAAAGUUAAACUUUUAAACUUAAGAGAUUAAUCUAAAACAAAGAUAUAAGUAAAUGAUUAAAGUUUUUAUUUUAACCUUUAUAAUGUCAAUUGAAAGACAAGACAAAAAAAAAUCUAAAAAAUGUCGAGGUAAAAAAGAUAGUAUCAUUUUUAUAAUUGUUAUAGAUAUUACAUAACCACAAAUUAUUAGAUAAUUAUAUUUUUUUUUAUCUUAACAAUAUAUAUUUUUAAUUGGGGACGGCUCAAAUUCAAGAUCUCUUAUUUAAGUUAGAAUAAUUUUAUACUUAUUAAUCCACAUGUUUAAUGAUAAUAUAAUUUUUGACAUAUAUAAAAAAAUAAAUUAAAUAGUCAGUACAAAUUUUAAAAGAGAAAAAAGAAACUUCAACAUUCCCUCUCACAUUUAACGGAAAGUAACCAACUCGGCUAAAAUUCAGAAAAGAGUAGAAAAAAAAUAAAAAAGUAAAAAAAGGCAAACCAAAUCAAAGUCAUCAUAGAUUGAUACUACUUCACAACACAAGUGUGAAGACUCUCACAAAUCAACACUCACUGCUCACUGCCAUAAACAAGGAAGAAAGGAAGAGAAAGUGAGGGAAAAAGGUUAGGUUGCUGGUGGUGGUGGUGGCAUGUUUUUUGGAUUCUAAAAUCUCACUCUUUCUCUCUUUAUAAAAAUCUAAACGCCAUGAUCAUGAAUUUGAUCCGCAAAUUUGGCUAAUCAAGUGCCUUCUCACUCUUUUCUUUUUUUGUUUCUUCUUCUUCUCCCUUUCUCUCUCACACAAACACAAACACACACUCUCAUCAAAACCAUUUCCCAUUACCCAGAUCUCCUCCGAUCUCCGACCACUCUCCGGCCACAAAGCCACCUUCCAAAUCCACCAAAUGUGCUAACUUUGCCACUUCCAACCAUCUUCUCCACACUCUUCUUAUAACACCACCUUCUUACACACACCCUUUUCAAUUUGUGAUCGACCCAGAAGGCUAUUCAACGUUGUUGGGUCGAAUCUGGUCCAAAGUUGUGUUCUUUGGGAGGUUUGAGGAGGACCCUUUUGAGGCUUGAGAUCGAUGACGUCGGGGACGAGGCUACCCACGUGGAAGGAGAGAGAGAACAACAAGAAGAGAGAGAGGAGAAGAAGAGCCAUAGCGGCGAAGAUCUUCGCGGGUCUGAGGAUGUAUGGGAACUUCAAACUCCCAAAACACUGCGACAACAAUGAAGUCCUCAAAGCUCUCUGCAACAAAGCUGGUUGGACCGUUGAACCCGAUGGAACCACUUACCGCAAGGUACAUUAACUCCAAUUCUUCCUUUUUUAUUUUUUAUUUUUCUUUUCACUCACAAUUUUAGCUACUUUAAUUUAAGUAAUUUUCUGCAGAGGAAUGUAGUAACACAAUGAUUUUAUUUGGUUGAAGUAGGAUUAUCUCUUGUAAAAAAAAUAUUUCUAGUCUUAAAGAACCAAAAAUGUUUUUAAGAUGGUAUUGACAAAUAUUUAAAGUACAUUUAUUAAUAAAUAAAAAUUUAAUUAAAAUAAGAUGAAUUAUUUGCUAAUUUAAAUAUUAUAUUUUUUUAUUAAAAAAUCAUGUUUAAUUGCAUGACACUUGUUAGCAUUUUAUGUUAGUGAUUUGAAAAAUAUUAAAUAGUUUUGUUUUGUAAUAUAAUAGUUUAAGUUUUUAAAAUGCUUUUAAUUCAUUAAAACUAAAUAUUAUAAUAAGUUGUUUUUUUUGUGUAAUAAAUAUAUUUUAGCGAUAUUUUUUCUUUUUCUAAUAUAUGUAAUGAAAAAUAAUUAUUUAACCGUUAGAAUAUAAUUAACGGGAAGAAGAUGAGAUCUUAGACAUGAUCGAUCAUUGAUAGCAGGUUUGACUUCCUAUCCGCUAUUCAGAGUCUGAAAUUUUUUAUCUAUUUUAGGCUGUAAUACUUGUUCUUCCAUUUUUUUGAAACAAGAAAAUAAUUAUUUUUUAUCAUAUAGUAAUUCAUUAUUUAUAAAUAAAUGCUCAUUUUUUUAAUGAGUAUGCUAUUUUAUUUUAAUCAUAGCUGUUAAUCAACUGUUAUAAUAUAAUAUAAUCAUAGCAAAUUUAUUUAAAAUAUUAAUUUUAUAUAUGUAUAUUGGCUGUGUACGGUGGAUCCGGUAUGCAGUGGUCCUGGCAUUUUAGUGAAGCAUCAAAAGAUUCGUUCUCUUUCUUGACUGAGGGUCACCUGAGAAACCAGGACAAUUUUUUGUUUUUAGUCUUUUGGAUUUUCAGUGGACGAAAAUGCCCUCAGUGGGUGCUCCAAUCACUGCAUGAAAUGAACCUGGCAAGUGGCAUUUUGGUAAAAUGGAGAGGGUAAAUUUGGCAGCUUAGGUGUUCCCGUGGUUGGUGUGUUUGUCUGAUAUCUUGCUUUGCUUUGCCUUUGUAAUGUCCGUGUUGCUGUGUGGCAUGGUAGCAUUAGCUUUUUGACUUUUUCAGACAGCGUGCCCACGUAGGAUUCCAUUUUGGAGUUUCUUUUGCCUCAUGAAUAUGAUUCACCCUUCUUUUGUAGUUUUUCCUUCUCUCAAUCAGAGAAGAAGCUUUUUUAUUUUUUAUGGAUAGAAAUAAAAGACAAACACCAGAAGUUAUAAUAGUAUUACCUGAAAUAAAAAAUAUACAUUGUAUAUAGUUAUAUUCAUUGAUGCACAGUAAUAAAUAACUAAAUAGUAGUACUACUAUUAUAAUUAGAAUAUACAUUAAAAACUGUUAAUUAGUAUUAAUAUUGUUUUAAGGGUCUUACUAACUAGUAACUUUAGCACAUUGGUUAAGAAAUUAAAAGAGUAUUUAUCUUAUAAAUCAUAAGAUAACAUAAAAAAAUCAUAAAUAACAUAAUUUUCUGUUUUUCAAUAAAAAGAUUUAUAUUUUAAGUUUAUUAAACAAUAUUCUUAGAUAUUUGACUUAAUGAGAAAAAAGAGAUUACAUUGUAACGAGUACACAACAUAAAUAGGAGAGAGACAAUUGUUCUAUUCGAUAAAUUAUAGCUAAUUAAGUUGGAUGAAAGUGAGUUAUUCAAUAAAUUAUAGUUAUGCCAUGUUGGUUAGAUUUGAUAGCAACAAUAUACUGAGAACAUGCUGAGUUAAAUAACUCGUGCAUUUACUUCUUUUCAACACAUUUUUUUUUAUUGGUUGAAGUUAAUCUGAGUUUCCACUGAUUUGGGAAUAAAAUCUACCAAAAAAUCCACAUAUUUACUGGAACCAACAUGAAGGAGUUUAUUAGAGUGUCUUACUAAUGAUUUAUUUGUUAUAUUUGAAAAGAUUUUGGUGAUGGAAAUCCUAUUACAUGCCACAUAUUAUGAUCAGUUAAUGAAAAUAUAUUUUGUGUACAAUUAGGGAUGCAAGCCUUCAGAGGGCAUGGAGAUAGUUGGUGGAUCAUCAGCAGCAGCAAGCCCUUGCUCAUCUUACCAUCCAAGUCCAUGUGCUUCCUACAAUCCAAGCCCUGGCUCAUCAUCCCCUUACUACACCCAAAUUCCCAAUCCUGAUGGCAACUCCCUCAUUCCAUGGCUCAAGAACCUCUCCACUGCUUCAUCUUCAGCAUCCUCUCCCAAGCUUCCCCACCUCUACCUCCACAGUGGCUCCAUCAGUGCUCCUGUGACGCCUCCUCUGAGCUCUCCAACCGCCAGAACGCCACGAAUCAAUGCUGAGUGGGACGAGCAGUCUGCGCGGCCGGGGCCCGGAUGGACCAGACAGCAGCACUACUCAUUCCUGCCAUCUUCUAGUCCUCCCAGCCCCGGCCGCCAGGUUGUUGACCCUGAAUGGUUUGCUGGGAUCAAGCUUCCUCAUGUUAGUCCAACCUCACCAACAUUCAGCUUGGUCUCCUCAAACCCUUUUGCCUUCAAGGAACAUGCUUUGCCCUCCAGCGGUUCGCCAAUGUGGACUCCGGCUCAGAGUGGAACAUGCUCUCCUGCUGUUCCACCGGGUUCUUAUCAGAAUGCUGACAUUCCUAUGUCUGAUGCCGUUUCGGAUGAAUUUGCAUUUGGAAGCAACGUGUUGGGGCUUGUCAAGCCUUGGGAAGGAGAAAGGAUCCAUGAGGAAUUUGGAUCAGAUGAUCUUGAACUCACACUUGGUAACUCAAAGACCAGGUACUCCAGCAUUAUUACAUGAUCAAUUGAAUUUCUUCACUGAUAGUGUAAAGGAUUUUAUUACUAUUAACCAAUCAGAAAUUGUCAUAUGUGGUUUUUUUAAUCUUUCUUAAAAGUCAUACUUAGCAUAAUUUGUUAGUAGUUGACAGUCUAAAAACCUUUACAUUGUCGCCGUAGAGUAGUAGACAUGGUAAUCGGGCGGGAUGGAGACCGAUUUAGUCUCCCCGUACACUUAUCAUGCCUAGUGUAGAGAAAUUCAACUCUUUUCUUUAAAAUAUUUUUCUCCCCCUUUUGACAUGAUCUUUUUUACUUCUUGGCAGAUGAAGUCACAAAUAUGAAUUGAAUGUGAUAAUGUAAACAUUGACUUUUGUUGGUUUUGAUCAGUAGAUAUGUUAGAAGGUAAGUGAGGUGGUGAGUGCAAGCAGUUGUUUUCUUUUAUCCUUUUAUUUAUUUUUAUUUUGGUGACUUUCCCUUUUCAUUCUAUAGUUCUCCAGUAAUAUACAUGCUUAUUUAGAUGUGGAGUGGAUUUGCAACCCAUUCAUUUCAUCGUUGUACGUGUUGUUAAACCUUAAUUAUUGGAAACAUCAGUAUACAUUGUAUGGAUUGGCUUGGUUUGCCACUGACAGAACUCCACAGAUUGCAACCUAACUCAAUGGCAAAAACCCCUUGUGGAAAUUUGAUGGAAUGGUCCGAUUUUAUUGACAUGAGUUAUUUUUUGUGCUUGUUUUAAGAAACAAGUCAUGAGUUAUCACAUUCCUCUGCAUAUGGGUGACAUUUGUACAUGUUUCCAUGAAAUUAUGAUUCGAUAAAACUCUCCACUGAAAUAAAUCUUCAUUAUUUGUAUUAGAUCAAUGUUGUUAAUUGGUGGAACAAAUUUAAUAUCUCUGAUAAAAAAAUGACGAAUAAAUAAGAAUGGGUCAACAAAGAGCUGGGUAAAAGCGCAAACUACUAAAGAGUUUUUGUUCUUAUAAGAGAAGUAAAAGAUAAUGGCAACCUUAGCAUUUGUCACUUCAACACAAGAGUGUCAAGAAAGAUGGGGAAGAGAGGUUAGCUCAACAUGAAACUUGAUGAAGUCUCAUCAAACCCCCAAACAUUAAUUGCAAUACAAUGAACAGUACUACUGCAUGAUGUUUGACUGAUCAAGUUGUUAUGUGACACCUCAAAACUAGAACAUAACACUAGUCUAAAAUAUAAUUAAACGAUAGCAUUUUAGACUUGAAGACACGACAAUGGUAAUCUCAAAACAAAGAAUCAAGCUUUCUCCAAAGUCUACCAUGCAAAAAGCUAAGAAGCCAAAGCUUCUAAUUCCAAAGUCUUCUAUGCAGGAAUACAACUAGAAUCUUCAUCAUAGAAUCCAAAAUUUUAAAUUCCAAGAUUGCUACAUGAAGGGGUCAUCAAACUUUUACUGUCCAAAAAAUAACCAAAAAAAUAGAAAAUAAUGUUAAAUGUGCAAAGUGAGUGCAAUAUUUUGUUGUGAGUGUGCUUUAGUAUAAAUAACAAUGAGUCCCACGGAUUGACAAGACAUCUUGCAUUUAAGAUUGAAUUUGGCACCUUUGUGAAUUUUUGUUUUGAGUUUUUCUUUUUUAUUACAAGAGGUAUGACAUUUUGGUGUAUACAAUUUUGCGCCUUAUUUUCUCCUUAUAAUAAACCAUUAUUUCCCUUUCACUACCUUAAUAUUUAGUUAGUUUUUCUACUCUUUCUUAUUAUACUUUCUCUUAAUUUUUUGGGUACAUAAAACUAAUGUACCCAAUGUUAAAAGGAUUUGCAAAGGUAGGAAAGAUGGUCAUUUCUUGCAUUGGCAAAAGUAUUAUUUCUAGAUUUGAACCCACUCGUGUCCUCCAAGAAUUGCAUUUCAUAAUCUACUUACUGUUAUUUAACCUCCAUUUUUUAUCUUUUACAAAUAUGAAGAAACAUAGACUGUGUAUUUUUUCCUAGUUCUGAUAAAGACACAAACAAUAAUUUUUUAUAACUCAUAAAAAAUAUUUUUUUCAUCUCAUAAUAAUCGUCAUGUAAAAGAAUAAAUUUUAAAAGAAUUAUCAUUUUAAUUUUUUGAUUUAAAAUUAAUUUUUUAUAAUAUUAAUGAUGCACAAUAAAAACUAAAAAUAAAUUAAUAAUUAUAAAUAUAAUUUUAUAAAAAUUAUUAUUAUUAUUAUUAUUAUUUAUUUAUUUAUUAAUGUUUUAUGUAAAACAAUUAGGACGAUAAUUAUAAUAAGAAGCCAACAAGCAUUUCACUCAUUCACUUCACUACGUGUGUAAUAACGAAAUAAGGUAUCAUAUGAAAGGAAAACUGAAACAAUGAGUGAAAUGAUCAGCUGCAGCUCUCAGCCUUUAUUCAUCAAUGGCGGAAGAUUAUAUACAUGUGUAUAUGGGAAACAUAAAGCUGUUAUAACUGAAAGUUAACCGAAAGUUAACUAACCUAACUAACUCCCUUGUAACUAACCUAACAAAUGCUGUUAAGAGUGUGCAGUGUGCUCGUGUUGCCUUUCUGGUAAAGAAGAGAGAAAAUGACACCUCAAUUUGCAGCAAGCCACUCUUUUUUCCGCGUUCCUCCCACUUCCCCUUCUCUCCGUUUCACAAGGUAUUGUUGUAUCCCACCCCUUACUUUUAUUUUUCCUCUCAUCUCAUAGAUAUGCUGUUGUGUAUUUAUUGUUGUUGUUGUUGACUUAUAUUACACCCACAAGGGGAUCCUAUCCUUGUCAUGUUUUCCAUCUUCUGUAUAACUUGUAUUGUGAGGUCCCCUUGACUUAUUAAUUGUUGAGUUCUGGUGGUGGUUUCUCGCUGCCCGUGAUUGUUGAGGCCCCCUUAGUCAUUUGGGUAGUGGAGGCAUUAUCUCACAUGUCAUUGUUCGUACUUUUUAAUUUGAAAAAAAAGAUGCUUCUAAAGGGUGGAGGAUUUGAUUUGGUAGGUGUUGUGCUGAUUUAGAAUAAAUUUUGAAUUUCAGAGUGCACUCUUUAGCUUAAUCCCUGUUAUAGCUUAUAAAGGAGCUUAUAAUAAUGACGAAUUUGAAAAUCAGGGAACAUUGUUAAGCUUUUUGUAGUAACUAUGGCAUGUUAGAGAGACUUUUGUCGCAUGCUUCAAAACUGAUGAGUUGGUGUUGUUAUAUCAUGGUCUCCCUUGAUUUUACUCCAUUUGCAUUUGGAACUAACAUUUUCUUUGUAUUUGGUUUUAAACUAGGAAUAAAGAUUUGAUUCCAGAAAGAUAUACUAUAAUCAACAGGAAAAAGAAUCAUGCCAUCACAGCUUUUGCAGGCAAUUCUCUUGGUCAGUUAGCAUCUUGCUCCCCAACCCUUUUUUUAAGCAUCUUCUAUGUAAUUUUAAUAUUUAAAUAGCUCAAUUAAUUUGAUUUUUAAUAAAACAAUAGACCUCUGUAAAAAAUAUUUGCCAUUUGAAUAUGGAAAUGAGAGGUGACAUUUGAAACUUGUAUGCUGAUUUUGGCAAUAAUCUCCUCACAACAUUUUGUUUAUUUCAAUGCUAAGACAUCUUAUUCACCAUGUCAUCAAAAUGCAAUACCUUUUUCAAAUUGCAUGUAUUGUUUAGUUCAAGUGCUUAAAAAUUGUUUCUAGUCGUUUAACCCCCAAAUUCUUUAUAUCAGGAAAAUCAGCUAUCCAACUCAAUGCUGCUUCAUCUCCACUAUUUGCUGAUAAAGAAGCUCACCUCUCACUCAAACUUCCUAUGUCUCGAAAAUCCAAUACUACAAUCCGACAAGCAUUUAUAUAUCAUUCAUCUGGUUUCCGAAUCCCAUCAAAUGCUGAGAAGCCAGAAUGGUGGUGGAGGACUUUAUCCUGUGUUCCCUAUCUGUUAGCAUUGCAGAUAUCUGCAGCUGGGUUUUAUCUAGAACCUAUCCUUGAGAAAUUUCCAUUGUUUCGGAAUUUGGUUUUUUAUAUCCCAGGAGCUGUCAACCGAUUACCAAACUGGUUCCCUAUGCUAUAUUGCAAUGUGGCUAUUGUAUGGGUGGUAAAAAACAAGGACUUGCCCCUUAUCUUCAGAUUCCAUUUAAUGAUGGGAAUGCUACUGGAACAUGCUCUGCAGAUAGUGUGGAUUUCAAGCAAUUUCCUGCCACUUAUACACUUCAAGGGAACUUUGGGGAUGUAUUACUGGGCUGGUGUGGCGUUGACAUAUAUUUUUGUAAUAAUAAGGUGCAUAAGGUGUGCACUUCUGGGUACAUUUGUGAGUAUCCCUCUACUUAGUGAAUCAGCUUUUAUUCAUUCUCUAUUUAGUUAAUGAGGGUUUCAACGGCCAUUUUAGGAUGUGGUCAAGAGCAUAUGUACUAUACUAGUGGUUUUGCAGUUGAAUGAAGGAUUGUCUCUAUUUAAUUGAGUUUUUGUUGAUAUCUUUCCCCUGCCUUUGCUUAAACUUGAAAGGUUGGUAUUUGUGUUUGGGGUGUUGACAUUGGUAUUUUACUUCAAUUUAAUGAAAAACAUAUGUGAAAGUAUCAAACAGUAACUUGAUUAAAUAAUUUAAAAUACCUCAAAUUAUUUUUGAGAUUCAUUUUAUAUAUUAUAAUUUCUAUUUCUGUAUAUCUAUAAAUCAUGGUAAUUCAUGAAAGUGAUAAUCAUGAUGAAACAUGUAUUACCUCAUUUGUUUACUAUUCAAACAUUACUUCUUCACAAAACCAAAUAAUGAUGUAUGACUGUAUGACUAUGACUGUAUAUCGUUUCAUCAACAUUCCUGAAAGUUAAAAAGGCCAACCCACAUGACUGAAAAUAUCUCGAGAGUUCGACAAAUCUCGUUUUUUUCUGUAUGACUGUAUAUCGUUUCAUCAACAUUCCUUUUUCUCUGCUUUCAAAUAUCUCAACUAGCAUUCCUCUUCUUAUUAGAUUUCUUUCUUCUCUAUUUCUUUGUCUCCAAGUGCCAUUUAUUUCUGGAAAUUUAGGGGAAGGAAAUAAGGUAAAAGAUAAUAAGAGAAAGAUGCUACCUUUUCUAUUAUUAAGAUUUAGAUUUGUUAAAUAUUACUCUCUUUUUUAUGAAAAUCAAUUACUUUUCAUUUAGAUUAGUUAACAUUCUCGAUCUAUAUAUUAUAUACAUGAUGGGUUUUGGGAAUCUAUAAAUAUUAAUAACUCAAUAUUAAUUUUUAAUUCUCACCUUAAUCAUAAGGACUAAGUUAACAUGAAAUUUAUAAAUUCAAAUUUUUUUUUUUAGAUUACAAGUGCCAGUUAUUUAUUUUGGUUGACAAAGGAACCUAGGCCCAAGAAAACAAAGAUUAAAAGGAAAUUAACGAGAAGCAAGAACUCUCAAAACAUCAUAAUUAACAACUGGUUUAACUGAAUAGGAGGUUGAUCAUAAUUCAUAAAUCCAUAACCCAGUCCUCCCAGUUGCAUUAGUACUCUUGAUAUCUCUUAUGUUUCGGACAUCCGCUUCUAAAUUCAUAUUGGAUAAAUAUUAGUUAUUAACUUUUUAGUUAGAAAAAUUUAAACUAAUAAUCUUUUUUUCUCCCUUUUUCUUUUAAUCAUAAACCAAUCUUAUAACUCCUCUGAAUCCAUAUGUAGUUCCAGUUCCAUGCAAUUAUGCUAAAAGAAGCCCUUCAUAUGCUCCCCACCGCUCUGGUACAUAUGCAGUAGCUACGCCAAUGAAUUUAGUGAACCCACAGCCAUUUACCUCUGUCAUCUUAACAGUCCACCACAUUCUUCUGUUCCUCGUUUCCCUUUUGUGAAAAAUAACUGUUUAGUAUUAUCCUAAAAUAUACUAAAAGUGUAUAAUUAAUUGCAUUAUAAGCAAAUUAAAAUAUCCUCCCCAAUUCUCACUCAAACCAUUGAAAAUAUAGUUCUUAUAAUUUUGCACUUAUUUUUUUAUUUUAAUCUCUAUAAUUUUUUUCAUGUUUAAUUUCUAUAAAUUUAUGUUUCUUUAAUUUUGGUCUUUUUUUUAAUCCUAGUAAACUUGUGUUUUUUUUUUUAAUUUUAGUUCCUUUAAUAUUAUUUUUUUCAUUUCACAAUACUUAUAAGAAUCAAAAUUAAAAAAAAGAAUACAAAUUUAUAAGAAAAACUAAAAACAAGCAAUUUUUUUAUAAAAAUCAAAUUAAAAUAACACAAAUUUACAUAAUAAAACAAAAUCUCUGAAAUGAAGAGAUUCACUUUGGUUUUGUGGUGUGGCCAAACGUAAUGUGUCGAGAAUUCACGUGUUCUCAUUGGCUGAUUUUUUGUUUUAUAAUUUUUCAUUCAUCGUUAUCAUUCAUCACUUUCAUCACUUGAAUCCUUUUUUUUUUUCCAUUCAAGUAAAAUCUUGGUCCUCCUCAUCCACAACACAAAGACCAAAUCCUACGCAACGUGUCGUUAAACCAAACCCGCGUGCUCCUUUUCCAUUUCUCAUUUCCUUCAAGUACUUCAGUUCUCAGCACACCACAUCACCUUUGCAGCAGCCUCCAUAAUAUUCCAAUUCAUCACCCUCUUUUCAAUAUUCCCUUAUUAUCGCUUUGAUUCGUUGAUUUUUUUAAUUCUUUACCUCAAUUUUAAUAAGAAUCAGUUUUUGUAGUUUUGAUUUGUUGUAGUAAGAUUAAUUAACUAUUCAGAUUCAGUUAUUGCCAGCUUUGAUUUCUUUUUUUUUUUUUUUUAAUUAGGUUUGCAAGUAAAACCCAAACCCAAACCCCUAGACCUUGGGAAUAGUUUGUGAGUUGUGUUGAAAAAGAAUCGGUUCUUGUCUCGUUUUAUUUCAGAUAAGAAAGUCUUAGAUUCAGAUUCAGUUGUUGACGCUUUGAUUCGUUUUCUUCUAAUUAGAUUUGCGAGUAUAGGUGAAGCCCUAGGUCUUAUGGAUAGGUAGUGAGUUUUGUUGUUGAAGAAGAAGAAGAAAAUGUCUGUGGAAAGGUCGUUUGAGGCAUGGGAAGAGGUGCAGCGUCACGGGCAGGACCUAGCUGACCGUCUUGCCCAGGGUUUUAGCGGUUUGAUUCACACGCAUAUGAGCCCUCCGCAAUUCGCGUGGCCGAACCCUCCGACAUCGAAGCUCUUCGAUCUGGAGUUCCCUUCGCAGAACUUUGGGAAGAGGGAUUUCGCUUUGGCGACCCAGGAGUACGGGAUUAAUGGCGUGUCAGCGAUUUUUGACAUCGGGAAUCGGAUCGGUCAGGCCGGGGCGGAUUUCGGUGCCAGCUUGAACGGGCUGGUUCAGCAGUUUUUCCGGUCGUUGCCGGUGCCGAUGCCAUUCAAGCACGAGGAGAGUUCAGUGAGGGUGGAGGGUGGGGAUAAGGGGUGGCAGAGAGGAGGGGUUGUGGUUGCUGUGCAGGAGGAUUUGGGAUUGCUUAGUGAGAGGUUGAAGAAUCGUGGGUUUGCUGAGAGUGUUAGUGGCAGUGGUGGUGGAAGCGCGGAGGAAGAGGGUGGUGGAGGGUUUAACCUUGGGUCUAUUGGUCUUCUGGGCAGGCGACAGGUAAACAUUCUUGGUGUUGGUGUUGGUUGGUUUUGCUUUGUAUAUGCUGUGGUUUUGUAUUAUAGGCUUGUUAUUGUUAAUUUGCUUAUUGACUGUUAGAUUUGGAAGUGAUAACUGUUGCUGUUCAAUUGCUUGCUUAUUGAUGGAGAGAGAUAAACAGUUGUUGUGUAAUGGGAAGAGAGGAUUUAUUAUUGUAAAAGAGCUAUUGAAGUAAUUGUCUGCAAUGGUUUACUGUGCAAUAUUGGUGUUCAGGUGCAGAAGAAACAGUUUUUAUCUCUAAAAGUUUAUUCUGUUUUAGAUCAACUAGCCAUCCUGAUUAGAUUGUGCCUUUGAUGGUGGAAUUGCGGUGUUGAAUAUUAUUUUGAGGAGGGCCUGUCCUUGUCUUUGUUAUGUUUUUAUUUAUGUUAAUAUAAGAGGAAACCACAGAGGAUUGUUAGCUUUUUGCAUUGGAGUUGUUUUCUGUUCAUUGCUUCAGUUUUCUUGUUGGGAUUCAUUCAUGAUGGGUGAUGUCCAUUGGCAUCUUGGGGCCUUAGUAUAGUUGCACAAGUCGUAUUUUACAGAAAGAAAAGAGGAAGCGUUGAACAAAUGCUUUCUUACUUUAUCAUUUGUAAAAUAUGUACCUGGAAAUUUAUUUUCUUUCCAAUGCCCACAAUUCCCCCAAAUAUAUGCAGCAUAAAACUUGUAAAUUUUUUAAUAGUGAGUACUUGCUCUUACUAGUUCAGAGUAAAUUAAUAUUUGUUUAUGACAUUGAUCAAAUUAGCAAUAGAGCAUAUCAACAGUACUAUUGAUUGUGAUGUUCAAUUAGAAUUAGAAUCUCUUGAAAAAUGAUCUACAUUGUGGAACAGACACUAUUAUUGAAUUCCUUCAUGAUUUGAUAUGCCAACUAGCUUUUAAAAUUUUGAUUGGUUAGAAAGAUUUCUUGUUUUCAACAUUUAUUUUGAAACAUAUGUAAAAGAUGUGCAAGCUCUGGAAUCUGUAUUUUGUGUGGCUAAAUUCUCUUUCCUCACUCUGUUGAUUCGUUCCUCUAUCUAUUUCAUUUACUGGUUAUAUUUUUUCAUGUACAGGGAAUCAUAAAUUUUACAUCAACUUAUGAUAGUAGAACUCAAGAAGUGGAAGGUUCUUUAGUUGCAAGGGGAGAUUUGUGGAGAGUAGAGGCAUCACAUGGUGGUUCUGCGUCUAGAAAUGAAAAUUCAUCUCUUUUCCUGGUUCAGCUUGGACCUCUUCUCUUUAUCCGUGAUUCAACUCUCCUCUUGCCUGUUCAUUUGUCAAAGCAGCACUUGCUGUGGUAUGGCUAUGAUAGAAAGGUAAAGAUGAGGUUCAGCUGGCUAAUUGGACUUUGCCACAAAAUUGGUAAUAUAUAGGGAAGGUGAAUAAAGCAUGUCCAUUGACAUUGUGUUUUAUCCUUGAAAGCAACUGUGUAAGCAUGUUCAUAUGCAUUUGAUCAUUGAACACUAUUUGCUCAUUGAGUUGUUAAUCAGCUUUCCUUUCGAAGCUAUGGUAAAGUAUGCUGAAAUGAUGCCCAUGCUAGUAUAAGUAUUCAUCUUGAACAUUAUAAUAAUUUAUGUAUUUUUUAGGCAGCAGCAAUUUACAGUAUAGUUUGUAUGCCUUUGUUUUCUUGUUGAAAUUACUCUUUCAUACUUGGUAAAAUUAUUUAAUUAUUGUUUAGAAUUGCGUAUUUAGUUUCCAUCUUCAGAGUUAUAUUGCAUGUGGAUGUUUUGUGUAGUGCUCCCUACCCAAAUUUAGCUUUUUAUUAGCUUACGUGAUAAUUUUUUUUUGUCAGAAUGGAAUGCAUUCUCUUUGUCCAGCAGUGUGGUCAAAACACAGAAGGUGGCUGUUAAUGUCCAUGCUUUGCCUGAAUCCCCUAGCUUGUGUAAGUUGAUAGAUUAUCUAUAUGUUUGGAUCAGCGUCCUGCACAAUAGAUGCACAUAAUGGACGUGAAAAGCAGAAACUACUCUUCUUAGCUUCUGCGUAUUUUGUGUACUGGAUGUGGAGAGAGACAAUAUGAUCCACGGUUUCUAAUUUUUUCCAAACACGCACUAUGUUGUCAUGAUGCCUCUAAAAAUAUUUGUUCUAAUUUUAAGUUUUUAUACAGUGCCAUGAUGAUUUCUACCCUGAAAUAAAUUUCCUAUCAUCAUUUUUUCCCCUCUUUCUGCAUGCAGUCAUUUGUGGAUCUUCAAUUCCCUAAUGGGCAACUAACCUACGUAUCUGGAGAGGGUCUAAGUACCAGUGCUUUCCUUCCUGUUUAUGGAGGUCUUCUUCAAGCUCAGGGUCAAUAUCCUGGGGAAAUGAGAUUCAGCUUUUCGUGCAAGGUUAGAAUCCAAGUUAUUGAAGGCUUUGAUGAAAUGAUGUUUGAAGUUCACAAUAUGUUAGUUUGAACUGUUUUCCUUGUGCACUGGAACUAAUAUUGGUUACUCUUCUACUUUUUUAGAAUAAGUGGGGAACAAGAAUCACACCAAUGGUACAAUGGCCUGACAAAUCAUUUUCUUUGGGUCUUGCUCAAGCCUUGGCCUGGAAGCGAUCUGGUCUAAUGGUGAGGCCAUCUGUUCAAUUCAGGUAAGAUGUUACUUAGUGGCAGGGGAAAUGAAUGGUGGUGCUGUGAUUAUUAUUGGGGUUGCGAAGACACUUUCGCAAGGUUAUCCUGGAGAAAAUAUUUGUGCUGCUUCACUUAGUUGAUGUUGUCUAUAUGUGAUGAUUGCUUGCUUGUCUACCUGCUUUGAAUUUAGAAUGAACUUCUCCAGUCUAGAUAAAAUUGUUUACUCUAGAGUAUGGACAAAUUUUUAUGCUUAAAAAUUCAAACAUUGUGUUCGAGUAGUACACUAAAGUUUGAAAGCAUAGUUCACUCUUUAAAUAAAUGUAGUGUAAUUUGAUGGUUUCAUUCAUGAGAAAAAAAGAAGCUUUUGUAGCUGUGUUUUCUUGAUUUUAAUCCUGAUUAAGAAGCAUUGGACUAUGUGACCUGCCAUGCUCUAUUCUUUAAUUUAAGAUGUAGUUCACAAUUGAGAAAUUUGGAUGUGUAAUGUAACUUCUAGUUUUCUGAACUGUGUUUUUGUUGUAUUUGUUUUGCCUCUGCUUGGAAAACUAUUUGUUUCAAAUAUUGUAAUAACAUAAUCGAUCAAAUGGUUUUCAUCCCUGUGUAAAGGGGUAGAGGGAGACCAAGAAGGACAUGGACAGAAAUAAUUAAAAGGGAUUUUAUAGUGAAUUAUUCCUUGAGUAUUUGGUUUUUAAUCGGGUCCAAUGAUGUUGUGUGACCGAUCUAACUGAUUUUACUUGAUGGGAUUAGACUAUUGUUGUUUUAUUCUGGAAACAUAAUAGUGUUUUGGAUUAGUUUAUUUUUGUUCAAAUAGCUUUUGAUCAAAAUCUUACUGAGAGGGCUUGAGCUUUUCAGAAAAAAAGCUAUUGGCCCUGCAAAUUAUGCCAGUCUAAUUAUGUCUAAUAUAUCUAAUGCAUCUAUAAUACAAAUGUAACUAAUCUUUUGGUGUACUUCAUUAUUGCCUCCAAUUCUCUCAUUAACUUAUAUUUUCAAUUUCAUUCACACACCCUGAUCUGUUUUGAUAUUCUAUAUGUGGUUAGUGUGUGUCCUACUGUUGGUGGAAGCAAUCCAGGGUUGCGGGCAGAACUCAUUCAUUCAGUUAAAGAGAAACUUAAUCUAAUUUGUGGAUGUGCUUUCAUGACAUAUCCUUCUGCCUUUGCUUCAGUAUCUGUAAGUUGUUUCUGAAUAAGCAUAACUUGUUCUUGAAUUAUGCAAGUGUUAUUUUGGAUGUUUUCUAAUGUCGAAAAACAUGUUUAUGAUAGCAUAAGGAGUCUGCGUGUUAUAAUUCUUAAUGUUGUUCAUUAAUCAUAAAAUGACUGUUAUCAGUUGAUCGGGGAAAUGUCAGUUCACUAAUCACAAGGUGUUGCUUAGUUGGCUAACUGAGCCCUGUAGGAUUUGAAACCCAGUGGAAUUACCUUGUGGUUAGGGCCAAGGUGACAUUGAAUCGCACAUUAGUAUCACACCCAAAGGGUCCAGGGCAGGACAUGGCAUGAUUUACCAAAAAGUUGGAUGCCUUUUUACUUCCUUUUUUUUCUUUGUUAUCAGCUGAAUAGUAUGUUAAAAAGUAUAGAAAUUACUUCCUACUUUUGUUACUCAUAAAAAGAUAGCAAAUAGUCACAAUACAAUUCUAAUUAUAUAUCUAUGCCCCCAGGGCUAUUUUGAAUUUAAAGUCAGCUAUUUUCUAACUGUUUUGUUCAAGUACAUACUAACAAUAACAAUGGAAUUUGUUAUAAUCCAGUUGUAAUUUUUCUUGGGUUUUUAUUUGGGUGAAAAUAUUGGAAAUGAGAUAUGAAAUAUUAUUUAGUUUAUGUUGGUGGUUUUUUUUAGAAAAUAGCUGACUUUAAAUUCAAAAUAGCCCUGAGGGCAUAGAUAUAUAAUUAGAAUUGUAUUGUGACUAUUUGCUAUCUUUUUAUGAGUAACAAAAGUAGGAAGUAAUUUCUAUACUUUUUAACAUACUAUUCAGCUGAUAACGAAGAAAAAAAGGAAGUAAAAAGGCAUCCAACGUGAGUCUAAAUGUCUAAUAUGUAGUAGUAGACUAGUAGGUAUAUAAAAUUGGCAUACUUUAACCUUUUUAAGUUCUUAUUUUUUAGUUACUACACCAGCUGGAAAUCUCUGAAUAGGAUCACUAAUAUUUAUCUAUAUUGAUUAUUUCAUGCUUUAUUACCAUUGUAGACUUUUAUCAGCACUAAUUGUUGACUAUUAUUUCAUGCUUUAUUACCAUUGUAGACUUUUAUCAGCACUAAUAGUUGACUAUUAUUUCCAAAGAUCAUUGUGGAAGGAGAGUGCUUAUGUAUCAUAAUCUAAAUGGUUUGUCUUUUUUACAGAUUGGAAGAUCAAAGUGGAAUGGAAAUGUGGGGAACUCGGGUCUAGUUCUAAGAGUUGAUGUUCCUCUCUCCACCGUUGGGCGCCCUUCCUUCUCCGUUCAGAUAAAUAGUGGCAUUGAGUUUUGAUAGCAUUCUGGUGUUUGGUAUCAUCAGUUUUAUAUUUUGCAUGAAGUGUACAUAGGUUUGGUUCCUUGACAGUACUUGCAGGAAAUUAAAAAAAAAACUCCUAACAACAAAGCUUAGUCUUUUUAUGUGAAUAGAAAAUCCUAUUCUGGUAGUGUAUUAGUUUUAGUCUUGUCAUUUUCUAUGGUACAUCCCAAAUCAUUUUGGAGCCUGGUGUACUUAUUGAAUUUCUAAUUAUUUUGAAGGCGUAAUUUGUAAAAGUUAGAUUCAAAUUGUGUUGUGAGAGUACUUGUUAUUUACGUCUAGUUUUUAUAUUUCGUAGAUUAGUAUUAAUAUUCAUAUUCUAAUAGUGUUAUUAAUUGGGGAGGAUCUUCCCUUUGUAAGAGAACUUCAACUUCUCAAGCAAUUUUUCCAUGAAAUGAGAAAUUUAGACAUGAAUUUUGGUGGUAAGGUUCCUUGAUCUUCGUCUAUCAUACCAAACGCCUUAAAUAAAACGCCUUAAAUCAAACUUUGAUUUCUUUCUUCAUGAUUAUUAGUGAAGUAUUAUUCAUAUUUCGUUGCAUUCCUUUGUCAAUUGUCAAUUUGGUUUGAAGAGAUAGUCAGGAUUCUAUUCUAACAAAGUAGGCUUCUGCCAUACAACUUAAGUGGUUUAACUUUAAAUGCAACAUAGUAGACUUCGUGGUUUUUGACCAUUUGAGUUUCCAUUUUGAAAUUUCAAUUUCAAUGAAUAUAACUGAAAAUUACAAAUUUAAACUCAGUUCUAUUAUUCAAAUACAAGAUAUAAAAUUAGAAAUAAAAUUAAUUACAAAUAUCAUAUAAAAAAGCAUUUAAUAAAUCAGUAUCUGUAAUUAAAUAUAAUAAUAUAAUUAAUUAUUAUCUUUAAAUAAUAAUUUGACUAGGUUACAUCAUUUGGAUAAACUUCAGUAUCUGUAAGUUGUUUCUGAAUGAGCAUAACUUGUUCUUGAAUUAUGCGGGACUUAUUUUGGAUGUUUCCUAAUGCUGUACAAACAUGUUUAUAUCAAAAGGAGUCUGCGUGUUAUAAUUCACUAUUGGCUUAACAUUAUUUUUGCUUAAGCACAAAAUGACUGUUAUAUCAAAAAGAGGGAAAUGUCAGUUCACUAAUCAUAAGAUGUUGCUUAAUUACCCUGUGGUUAGGUAAAAGUUUGCAUUUAAGUGCAGAUUAGUAAUAUCACACCCAAAAGGGUGUCAGGACAUUGCAAUAUUUAUCUAUAUUGAUGCUUUAUUACCAUUGUAAACUUUUAUCAGCACCAGUUUAUAACUAUAAUCCAAAGUUCAAGGAUAGUGCUUAUGUAUCAUAAAAUGGUUGUCUUACUUUUAAUAGUGUUACAGAUUGGCAGAUCAAAGUGGAAUGGAAAUGUGGGGAACUCUGGUCUUGUUCUAAGAGUUGAUGUUACCAACAACAAAGCUUUGUCUUUAUGUGAAUAGAAAACCCUAUUUUGGCAGUGUAUUAGUUUUGUCAUAUUGGAUCGUGGUUUACUGCUUAUUGAAUUAAUGUCUAAUUAUUUUACGGGUAUAUAACUUCUAAAAGUUAGAUUCAAAUUGAGUUGUGAGACUACUUCUCGUUAUUUUUUCUUGAGUUGUGGGAGUACUUCUAGUUGUUAUUUUUCUUAGAUUAGUAUUAAUAUUCACAUUCUAAUAGUUAUUUAAUUGUGGAGGAUCUUUCCUUUGUAAGAGAAGUGCAGCUUCUCAAUCAAUUUUUCCUUCAAAUGAUGGGAAAAUUAGAUAUGAAUUUUGGUAUAAGAUCCCUUGAUCUUCGUCGGUCUUGCCGUGCUCAUAGCUUUUAAAUCAGACAUUAAAAAAGAACCAGUCAAUUGUCACCUGAAUAAAGCUUGAAGAUUAACCUGUGGGUUUAUUUAACUAUCAUCUAUCGUUGGGAUCAUAGAGACUAUUGGCUAAAGUUUUGACAGUUUCUGGCAAGGCUGUAGCAUGUUCUUAACAAACCAUGAAAAUAAGUUUACAUCCGUAGAAAAAUCUCUAGGAAUUCAUACUUUAAGGCAAUAACUGUUUUCAGUUUGGCAUAAACUUUUUCUUCAUUUAUUAUUUGUUGAAUUUCGAUGUUAAAUUUUAAGGCUGUGAUCCUAUCUCCAAGCCUUACAAUUCAUCGAAGUCUAAUAAACAAUAAUAUUCACCCAAAAACAUCUGAUGGUUUUGUAUGAUGCAAAUUAAACCUUCCUAUCUGACAUCACUGAGUUAUGCCUCAGAAAUCAAUGUUGUUGGCACUUUGAAACUUAAGUUGAAUGUAAUAUUCUUAAGAUUAACACAUUAAUUGGGGGUUUCGACCAAAAGGGAAAUUCUAUUUGAAAUUUAUUAAAUGGGAUAGGGUAAAUCGUACAUUACUUCACUGAAUAUGAAAUUGUUAAAAGAAUUGAGACUUUGAUUCUUAUUUUUUUUAUAAUGAAGUUGUAAAAAGUCCAAUGAAUUUAAUUUUUUAAUUAUUUAUAUAAAGUCAUAAAAUUUCCACACCUUUAAAGUUGUGAUUAUUUUUUAAAAUUAAUUUUGAAUGACUUUAGAAUCGUUUUAAUUAUAAUUUUAUAUUUUAUUAUUUAAUUCUUUUAAAAAUUUAAAAUAAUUGUAAUUAAUAUUUUUUAUAACUCAAAAAUUUAAAGUCAUUCAAAUAAUAAUUAUAAAAUUAUUAAACGACUUUAAAGUAAAAAAAAAUUAUGAUUUUAUAUAAAUAAUCACAAAAAAAAAUAAAAAUCGUUAAAUUUUUUACAACUUCACUAUUGAAAAAAAAUCAAAGUCAUGAAUUUUUUUAUUAUUUCAUACCUAAAAAUAGUAAAAUAAUUUAUGACUUACCACAUUUGAAAAUUAAUUCAAAAAUAUCCCCAUUUAAUAAAAUUCCAAAUGAAAUUGAAACCCCCAUUAAUAGCCUUUAAACCACCAUACAUACAUAUAGCAAGCAACUAUGAAUUAAAAUUUAAUGAGUUAACUUCCCCUACUUGCAAAUCACACAUAAUUGGAAAAUCUAAGAAGUUGAUCGGUUGAAGCCUAAUCAAUUCUACUUGGAAGUGAUAUGGAGGAGUCAAGCCAUGGCCCCCCCAUUGAUUUGCUUCUUUGCUCUAUACUAUCUUCUGAGAAUGCAGAAGAGACUUGAGUUUGACUGUCUUGUGAUAGCAUCUCAAAGGCUUUAAAUCUUACAUCUUCUGCACUGUCACCGCGUUUAAUAAUUGGUGCUUGAAUUGGAGUUUUUCCAUCAAGCAUGCUCACUACUGAUGACAUACAUGGUCUAAGAGUGGGAGAAGGAUUGGUGCACAAGAGUGCUAACUGCAGCAUUCUCAUGGCCUCUUCUGAGGAGUACUUUGAACCAAGACUUGGAUCCACCAGCUCCAGAAGGUUUCCUUGCUCUUGGAGAACAUAGGCCUUCAAUGACAUGCAACAAAUAGUAUUAGAAAUUCAAGCAAACAAUAACGGGGAAACAAGAAAGGAAAGCACAAAAUAAGAAAAAAGAUAAGUAUAGCCCUACUUAUAUUUAAAGUAUCAAAUUAUCCUCAAUCCUUAUUAUAGUAGGAGAUGAAUGGCAUGAAGACUUGGAUAUAGAUGAAAAAGGCAAGAUACUUUGAAAAUAUUGAACUAGGUAUAUUUUGUGACGAUGACAGGAUAAUUUGUGUAUUAUGCACCCCAGAUGCUCCCACUUCAAUCUAUCGAAAACACAAAAGUGUAACUUACCCAAUCUAAAAGAUAUACAAACUCCUCCUUUGGCCUAUAAUUUGUGUUGCUCUUUCCACUAACAAUCUCUAAAGCUACAAUUCCAAAGCUAUAGACAUCUGCUUUGUCAGUCAAGUAACCCCUCAUAGCAUACUCAGGAGCCAUGUAACCACUGAUAAGAAAACAUUUAAUACCCUUGUGUCAGUGAUUUCACAAAUCAAUGAAAUGUGUAUUUUUUUUUUUAUUUAAAUGAUUAUAAAUGCAAGCUAUAGAUAUAUUGUGGAUAACACUGCAAGCCUAUUAAUGAUGAACAAAGUCUAGGAUUCAAACAGGAAAUGCUGUGGCAUAGUACUAACAUUGUCCCAGCAACUUUUGUGCUGAUAUGAGUAUUCUCUUCUUCAUCAAGUUUGGCUAAACCAAAGUCAGAGAUCUUGGCAUGCAGAUGUUUAUCAAGUAAGACAUUGGUUGCCUUAAUAUCCCUGUGCACUAUUUUCAACCUUGAUUCCUCAUGAAGAUAAGCUAAGCCCUUUGCAAUACCCAGACAAAUUUGCAUUCUUCUGGGCCAGUCCAAUUGCAUCCUCUCAUGUUCUUUACCUAGAAAAGGAAAACCUUUUCAGUUAGAUUUUAACUUGGUAGCGGCAUACACAGCCAAAGAUGUUCAUGAAGCAUUUACCAAAAAGUGCACGAGCAAGACUAUUGUUCUCCAUGUACUGAUAUACUAGCAGCAGCUGGUUUCCUUCAAUGCAACAGCCAUAAAGUUUCACAAGGUUUGGAUGCUGCAAAGCAGAUAUCAUGCCUAUUUCAUUGAUGAAUUCACGAUUCCCUUGCUUUGAUUUGGAGGAGAGCUGCUUAACAGCAAUCACAGCACCAUCUGAUAGUACACCCUGUGAAUAGCAGUAUCUUUAGUACCAUGUUUUCAUUUUAAAAAAUAUUGGGGAUAAAAAGACUUAACCCCAAUGUUUCAAAACUUCAUACUGCAUAAGAUGAUUAUAAUCUAUCAAAUUUACCUUGAAUACUGGUCCAAAGCCUCCUUCACCUAUCUUAUUUGCUGGGUCAAAGUUAUUAGUAGCAGCUUUAAUUUGUCUUAAACUGAAAUAACCUGUUUUCAGACCUAGAAGUUCUGCAACAAGGUAGAUGUAGCUACUCAGAAAUAAAAUGUAUAAUUGAAAAGAAAGAGAGGUGAUAGAGAUACAGAAAGAGAGAAAUCAGAGAAUUGUUUUUGAGAAACCAAGUGUGCAUUUUCUGUUACCUUAAAAUUACCACAAUUUAGAUCUCGGCAAUAAAUUUCAAGUUGUUAUAUAAUCUACUAUUAAUAUUUAUAAAAAAAAUUCAUGUCUAUUAGUAUAUUCCAAGAUUCUAAUAGAUGUAUAUGCAUCAUGCUUGACUGCAAACCAAUCUGAACUUUGUAAUAUCAAAAACCAAAUCAUAAGGGUUGUAACUGCCUGCUUAAUUUGGACUUCAAUCUUACCUUGGUCUGUUUGAUCUUUCUGACAAAGGAAACCCAUCUUCCAAAGAGCAAAGAGCAUCAAUAUGACAAUCACACAUGCCCCAGCUACAAUUCCAACAAUUGUUCCAGUAGAGAACCCAUGUGCAUAAACUUUAAAGUCUACAGCAAAGUGGAAAUGCUUACAGAACAUGAAAGGACAAGGUAUUUGAAAGAGAGGACACCAAUAUUAUGAAAACUACUUACUUGGGGUCACAGUGAUAGCAGAUAUGAGAGGUCCAUAUACACCUCUUAUAGGAAUGGCAUUAGUUCCUUUCCCUGCCCAGGAUAAGUGGAUUUCCAAGGUGCUUUCUGUAACAUUAACAUUAAACUCCCUAGUGAUUCCCUUACCAACUCCCCCAGCUUCUUUCGCAAUGUUAAAAUCUUUCAAAUAUUUAAAACCCUGUCAAUGUACAGUAAUGAAAAUAUCGAACUUUAGAACUCGUGUUAUUGGAGAACCAGAUACAAAAUAUGAGUAAAAUUUUAAGAGAAACAAAAAAAAUGUAACAUUGUUUGCUUCAUUUACUCACUUGAAUUGAUACAUCAAAUACACGCUUUCCAAGGUUGCUAUAUGAGUGGUCAUCAGAGAAUGCUAUCUCAGCAAAAUGAAGUUUCACUUUAUAAUUGCCGUUCAGCAUACAAAGGCCAUAGUAAUUAAGAUACAGAGGAGCUAUGCGGGCUGUGUGGUAGUAAUCAGGGCCAUUAAUAUCCAAAGAAAACUGAUUUGUUGCUAUAUAAUCAGCUUUAUCAUUUCCUAGAUAUACUCCAGUGCUGCUAUAAGCCCAUUUGCCACUAUUACCAGGAACAUAGUUUGAAAUGCCAAAUGGACUGAGGUCAGCUUCAUAUUCAUUGCCCUCAAACUUUGUUUCAGGUCCUCCACAGUUUAUGAACAGUGAAUGAACUGGAGAGAGACACAGUGAAAGCGAAUAAUUUAUCAAGAAAAAUGAAUAUGCUUAAUGAAAAAGCAGGGAAAUAAAGAAAAACAAAAAACAAAACUUGUUCUCAUACAUGUUACUUCAAAUUUCAAAAUUUCAAAAAACAAUGUUGGUUAUCUAAGUCUAGACACUCACACUGGGGUUUUCCUGAACAAGGUUGGCCAAUCUUCAAACAAGAUAUUCUACAAGAUAUAAAGAUAUAAUAUUAGUUUCAACUGAUGAUUCAUAGCUGAUAUUAUAGAACUAAAACUAGUCCACAAGAAGGAACAUACGAAGUGUUUGCUGUGCGAGAGAGGCUUGAAGCUAAGUUCCUGUUCAAUGAUAAUACCAUGCUUAUUAUUGGCAUAGGUGAAAUGCUUAAAUAAUUUGUAGACAAAAAGAAGCUUACACAUCCAGCAUUUGGCAAAUAUUUGCAGAAGUCUUUGUGAAAUUGUUCAAAGAUAAAUCACUGAAAGAGAACAUAAAGUGAGAAUAAAUUUCAUAAUUCAAUGAGUGCUAACUAAAGAGAUAUGCUUACAUAUGCUUUUUUAUGCUCAGUAUCCAAUCAGGAAUUGGUCCACUUAGAGAAUUGUUUGUCAGAAACCUGCAUCCAUCAUGAAUAUAUGUCUCAUUAUAUCAGAAAAAAAUAAGUUGAGAAAAAGCAACCAACAUUCUUGAGAUCAAAUUAAUAUAAACAUUCACAUCCUUUCGGCUAAUCUUCUUGCUGGCAAAUGAAAAUACACACUUACAAGUAAUUUAGAUUUCCCAAAUCCUGAAAUGAAUCUGGGAUUGAACCUGUUAACAUGUUGGAGCUCAGAUCUCUGAAAGAGAAAAUAGGAAAUUACUAUGAUGUAGUAAUGGCACAUGCCACUUCCAAAUUCUAACAACAAAAUAUAAUGGAGGUAAUAUCAAGUUUCCAAUAAUUUUUAUUUUUUUUCUCUUUUUGCUGGCAUUUUGAAACACAAUAUUGCAGAUAAUAAUUUGCACAGAUGAUGCAUACUAAAAUUUAUAUCCACAUUCUUGGUAGUUAUAUUGUCAUUAUACUGGUAUAACUAACCAACAAAUCACAAUCACCUUAAAGGAAAUGCCCCCAAUGAUUACACAAACAGAUGAAGAGUGUCCAAAAAUAAGUCUUGAAAAAUAUCUAACAAUAGUUGAUUACCAGAGGGGCAAAGAAGUGUUAAUCACAAAAUUAAUUGGAUUCAAAUUAUUUCCUAAAUCCUGAUCUUUAUAAUGUAGAAAUUCAAUACUCAUAAACUUUAUCUAAUGAAGAAUAGAUGGAGAAAAGGUGCUACCUAACAAUAUAGGUGCAAAAUUAAAAUAAACACAUACUGUAGAAAUGGAGAUGAUAAAAUGAUCAAAUUAUUACAGAGUGACUUCUAAAUCCUUAAUUGUGUCAUGAUUCAACUAAAAUUAGAAUGUGUUUUUGUAUACUAAAAUUAAAUAGAUAAUAAUGAGAUUGGUAAACAGGUAGAUAAAAAAACUAAAGAAUAUAUAGCUAGUUAUAUACUCUUGAUGCAACUUACAUGAUUUUCAAACUUUCUAUUUCUCCAAUGUAGUUUGGAAUGGGACCAGUUAUUAAGCAAUUCCUCAAUUCCCUGAGUAACAGAAAUAUGAUAGAAGCCUAAAUGAAUUAUAUAGUUCUUCGCGUAAGAGCAGUUAAGGUUUCAACUCACAGUUUUAGCAAAAGUUUCAAAUUCUUCAGAUUAGGAAAUGUCAUAGUUGGUCCCUUCAAAUCAGAUAUCCUCCUGAUAUAUAAAUGUUUCAUCAAUGAAAAGAAGAUGUUCCACUAUAAGAGAUUGCAUUCCAUUACGAUUGUAAAAUGCACACAAAAUGUAAUAAUUUUGGAAUACUCUUAAAAGGACAAAGUGCUCACAAUUCUGUCAAAUUUGUCAAGUAAGAUAUGACAGAAGGAAUUGGGCCGUCCAAGGAUGUGCCCUGCAAAUCCCUACAAAAAGUUUUCUUAGAUAAUACAAUGCAAGUUAAUCAUGAUAUAACUUUAUUUUAUUCUUCAACUGAGAAAAGGUCAUGGAUGAACCAAAAUUUAGACUCACAAUCUAUCAAGUUUGGUCCAGUUCCCAAUAAAACUGGGUAUUUUCCCAGAUAAACUGUUUCCAUCUAUCCUACUGCAUGCAGAAAAUGUUGUUAUUUCACAAUUUAACAAACAUAAAAUAAAGACAAACGGAAAAAAAUUGCAUCACAUUAAAUCACUUACAACUGAGUGAGAUUCUUUAGAUUUCCAUAUGUUUCUGGUAUUAUCCCUGUGAAAUUAUUUGCACAAAGAAGUCUGUAGAUUCAUUUAGUUAAAGUGAAAAAAAAGGAGUUAGGGAUGUGUGGAGAAAACAGUAUGAAAUUGUAGAUAAUAUGGAGACAAUUUAAUGAUUUAAAUUGAUUAUGUAAAUCAAAUGAAAUUAAAAAAAUGAAACAAAUAGUCUCACAAUCUCAGCAAGUUGCUCAUUUUUCCAAGGCUCGGGGGAAGAGGUCCCUCAAGUUGAUUAUCUUCCAAAUUCCUGUAAACAUGGAUUACAAAUAUAAUUAUUCCACCUCCAGUUUUAAUCAAUUGGCAUCAUAGUUUUCUCAAACGCUUACAGUUCUUGCAGACUAGCCAUGUCACCAAUUUCUGAGGGAAUUGAACCAGUAAGUCGAUUUCCCAAAAGUGACCUGAAGCAUGUAGCAAUUGUACUGUGAGGAAUCAUGCAAACCCCAUUUAGGAUUUUUUUUAAUUAAAAUGCAAUCCCAUUUAGGAUUUUUUUUUUUAAUUAAAAUGUAAUGAUAGUAUAACAGAUUUUACACUAUCAUUCAAUAAUAGGUUGCUAUAUCCUGGGCGAUUUCUAGUUGGUUGUCGGCUACGUAGAUCACACCACGCCAUUUGACUCUUAAAAACCAAAGCCUUAUCUAGGGUGAUUUCUAAUGGGUUAACAAUGUAAAAAAUUUUGCACUUACAAUUUAUGAAAACUAAACUCAAUUGCAAGAAGGAAAAAAAAAAGACAGUCGCAAAGGUUCUUAGUUAACAAAUGAAGAACAUGCCUCACAAAUAGAGCAAGCAAGAUGAAAACACACAGAUGCAUAGGUAAUGAUGACUUACAGAGUGACAACUGAUGAGAGGCGUCCAAGGCUUUUUGGAAUUGAGCCAUUGAAAUUAUUCCAAGUGAGAUCACUGCUCAGUAUAAAAGUUUCAGUUAGUUAUUUCAAAGUAGAUUCCUUUGCAUUUCAUGAAGUUAAUAAUGUUUUGACUUUCAUAUAAAAGAACUAGAAUGUAUACUACUAAUGACAAAAUAACACUACAAAUAUUGCAAUUCACCUUUCAUAUUUGUAUAACAGCAUGCAUGGUGGGGCAUUACUCUACAAUCCAUAGUUUCUUUUAUCGGUUGAAAUCAAAGACAGUACUAGAAAGUUUAUAAUAACUCAUGUGUCCUAUUCAACCAAUUCAACUAGACCUCAUUGGUUAGUUGAUUAGUGUUCAUAGUUUUAUUUUCUUAUUUGGUCGACUUUUUCAUUACUUCAUUAAUGGUUAGUUAUAAUUACCAUUUUUUUGGCAUUUAUUUAUUAAGAAAUUGGGUAUCCGUAAAUGCUUAACAUUGAUCCCACCUGAUUAGCAUACCCAAAAGGAUAGCAUAGUAACUCCCUCAUUUGUGACUACAACAGUUACGGACAUGGUUAAUCCAUAUUUUCUAUAACAGUGCAGCAUUUGUGAACAUACAACUAAAAAAGUAAGAGACAAAAAGAAUUUAUAACCACUUACAGUAUUUCUAGUCGAGUUAAAUUUCCAAAUUCAUCGGGUAUAGGUCCAGAUAUAUUGAGACCCUUGAGCGCACUGUCAGCCAAUGUGUUAAAUUAGAAUUCUCAAAUGAAUAUUGUUUAUUAAUUUAAUAAAUACGAAUGAAUGUAAAGUAACCAAAGGUGACCAAUGGUCCAAGUGGAUGGAAAAAUAAAAAAUAUGAUUAGGAGAAAAGACUCUACUAUAAGUGAUUAAUGUUUUUCAAUAAAAAUUAAUCAUUUAAAAAAUUGAUAGAUACUUCACACUAGUAUUAUUAUCUAAAAAAAAAAGUAACCAAAGGUAACAUCUUUCACGUGUUAGUUUCAUUAUGCCUUAAAAAAACAUAUUAGUUUCAUUAUAAUUUUUUUUUUCACAAACUCACACUAUUGCCUAUUGGUGUUAAUAACAAAUUGUCUAAGUUGCACAAAAUCCAACUGUAGAAGACACUAGUAAGGGAGGGUUUGAAAAAAAGCUUACAUUGCUGUCACAUGGCAAGUAGUGUUAUUGUUGAAAGAGCAAUCACACGUGACAUUCCUUAUGAUUUGAGACUUAUUAUCCCUUGAAAUGUUCCUGUUAUCAAAUCCUCUAUCCCCGUUGCAAGAACGUUGUGUAACUUUCCAAUUCAGGUUCUCUACCUUGUCUGAUAUUGCUUGUAGCAAUUUCACUGCAACAUAUAGAAGGCAAAUAAAUUAAUUAGUUUUAUUCUCAGGCUACAUGCAUCUUAUAUUUCUGGUAUUAAGAUCUAUAAUCUUUUCAAAAGAAGAACUGUAAAAUAAUACUAUGUCAAUUUAGGUAAAUUCUAGAUUGUGACCUACUCAUAUUUUAACAAGCACAAGCUUUAGCAAAACUCUUGUGGUCAAAAGCUUUCAUUAGCAAACAUAUGCAUAAGCCCAUUGCAACUCUAGUCAAUAGCCUCAACAAUUUGAGCACGAUGCUAUCUUUAUAUCCAUUAAUUUGACUAAGUCAAACAAGGCGGGCAAUAAAUAUAAGAAAAAAUUGAACUUUGCAUACAUGCAAAGCUAAUCUUUUUCCUAAUUUUUUAUUGUCAACACUUGUCAUAUGAACCCCAUGCAGCAUCCAUCUAGUCCUAUUAGAGUAGUAUCAUUAUAACAAACCGUCAAUAAUAAGUAAAACAUGAUCAUCGUACCGUCCACAAUAAAGAUAACUAAACCUUAAGCUGGAGAAAUCGAUAUGGUUUUAGGGGUACAAAUCAUAUGACUAAUCAUUACAUUGACAAUUAUGCCAUGUUUAUCCUAAAAUAAAGAACUAUUAGAACGUGUUGGCACACAAUUUGACUCACCUAUCUAUUUAUCAAAAUUCAUCUAUCACAUUUUUUUUUUACUUUCUGUUUGUCUCCUUUAAUUUACUUUCUUCUGUUGCAGCCUUGAUUUUUAUGAGCCAAAUAUUUAGUUCAUUUUACUCUCUUUCGCAUCUAAAAUGUGAAUAGGAUUGGAAAAAUUAAGGGAUAUUUGAUUUGGUUGUUUUUUGUUUUUAUUUUUACUAUAAAUAAAAAUGGUGAUGAAAAUGUAUUUGGUUAGAUUUUUGAAAAUAUUUUAGUAAAAAUAUUUUUCUAAACGAACCAAAAAUUAAAAACAAAAAAAUCUUAUUUUCAGUUGAAACCAAGAAUCUCAUUUUAGUAAAAUGAAAAUACGAUGACAAAAAAUACAAUUUUAAGUAAAUCUAAAAAAUAUUUCCUUUUGAAAACAUAUUUUCAAUAUUUUUAUCUCUCGAAAGAAAAAAUAAAAAAUAAAAAAUUAAAUCAAAUAUAUUUUUAAAAUUUUAAUCUUUUAAAAAUAUAAACAAUUUUUAGAAAAUAAAAAUAAUAAAUAAAAAUACAACCUAAAGAUACCCUAAUAAUGGAGCAGGUGGGUAGAAGUGACAUUUCUCUAUUAAUUGUUGGCGUGCUGGUGACUAGUAAGGCACCGAAACUUCUCUCAUACCGAAAUAGUGAUAAAAGUAAAAUUAAAAUCAUGUCUUUGGAAAACUAUCAGGAUCCGUCCAAGAGUUAGUGAGACGUAAGGUGAAUUUUAAGAUUUUUUUUUUAACUUCAAAUGAGAGAGAUAUAUUAGUUUUUUUUGUGAAAAUAUGUGGGUUUUUUUAUCAAUGUGAUUUUUUUUGUUUCAUAGAAACUAAUAAAUUUUUUAUGGACCUAAAGCUUAAGCGAUCCUUACUGCUGCUUACACCAAAAGGGCAAAAAUCUAAAAAAGGAACGGAUGCGAUCAGCCACACUGUCUUUCUGACAUCUAGACAACUAUCACAUGGCCUUUAUAUUACCAAUUUGCCCUCACUUUAUUUAACAAAUUUUCAUCCUCGUGACUUGCUCCACAGCUGUAAAUUGUAAUAUGUGGUGAACAUAUUUCAGUCAUAAAUUAUUAAUGUCUUAUCUCAACUACAUAUGAUUCCCUGAAGAUGGAUACAAUUACAGAUAUUAUAAUGCUAAUCAAUGAUGUGACAGUGAUUAAACAAUAAAAUAAAAUACUUAGUGAAAAAUAUUUAUUCAAAAGUCCUGUAAAGCAAUUGUAAAACGGUCUUUCCAAUAAUAAAAUAAAUAUAGAAUACAAAUUAUAAAUAUCUUAUGUUUCAUAUGCAUGAUUCAUGCCUUGAGUUGACUAUAAUAACUGAUAUUACAAUAUUAAUCAAUACUGCGAUAUUGAUUAAAGGAAUAAAAAUCAAAUACACUUGAUAGAAAAUAUGUAUGGCUUGAGAAUUAUCAUCUUUAAACCUUUGAUCAAAGAGCACUACAAGAACUUUAACUCCUAUGAAGGAUCUAGUUAGAUACGUGACACCUAUGACAAUUAGUCCUAGGUGUACAUAUCUUUUAUUUGUAUUAAGGAGUUUUCGUCUUGUUUGUUGUGAGAUUAAUCUAAUAAUCUCAUGUCUUCCGUUAGAGAGAUAAAAAUCAUCAACCCUUCUGUAUUUGUAUAAGCUAAUUCUAUCUAAGGCCAGUCAAUUUAGGUUUUAUAAUUGUCUAGGAUUAAGAGAGUCUAUCAUAGAAUUUGAUCCAAUAUCAACAUUGGAUUCUAUAUCUACUAUUUGUUCCAGUUGGUUCGAAAAUUUGUCCUUCUAAAGAAUCUAUCUAGGAUUCCAGGAUGUUGAAUUAUAGAUUCAAUAACAGGAUUGUGUCCUGAGACUAUUUGUGAGGUUUCGAUAAAUGGUGUUGUCCUCAUUUUCUAGGCUUUGCUAAAACGAAUUUAGUCGAAGUUUGGCUUGUUGUUUUUCCUAGAUCAAGUUUAGAAAGCUGUGUUGUAAUUUUAUUGAGUUCGUUUGUAGAUAAACGAAUUUGUUGGUCUUUUGUUUUAAGAGUAUUCAAAAUAUCGUUAAUUUUAUUUUCUAAUGUUUGUAUUUUGUUAAACAACAAAUGUUGUAUUUUUGUUAAGCUGUCUAAGGUUUCAGAUAAAACUUCAAAAGACUUUAUCGAAAGUUUGUUACUAGAGUUAUUAUUAUUAAUUACAUCACAAUGUCUAUCCAGAGCUAAUGUAAAGGCUCUCAUACCAAAGAGGUACCGAGAAGCCUAUAUAAAAGGUGAAAGAAUAUGAAAUAAAUAGUAAGAAUAAUAUAAAUCAGCAAAGGUGGUAGUGCCUCCUAGUAAGAUUUAAAUAAGAGGUACCGAGAAGUCUAUAUAAACGGUGAAAGAAUAUAAAAUAAAUAGUAAGAAUAAUAUAAAUCAGCAAAGGUGGCAGUGCCUCCUAGUUAGAUUUAUAUUAUAUUAAAACAAGUAAAUAAAUGUACAAUUAAGAGUAAUCAAUAACAGUUAAUAGUAAGCGGUCAAGAGUAAGCGAUAUGCAGAAGAAAAAUAUCAAAUUAGAUGGAUAGAUGAUACUUCUCAAGUGGAUACGGUAAGUUAUCUUAUUUUAGAAAAAUAUAGAAUAUGAUGAACCCAAAAUCUUUUUUUUUUUGAAGAACAAAUAUACAAGAUCCUUAUCGGUUUUUUGGAUAUUAAGCCGAAUACUGAAGAUCUUUACCAACUCACACUUCUUUGGAUCUUACGUUGAUCUUAUUUUCCUCCAAGGACCCGCCUAACCAAAGAGGACUUUUAUCGUUUUUCAAAAACAGCUAUCAAGGGCACACCUUUAUAGGCUUACCAAUCCCAGGUUUUCGAAAUCGUAAAAAAUGAUCUUUCCAAUAAUAAAUUAAAUAUAGAAUACAAACUAUAAAUAUCUUAUGUCUCAAAUGCAUGAUUCAUGCCUUGAGUUGGCUACAAUAACAGAUAUUACAAUACUAAUCAAUGCUACGACACUGAUUAAAGAAAUAAAAAUCAAAUACACUUGGUAAAAAAAUAUGUAUUCUGAAUUCUUAUUAUGACUAGUUACCAGCACGACUCAUCUAUUAAAAAUACAAUUACAACCAAGGGUGGGUCUCACCAAUAAUAAAAUAAAUAAAAGAAUAUGGGCCCCCUUUGUUCUCUAUAGACGAGGCUACCUUACAUCACACAUGGUAUAACAAAGAGCAAUUGUGUGAUUUCAUUGAUUCACAAAAACACUCCGAAAUCAUGAAAUGUCACACCAAUAACAAAAGAAAUCCAGAAUUCAUAUACAAAUUCCUUGUUUCAAUUAGAAGAUAGAAAAAUCCAGAUACUCAGAAAGAAGUCUCUUGCUUCAAUUAAAAAAAACUCAAGUCCCAUAUUGACUAGAGAUAGCGUCAAGAUAGAACAUAUAAAGUGAGGACAACCCUCACUCUAUGAGCUAAUUUUUAAGGUUGAGUUAGACCUAGAUUUUUUUCUUGGUAUCAUAUAAAGUGAUUGGACGUGAGAGGGUGAAUUAAAAAAUAAUCCAAGUCCCACAUUGACUAGAAAUAAUGUCAAAAUAGAACAUAUAAGGUGAGAGUAACCCUUACUCUAUUAUAAAAAGAGAAUAAGUAGAAGAAAAAACAAGAGUAAUUAGUCUUAAUUGAAUAAAAAAAUAAUUUGAGGUAUAGAUAAAAGAAAUUCAAAAUUUUCUUUCAUUUUACUCUCUAUUCCAAUCACUGGGAACCAAAAUAAUCCCAGAAAAUUUUAAAAAAAAUAGAAAAAAUUUUAUUUAUUUUUAUUUUUGAGCAAGUUAGAUGCAGAACUUCUUAAAAAAACUAAUUAAAUGUAAACGGAAGAAGCAGGGAACAAAAAAAAAACGACAUUGGCGAUUUCCUUAUGGAUCUUGUGACAGAAGCAACAAUGCAAGUUGAAGAACUAAAUUCUGGAAGAUGGGUUUGCACUAAAACGGAUAAAGUUGAAACUUUGUGAAGUUGGUGUUAAAACCAAAAAGACAGUUUCAGUUUAUAGUUUUGGAAGUUACAAAAGUGAAAUUUCCAACACACACAUAAUUAACACAUAAAAACCCAUAAGAUAAAAAUAAAAUGGAAAAUAAUUAAGUACCUUCAUCUUGUGGUAAGAGUUGAGCGUUGGAUCCAAAGUGUAGGGAAGCCAGGAACACAAAAAUGAAGCACUUAGACACACGUUUGGAGCUUGAAGACAUCACAAACCGCAUCAUGGUCCUGCGGUGUGUCGGUAUCAGAAAGUUUCAGAAUGGAGUAGCAAAAACAGAGAAGAGAGUUGCUAAAGAUUAUUUUUGUAGAAUUUAAAAGAGGAUCUCACAUAAGACAUUAUUUAUUUGAAUUUAUUACACAAAUAUUAUAUAUAUAAUAAGUUGUUGAUUUUCAUAAUAAACAUCUUGUAAAAUAAUUUUUAAUUGAUUGAUAAUGUAAAAAAUACUAAUAAUAUAUGUCAAGGGAUCUAAUUCAUUAGUUGAGAAAAUACAUUAGUUAUGUUGUUUUUUAUUCUUAUAAGAUCAAAUUUUAGGUUUGAAUAUUUUUACUUAUUUUUUAUAUAAUUAGAAGAGAAAUGAAAUAAAAAAGACAUAAAAUAAAUUAUGAAAUAAUGUUACAAAGACAGGAGAAGUAACGCGAGAAGUAAAGAAUUAAGUAUUGUAAACUAUAUUGAAGUAAAAAAUGUCACAUAAUUAUUACAGUUAUGUAUAUAUAUAUACUCUACUUUUUAGUUGGAGUGUGCAUUAAUAUCCUACACAAAAAAAAAAAAAUUGUUGACAAAGAAACCACUCAUAAUUAAAUAUUAACAAUGAACAAAGUUGUUUUUAUAGAAAAAUGAUAGGAAUAAAUAUCAACUUUAAAAGGAUCAAUAUUUAUUUAUUUAUUUUAUUCCUAUAUGAAUUAAUGACAAUUUCAGUAAAUAUGCUUUUUAUAUAUUAAUAUUGUUAUACUUUAUGAGAAAUAAAAAAGAAUAAAUUAUAAUGGUCCAGAGUUCAAGUCAUCGCUUGACUUGAUUUCCGCGUCUGAGUAAUGUUAUUAAAAUAAUGGUCCUGUUAAAGUCAUCGCUUGACUUGACUUCCCCGUUUGCGAACGGCGUGUGCCUUAAGUUCUUUAAGGAGUUGUACGUAAUUGGAGUAAUUAAAAAUUUACUAAAGUUUUUAGAUCGGAGUUCUACCACAUAAUAAGAUCCCAAUAUAAGUGAGUGAAAAACUUCUUCCCUGAUAUCUAUAAUGGAGAUGCUCUUAGACAUUUGACACCACUUAGAAACGUGUGGAUGACUUUGAUUAAUUUCUCUUUUUUUUAUAACUAGAAAAAUUAAAUGAAUUAUAUCAUAAAGGUUCACCAAGAUUUGGAUACACUUAAUUGAUUAAUUUCUUUUAGUCCUAUAUGCAAUGUGCCAAAUUUGUCCUAACUCCUAAGUAACAUAAAAAUAUCUCGGGUGUGCAAUAACUACAGAAAUAAAAGAAAAAUUAGGAUGAAAUUAUACUAAAAAAGUAUUGUAAAUUCUCUUAUUUUGUUUUUUUCGCAGAAUAAAGCAUGAGAAGAAUGGCUAAUACCAUAGUUACCUUAGCAAAUACUGGUUCGGGAAGAGAUCCUAGACAUUUUGAAAUGAAUGGAAAGAGAGUCUACUUUCAUUAAGUGAUUUAUUAGAUAAUCGAAAACAGAAAAUCUUGAGAACUAUUCGAAACUCAGAAGAAUUACGGGAAGGGGCCAUUGAACAGCUGGAAAAAGCCCAAGCCCGCUUAAGGAAAGUCGAAACGGAAGCAGAUCGUUUUCGGGUGAAUGGCUAUUCUGAGAUCGAACGAGAAAAAUUGAAUUUAAUUAAUUCAAUUUAUACGACUUUGGAACAAUUAGAAAAUUACAAAAACGAAGCCAUUCAUUUUGAACAACAAAGAGUGAUUAAUCAAGUCCGACAACGGGUUUUACAACAAGCCUUACAGGGAGCUCUAGGAACUCUAAAGAGUUGCUUGAACAACGAGUUACAUUUACGUACUGUCAGUGCUAAUAUUGGCAUGUUUGGGACGAUGAAAGAAAAAAUAACUGAUUAGUCUUUCUAUUAUAAAAUAGAGUAUAGGCAUUAUUUUUUUCUUCUAAAAAAAUAAAAUUAAGAAAUUUUCAUGGUAACCAUUCGUGCAGAUGAAAUUAGUAAAAUUAUCCGUGAACGCAUUGAGCAAUAUAAUACGGAAGUAAAAAUUGUAAAUACGGGUACCGUACUUCAAGUAGGCGACGGUAUUGCUCGUAUUUAUGGUCUUGAUGAAGUAAUGGCGGGUGAAUUAGUGGAAUUUGAAGAGGGUACUAUAGGCAUUGCUUUGAAUUUGGAAUCCAAAAAUGUUGGUGUUGUAUUAAUGGGUGAUGGUUUGAUGAUACAAGAGGGAAGUUCAGUAAAAGCAACAGGAAGAAUUGCUCAGAUACCUGUAAGUGAGGCUUAUUUGGGUCGUGUUAUAAAUGCCCUGGCUAAACCAAUUGAUGGUCGAGGAGAAAUUUCAGCUUCGGAAUCUCGAUUAAUCGAAUCUCCUGCUCCCGGUAUUAUUUCGAGACGUUCCGUAUAUGAGCCUCUCCAAACAGGACUUAUUGCUAUUGAUUCGAUGAUCCCCAUAGGACGUGGCCAACGAGAAUUAAUUAUUGGAGACAGACAAACGGGUAAAACAGCAGUAGCCACAGAUACUAUUCUCAAUCAACAGGGACAAAAUGUAAUAUGUGUUUAUGUAGCUAUUGGUCAAAAAGCAUCUUCUGUGGCUCAAGUGGUGAAUACCUUACAAGAAAGAGGAGCAAUGGAAUACACUAUUGUAGUAGCUGAAACAGCGGAUUCUCCAGCUACAUUACAAUACCUCGCCCCUUAUACAGGAGCAGCUCUGGCUGAAUAUUUUAUGUACCGUGAACGUCACACUUUAAUCAUUUAUGACGAUCUCUCCAAACAAGCACAGGCUUAUCGCCAAAUGUCUCUUCUAUUACGAAGACCACCUGGUCGCGAAGCUUAUCCAGGAGAUGUUUUUUAUUUACAUUCACGUCUUUUGGAAAGAGCCGCUAAAUUAAGUUCUCAGUUAGGCGAAGGAAGUAUGACUGCUUUACCAAUAGUUGAAACUCAAUCGGGAGAUGUUUCAGCUUAUAUUCCUACUAAUGUAAUUUCCAUUACAGAUGGCCAAAUAUUCUUAUCUGCCGAUCUAUUCAAUGCUGGAAUCAGACCCGCUAUUAAUGUAGGUAUUUCCGUUUCCAGAGUUGGAUCGGCGGCUCAAAUUAAAGCCAUGAAACAAGUAGCUGGUAAAUUAAAAUUGGAAUUAGCACAAUUCGCAGAAUUAGAAGCUUUUGCCCAAUUCGCUUCUGAUCUCGAUAAAGCUACUCAAAAUCAAUUAGCAAGAGGUCAACGAUUGCGCGAGUUGCUUAAACAAUCCCAAUCAGCUCCUCUUACCGUGGAAGAACAGAUAAUAACUAUUUAUACUGGAACGAAUGGUUAUCUUGAUUCAUUAGAAAUUGGACAGGUAAGGAAAUUUCUUGUUGAGUUACGUGCUUACUUAAACACGAAUAAACCUCAAUUCAAAGAAAUCAUAUCUUCUACCAAGACAUUCACUGGGGAAGCAGAAGUCCUUUUGAAGGAAGCUAUUCAAGAACAGAUGGAACUCUUUUUACUACAGGAACAGGUAGAAAAAAAUUGAUUAAUCAUUUAAUAACUUUAUAAUUUCACUUUCAAAUUCUUAUAAUUAGUAUCUUUUAAUAUCUUUUUAUUUCAUUUGAAUAUAAUAUUAAUAUAUAAAUCGAAUGAAAAUAGAAAAAAAAAAAAAAAAAAAUAGAAUAAAUAAAAUAGAAGGACAAGGUAUAAAUUGCAUAUAUUUGCAUAUAUAUGCAAAUAUAUGCAAACAAUUUGCGUCCAAUAGGAUUUGAACCUAUACCUAAGGUUUAGAAGACCUCUGUCCUAUCCAUUAGACAAUGGACGCUUCUAUUUUUUUUUUCUUUUAUUCUUUAACCUUAUUAACUAAAAAAGGUUAAAGAAUAAAAGAAUUCUAUAUUCUAUAUAUAGGAAUUCUAUAUUCUAUAUAUAGAAAAGAUAUAGAAAAUUUAUAGAAAAUAAAUAAAAUUCAAUUUGUUAUAAAUACCUAAAAUAAAUACCUAAAACUAAAUUAAGAAAUUAAAAAAAAGAAUUGACAAAUUCAUUUAAAAUUCUAGAUUCAUUCUAUAAGAAAAAAGAUAGAUUCAAAUAGAAUAAAUAGAGAAUAUAAGCGGGUAGCGGGAAUCGAACCCGCAUCGUUAGCUUGGAAGGCUAGGGGUUAUAGUCGACGUUGAUUCAUCAUUUUGAUUUCAAUUUAACGUCUCUAAUUCAAAACCGAACGUGAAACUUUUGUUUCAUUCGGCUCCUUUACAGAAAAAAUUAAGAGAUGGAAAAUCAAAAAAUUGACCCAUAACAUCUAUGUCAGCCUUUUUGUUUUGUAUGAAUAAGUUUAAAACAUCUUGCUUUUUAGAUGAUCCCUCUAGAAGAGCAGUAUUAUAAUAAUCUGUUUUUUUUCUAGUUACUUCGUUCUCUAUUUCUAUUUAAUAGAAUCUUUAGGAAAAGCAUAAAAUUUCUGUCGAGCUAAAAAAAUGUAGAUGUCUCUAGUAAACUAAAAGAAUCGUUUAAUAGCUAUUUUGCUUCAAUCUCUACUAUACAAAAAAAUGGAAGAUUUAGUUACGAUUAGAAAGAACUUUCUAUAUAUCUCUCCAUAGAUCCUUUCGUCAUACUCAAAAAAAUUCGGAUUAUAGAUCCAAUUCCAAAAACUUAUGUUUCAUAAUUUUAGAACUCAAGUUGUCAAUUUAGAAUUGAUUCUUCUUGUAUACAAAUUACGAUAAUGUAUAUUAUACCGCAAAUCAUUCAUUGAGGGUAUAAAGGAUUCCCUUUAAGUUACAAGUUAACAAUAACAUUAAUUAAAUUAAUAAAAAAUGAAAAGAAAGAAAGGCUCCGGUGUAUAGAAAGGACCUGCCCGUUUCUAAAAAAAAUCAUAGAAACGAUGGAACCCACCCAUUUUUUAUAUAUGUCCUAAUUUAUUUACUAUUACUUACUAUGUUUUUUGAUAUCUAGUAUCAAUACAAUUUAUUAUUUUGAGGUUGAAUAUUUAGAAAAAAAAAUAUAUAUAUAAAAUCGUGGUUGGGGAGGUUAUAGUAGCAAGAGCCAUUGGAAUUUUUUUUUUAUACAUUGGAAGAAUCCAUUUUUGUUAUUAAUAGACUAGUAAGAAGAAAAGAAUAACUGAAAAAUCAAAUAGUUAUUCAUCAAAGUCUCAAUUAUUCAAUGACCAGAAUUAAACGAGGAUAUAUAGCUCGGAAACGAAGGACAAAAAUUCGUUUAUUUACAUCAAGUUUUCGAGGAGCUCAUUCAAGACUUACUCGAACGAUUACUCAACAGAAAAUAAAAGCUUUGGUUUCGGCUCAUCGGGAUAGAGAUAGGAAAAAAAGAGAUUUUCGUGGUUUAUGGAUUAGUCGAAUAAAUGCAGUAAUUCGCGGGAAUAUUAAAGUAUAUUAUAUUUAUAGUAAUUUAGUAUAUAAUCUAUACACGGGGCAAUUGCUUCUUAAUCGUAAAAUAGUUGCACAAAUAGCUAUAUUAAAACAGAAUUGUCUUUUUAUGAUUGCCAAUGAUAUCAUAAAAACCAAAAAUCCCCUUAGACUUUACUCCGGGAAGGUAUAGAAUAUAAAUUUGUUUAUUUUGAUAGCUUUAUCAUAUGAAUUUUUAUCAUAUGAUAAAGCUAUCAAAAUAAACAACCACGCUGAAUAAAAAAAAAUGAUUCUUUGUUACCUAUUAUCUUUUUUCUUACAACAUAAAAACCCAAAUUGAAUUGUCGUAAUUUUCAAACAAAACAUCAAUCAAUAUUUCAUUCAAAUCUCAAUUCAAAAUUGGAUUUAGAAUUCUUAAUUUCUAUAUUUUUUUUUUCUUAAAGUAGUAGUUCUAGCGGUUGACUCGCUUUUUUCAAAUUGUUUUUCAUUAUUAAGAAAAGAUAACGAAGAUAAAAUACGAGCUUGUUUUAUAGCAAUUGUUAUUAAUCGUUGUUGUUUUAAGGUCAAUCUAUUUACGCGUCUGGAUAAUAUUUUUCCUUGUUCACUAAUAAAUCGACUAAUUAAACCCAUGUUUUUAUAAUCAAUUCGGUCCCCCGAUUGGAUCGGGGGCAAACGCCUACGAAAAGAUCGCUUAGAUUUUUCCAUGGUUUAUUUAUCCCUAUUCCAAAAAUCACAUUUAUUACAAGAAAUACUAUAAAGGAUUAGAAAUACUAUAAAGGAUUUGUUUUUUUAUUCUGACUUUUUUAAUAUAUGUUGUUAUAUACUGAUAUUUGUAUAUAUUCAACUGUAAAUGAUAGAAUACAGAUAGAUCUGAUAGAAUACAGAUAGAUCUAUCUAUAUAGAUAAGAAAAGUUCUUUGGUUCGAAGGGUAACACACAAGCGAUCAAUUUGAUCUAUUUCUUUAUUUCUGCGUGAAUUGUAUGUUUGCAACAACGGGGACAAAAUUUUCUCAAUUCCAAUCGACUAGGCGUAUUCUGUCGAUUCUUUUUAGUUAUAUAUCUAGAAAUACCCGUUGAUUCCUUAUUAACACUCUUUUUAUCACAACCGGUACAUUCCAAAAUAACAAUUACUCGGAUAUCUUUACCUUUGGCCAUGAACCUCCCUUGGGUUUUAAUUCACUUAACUCUUUUGUUUUCGGAUUAUAAUCUAAGAAAAAGAAAAGAACGAAAAAACGAAAAUAUAAAUUAAGAAUUAGAAAUCCAAUUUUGAAAGAUUUCGUUCCAAUUAAGAUUAAGAUUAAUAUAGUACAAAAAUAAUACAAUGAUCUCGAACUAUAUUUCGUUUCGAAUUGCAAUACAAUUGCAAUACAGUAUUUUCGUUUUUUUAACUAAGUAUUUUUUAUGAUAUUGUUGCCCCCACCCUAUACAUUCCAUUUAAAUUUCUGCUUUCACUCUUUUAUUAAUAGAAAUGGAAUUGAAUUAUUAAUUCAAUUCCAUGGAAGCCUGGACGAGAUCCCGAGUUUCACUCCGAAUUUCAAUUAGGCCAAAUUAACCCUUAUUCUUUCUCUUUCCUAACUUAUUCUAUUACAAUUGUAAAAAAAAGAAGAAAUAAAAGACGAAAUAAAGAAGAGGAGAUUAAUUACAUAUUAAUUACAUAUAUUUAAUACUUAAUUGGAUCUAUAAUCUUCUUCACCCCUUUCCGUGUCAAUAACUAGAAUGAAAAAAAAGGGAAUAUCAAUGCAUCUGGAAAAAAACGAUUGAUCUCUAUCAAGAGACCCGCCAAAGCCCCGAACCAUAGAGUACUUACUACUGGUGCCACGGAAAGAUAUGUUUUUAGAUCUCGCAUUUCAAAUCCUCCUUUUUAAGUCUUUUUUCUAUCUAAAAUUUAUUUGAAUUUAAUAUUCUUUUUGAUUAUUCUAAAGAAUAUUAGUUAUAUUUUUUUCUUUUUCAUAUUCUAUUCUAUAUUAUAGUAUAGGAAACUAAAAAAAAUGGCAGAAAAUUAGAAAAUUAGAAAAAUGAUAGAUAUAUAUUAUAUAUAUAUCUAUAUAUCAACAGAUAAAAAUGUGGAAAACAAAACAAAGAUUCUUUACAAUAACACUAGAAACAAAUGGAAAAGGGAUGUAGCGCAGCUUGGUAGCGCGUUUGUUUUGGGUACAAAAUGUCACGGGUUCAAAUCCUGUCAUCCCUAUCCCUAACUAUUACUUAUCAUAUGAUAUUCCGUAUUAUAUAUUUAUUAUAUAUUUAUCAAUAAAACGGGACCAAUUGAAGACGAAUUCCAAUUGGACAUACAUACCGAAUAUCUAUAUGUAUAUAUAUUGAUAUAGUAUAUACAUGUAAAAUGGAUUUGGAUCAUAUAAAAUAAUUUAUGAAAACAAAGCGCUCUUAGUUCAGUUCGGUAGAACGCGGGUCUCCAAAACCCGAUGUCGUAGGUUCAAAUGUUCAAAUCCUACAGAGCGUGAUGAUUCAAAUCCUACAGAACGUGAUUCUUGUAUUUUUCGAAUGAUAAAUAAUUGAACAUUAAAAAGUCUGAAUUUAAUCCUUGUAGAUUAGGAUUAAAACAAAAAAAUAGGGAAUCCGCAAAAAAAGAGACAUUAAUUAAUCAAAGAUCCAACUGAUCACCUCGUCGGUAUUGUAAAUAUGCAGUUACAAAUAAUCCAGCCAAAGUAAUGGGAAUUAAACCUAACACGAUUCCAAAUAGAAAAACUUCAAUCAUUUUUAUUUGUUCGAAAGGUAAAAAGAAAGGUAAUAUCUAUCCUUAACCAUUAAUCUGUAUUGAUCAUGAAUCUCAACGACCGAGAAUUGUAAAUUGACACAGUAAGGAACUAUAGAAUGUCUUAUUCCAAAAUUGACUAUUCCUCUCAAAAUUACAAAUCAAAUAAGUCGUAUUUUACUCAGACCAAUAAAUAGAGAUGAGGUUAUAAUUAAAACCACUAGUAAAAAACCGAAAUAACUAGUUAUAGUGAGCAUAUAGAAGCUAAAUGAAAUAUGUUAUUUUUAUACAUCUGUUUAUAAAGCACUUCCCUAAAUUUCCAUUUUUGAGAGAAAAAAGAAGAUAAGAAAAAAUACUACUUAAAAGAUACAAUUGAAAAUUGGAGAUUCAUCAAUAAAUUAUUACAGACGAAUAAAAAGAGAAAUAGAAUGACAUAAUUUAGAAAUAAAUUCAUCAUCUGUGACAUCUACUCAUCCUGUGAUUCCAAAUCAACAGACUUAUUAAUCAACUCAUGAAUUGAGUAAACUAAUCUAAUGAUAAUGAAAAUCUUUCGUAUUAUUUUAUAUAUUAUUCUAGAAUAGAAUUCUAUUUCUAUUAGAAAGAAAAAUGAAUAUUAAAACAAAAACAAAGAAAAAUAACUUUGUUAUUUCAAUUGUUAUUUCAAUUUCUUUAAUUUUGAAUUAAUAUAGAAGAAAAUAGAAAAAAUAUCUUCAACAACCACAAAAAGUAUAUUUAUAGAUUUGGCAUCUAAUUGAAUUCUAGAAAUAUAAAAUCUCCUUUAUGAAUUCUAAGAAACCAAUUUACCAUAUUCCGAUUUUAAUUGAUACUUAGUUUUUAGUCCGAAACUAAUAAUGUGAAAUGUGAAGAACCUUCAUUUUAUACUAUUACUAUAAAAAUGUACUAUCCAAAAAUUUUCUAUCGGAUUUUUGAAUACAUCGAGACAAUCAAUGAAGAAAGAAGAAAGAACUUAUCUAGUCCUAGAUUUCGAUUGUGAAAUUUCAUUGCUCUGUUAGAAGAAGGAUAGCUAUACUGAUUCGGUAUACUCAAAAGACACCGUUGGUACAAAAUGGACGAUCUAACAAGGAUUACAUUUCAGUAAAUUUCUACUUACUGAUUUUAUGGAAUCGAUCCCCCUUUUGACUGUACAAGAAUAUGUGGAGUUCAACAUGUCUGGAAGCACAGGAGAACGUUCUUUUGCUGAUAUUAUUACCAGUAUCCGAUACUGGAUUAUUCAUAGCAUUACUAUACCCUCCCUAUUCAUUGCAGGUUGGUUAUUUGUCAGCACGGGUCUAGCUUACGAUGUUUUUGGAAGCCCCCGCCCAAACGAAUAUUUUACAGAGAGCCGACAAGGAAUUCCAUUAAUAACUGGCCGUUUUGAUCCUUUGGAACAACUUGAUGAAUUUAGUAGAUCUUUUUAGGAGGCUCCAAUGACCAUAGAUAGGACCUAUCCAAUUUUUACAGUACGAUGGUUGGCUGUUCACGGACUAGCGGUACCCACUGUUUCUUUUUUGGGAUCAAUAUCAGCAAUGCAGUUCAUCCAACGAUAAACCUAAUUUGAAUUAUAGAGCUACGACACAAUCAAACCCAAAUGAACAAAAUGUUGAAUUGAAUCGUACCAGUCUCUACUGGGGGUUAUUACUCAUUUUUGUACUUGCUGUUUUAUUUUCAAAUUAUUUCUUCAAUUAAUAGAAGAAAUAGGAAUAGUAAAUAAUAUAUAAGGAAUUAUUUUAUCCCAUUCGGAAGGAUAUCGUUUCAUAAUUAUCUAUGACUGUUUAUGUCUUUAGCAUGACUGACUACUUGAUUAAAUGUGGAGGAAAGUGGGAUAAAUGGCCGAUACUACUGGAAGGAUUCCUCUUUGGAUAAUAGGUACUGUAACUGGUAUUACUGUGAUCGGUUUAAUUGGUAUUUUCUUUUAUGGUUCAUAUUCCGGAUUGGGCUCAUCUCUGUAGUAAUCGUGUUAGAAUUUGUUUUUUUUUUGAAAUGAAAGCGUAAUAACUCACCUGGGAUCCACUCGAAUUCGUCAAAGAAAGAGUGGAUCCCAGGUGAGUUAUUAAUAAUUCUAAUCUUUUUUUAUUCAUAUAAACGACUACUUUUUCCGAUGUUUCAAAAAACUCCAUUUCAUUCUUUUUUUUUUUACAAGUUAAUUGAAGAAAUUCAAUUUGUUUAAUCAAAUUCCCCAACCCCCUCUCUUUUUAUUUGUUCACUACGUAUUAUAUGCAAUAAAAUAUUAUAUGGCAGAAAUAUUCUAAGUUGGAAAAAAUAGAAACUAAGAUAUAGGAUUUUUCAGGAAGGGGUUAAAAAAGAUUAUUUUAUUGAUAUUUUUAGAAUAUUUCUAUUUCGACACAAACAAGAAGGAAUAGGAAUCGGACUCUAGGAAAAGACAAAAAAUCCCCCCUAGAGUACCUUUUCCAUAUUUUAAUUGAUUUUGUUUCAAAUUAUCUAUCUAUAUAGAUAUCUAUUUUAUGUUUAGUAUCGAAUCCAAUUUUAUUGUAUUUUACAAUCGAAAUUUCUAUAAUAGAACUCUCUAUUAUAGAAAAAUGAAAUCUGAAAAAAACAGUGUCAUAACCAUAAUAUUCGAAUUUAUUGGGGGGUUGAAAAAACAAAGUCAAAUAGUCUUCCUGACAAUAUCCAUACUCGAGUUUAUUUGUAUUACGUUACAAGUAACUCUUUAAAUAUAGUAUAAAAAGACUAUACAGAACCAAAGAUCUUUUCAUAAUUUUUUUAUUCUAUUAUACUGAUAUUAUACUGAAUAGAAUUACAUAAAUUAUCAACAAAAAAAUUGAGUUAUUUUUAUGAGUUUAAUAUGUUGAUAAAUAUGCGGGACUAGAAAUUCAUUUCGGACAAUUGAACCUUCUCAAAUUGUUUCUUCUUAAGAACUAAAAAGAUUUGUGCUAAAAUAAUAGAUGCGAAGAAGAACAAGAGACCUUGGACACGUAACGGAUCUUGAAGUACUAUUUCCGCAUCCCCCUGACCAAAUCCACCCACAUUUGGAUUACUUGUUAAUGGCUGAUCAAGUUUGAUAGAUUCACCUUCUGAAACAAGAAGUUCUGGUCCUGGAGGUAUAAUAUCAAUCACUUCACGCCCAUCCAAUGCAUCCACUAUAGUUAUUUCGUAUCCCCCUUUUUCUUUUCGUAUGAUUUUUUUUACCAUACCCGCUGCUGUAGCAUUAUACACAUUAUUAUUACUCUUGCUCCCGUCAAGAUAAAUCUGACCCCUUCCCCUGUUCCCACCUACGUAUAUAGGAUAUUUUAAGAAAUGAACAUCUCUCUUAGUAGUGGGAUCCGGGGAAAGAAUAGGAAAGGUUAUUUCUUUAUAUUUUUGACCAGGAACAGGGCCUACCACAAGAAUAUUUUUUUUUGUAGGACGAUAGUUUUGAAAAGACAGAUUGCCUAUCUUCUCUUUAAUCUCAGGCGAAAUACGAUCGGGGGGUGCCAAUUCAAAACCUUCCGGUAAAAUAAGAACAGCCCCCACAUUCAAAGCUCCCUUUUUACCAUUAGCAAGAACUUGUUUCACUUGCAUAUCAUAAGGAAUUCGAACAACUGCUUCAAAUACAGUAUCAGGAAGUACCGCUUGUGGAACCUCAAUAUCCACGGGCUUAUUAGCUAAAUGGCAAUUGGCACAGACAAUACGACCGGUUGCUUCUCGGGGAUUUUCAUAACCCUGCUGUGCAAAAAUUGGAUAUGCGUUUGAAAUGGGUGCUCGAAUUAUUAUAUAUAUCAUGAUCGAUAUGGAAAUGGAUCGAGUAAUCCCUUCCUUUAUACAAGAAAAAGCAUUUCUAGUUUGCAUGGUCUAAUCAUUGAUCCUGAAAAUUUCUACAAUAAGAUUAGGUAGGUCACUCGCAUAGUUCCCUAUCCAAGUCGGGGAACCCCUUUUUUCAUUUAAGGGGGUUAAAAAGAAGGGAAAAAGCAAAGUUAUUUUCUUUUUAGCUAAAAAACUUUAAAUUAAAAUUUGAUAAGUGAAUCAUUUUGUCAGUCAAUCAUUCAUUGAAUGAUAAAUCACUACAAGUGAUGGAGAUACGCGAUUUAAAUAACGAAAAAUCCAAUAUUUUAAAAUUGUAUCUAAAAUGACUGGAAAAGUGGAAACAAGACCAGAUAUAAUUUGAUCAUUUUGAGCAAAUCCAAAAUCUUUAUAGACGAAACUAAUCACUAGUUCCCAACCAUGGGAUGCCUACUCACAUAGGCCAUGAUUCUUAAGCUAGUUGCAUCCUUCAUUUUCUUUCCCCACCCUCCCAUUAAUCACAUUAUUUUGAACAUAACAGUAAUAGGCAUGUGCUGUAAUAAUAGGUUCAUUCCUUGUAACUUCUAUUUCUGUUCAAUUCUUAAAAAAAAAGGAUUUUUUUUUAUGGGGACAACAAACUGUCAUAUACGAUAAGAAAGCAUGGAAAAUGAAGACAACUUAAAAAGAAAAAGACGAAGAAAAUUAAUGAGAGGGACCCUCUCACAUUAAAGGUUGGCUGCCAAAGAAAAAAUCAAAACAAUGAGAAAUCAAAACCAGCCACGCCGUUGAUUUCUUUUGGAUCUGAUCCGACCUAGAAGACUUAUUGGAUGGUUUUGAUUUCUUUUGGCGUUGAGGGAACACCAUUUGAAAAUUGUAACAAUAAUGUUCAAUGCACGUACCAAACGUGUCCUUAAGUAAAUAUAUUAAAACAACUUGGGUGCAAUAUCUACACAAUUAAAUGAAAAAUAUGAUGAAAUUAUACUAAAAAAAUCUCGCAAAUUCGUUUGUUUUAAUUUAUUUUUUCACUGAAUAAAGCAUUGAUCAGAAGAAUGGCUAAUGCAGUUACAUUAAUAAAUACUGCAUCGUAGCAUGAUACGAAAAAAAAGGUUCUGUGUAGUGUGUACGUAGCUGUAUUGCUGCAUGAGGAAUAUAUGGUUUUUAUAGGCUAUGAUUCUAAACUCGUAUGCUUCAUUUUCUUUCCCUACCCUCCCAUGAAUCCUAUUUGAACAUUGUAAUCGGCAUGCGCUGUACGGCUGUAGUAAAAGGUUUAUUCCUUGUAACUUCUGUUUUUGUUAUUAAAAAAUAUAUAUUAGCAACAACCAUAGUGAAAGAAGUUCGUGGAAACAACAACUGCCACAUACAAUUAGAAAAUAAGGAAAGUGAAAUGAAAAAGCUUUAAGAAAGAAAAAAUUGACUAAAAUUAGAGGGACCUGCACAUUAAACUAAGGUUGUUAGCCAAAGAAAAAUCAAAACAAGGAAAAAUCAUAGAAAAAACCUAAUGAACCCGCUGAAGCUCAAUUAUGUAUCGUUGGUGGUAAAUUGUUCCAACUAUAUAAAUUUGGAAAUAUUUUAUAAUAUAACUUUUUUAGAGACUACUAUUUUCAUCUUUUAAUAAAAAAGAGUAUAUACACUCUAUAACGUUUAGAAUUUGAAGAGGUUUUUAUAUAUAAAAAAAAGUUGACUAAGCCAACUUUGAGAAUACUCAGCAGUAUUCCUCGCAGGGACGGUGUAAUGUAUAUCAGAAAAAUGAACCAGUAGUAUUGCAGAAUUCGUUACAGCAAAAAUGGUUAAAGGGGAACCAGUAGCAGAAAAAUAUGGACAGAAAAAUGAACCAACAAGAGAGAGAAAAGGUUCUUAAUUCAUUACAUCCCCCUCUACUAUUCUCAUGCUUAGCUAAUUAUACUACUAACUCACACCCAAUACCUCUUCACACGUGUGUUUUUCCUUUUGUUGGGGGCCCACCUUCCCAAACAUGUAACUAACUCAUUUUGUGCCAAAUUAUUUUCCUCUUUUGCCCCUUCAUCUUUAUCCUUGCUGCUAGCACUUGUUACAAUUCCCCCUCCAUCAAAAUUAACCUUGUCCUCAAGGUUAAAAUCUGGAAAAGCCUCACUUAGAAUUGACUAAUCUUCCCAUGUGGCAUUAGAAGAAUCCAAUCCCUCCCACAAGAUGAGAUGUUGUUUGACCUGUUGAUUUCCCCUGAUAAUGGUUCUUGUUUGCAAUAUGGAAACUGGUUGGAUCACUGGUCUGGAAUCAGUAGCUGACCAAGUCAUGAAAAAUGACCUGGAUAGUGCAUCAAUAGGGAUAUUCUCUUUCCCUGAUUUGUAUUCAAUAGUAAAAUCAUAUGGUAGCCAGGACUGUUGUUCAGGAGUUUGCAAGGCUUAUUCCGUGAGUGUUUUCAGGCUCUUUUGAUUAGUUCGAAUAAUGAAUUUAUGGCCCAGUAAGUAAUGUCUAAGUUUGGAGAUAGCCUCAGGGAUAGCAAAAAAUUCUCUAGAAUAAGCAGAUUGUUUCUGCAUUCGUGAUGAGAGUUUCUUAGAGAAGAAUGCAAUGGGGCGUCCUUCUUGACUUAGGACAGCUCCAAUGCCAUUUCCUGAUGCAUCAGUUUCCAAAAUGAAAGGCUUCGCAAAAUUAGGCAAAGCUAAUACAGGAGCCAUAGCAAUUGCCUGUUUUAAUGUUGUAAAAGCUACAGUAGCAGUGGGGUCCCAUGUAAAACUGUCUUUCUUAAGAAGAUUUGUGAGUACAGAAGCUGUGGAUCCAUAACCCUUUAUGAACCUUCUAUAAUAACCAGUAAGUCCCAAGAAGCACUUAAUUGUUUUGGAUUCUGAGGAACUGGCCAAUCAAUUACAGCUUGCACUUUGUCUUUAUCCAUAGCCCCACCUUCACCAGAAACAGUAUGGCCUAGAUAUUCAACUUGAGUUAAACCAAAUGCACAUUUAGACAGCUUAGCAAAUAGUUGGUUAUACCGCAACACUUGUAAAACUGAUUCUAGAUGUUGCAUUUGAGAAUUCCAAGUAGGACUAUAUACUAGUAUGUCAUCAAAGAAGACAAAGAACAUAUUUCUUCAAUAAACUCCUGAACACAUCAUUCAUCAAACUCUCAAAAGUUAAAGGGACAUUAAUGAACCCAAAGGACAUCACGAGCCACUCAUAAUGGCCUUGAUGAGUCAUAAAAGCAGUCUUGUAUCUGUCCUCCUUGUUCAUCAAAAUCUAAUGAAAGCCAGAUCUAAGAUCCAAUUUGGAGAAAAAUCUAGCGCCAUACAACUCAUCUAUCAAUUCAUCUACAGUAGGUAUAGGAAAACUAUCUUUGAUGGUGAUAGCAUUUAAAGCCCUAUAAUCAAUGCAAAACCUCCAUGUCCCAUCUUGGGUGCAAUAUCUACACAAUUUGGGUGUCCUUAAGUAAAUAUAUUAAAACAACAUGGGUGCAAUAUCUACACAAUUAAAUGAAAAAUAUGAUGAAAUUAUACUAAAAAAUCUCGCAAAUUCGUUUGUUUUAAUUUAUUUUUUCACUGAAUAAAGCAUUGAUCAGAAGAAUGGCUAAUGCAGUUACAUUAACAAAUACUGCAUCGUAGCAUGAUACGAAAAAAAAGGUUCUGUGUAGUGUGUACGUAGCUGUAUUGCUGCAUGAGGAAUAUAUGGUUUUUAUAGGCUAUGAUUCUAAACUCGUAUGCUUCAUUUUCUUUCCCUACCCUCCCAUGAAUCACAUUUGAACAUUUUCUAAACUCGUAUGAUUGAUUAAUUUUUUUUUAAUUAUGAAUUUUGUUGAAUUUUGGUUCUCAUUUAAUAUUAUUAAAGCUGAAGAAAAAAAUCAUUGAACAAGAAAAAAACCUAUAUAAAAUUGAUCAAUUAUAAAAAAAAAAUCUUAAAAAUAGAGUGGGAGAGAGGGAAAGUGUAUAGCUAUCAUUUGUCUAAAUUAGAAACGAAAGGAAUGAAUGACUGGGUCUCGUGCCUUUUUCCCCGAAGGUGAACAUGCCCUUUUCGGAGUACAAAUGAAGCCAUCAUUGUCCUUCACACGUGCCUAACCACAUAAUCUUCCGUUCUUUUUCAAAAUUAUAGGCUUUUGUAAACACAAAUAUAGAUGUAAUCUUUUAAUGAAUAUGUUAAGUCAAUCUUUCUUUGUAUGGUAUAAUAAAUAUUUAAAAUUAAUUUUGUGUUAAGGAAAUAAAUCAUGGGUUACCGAUAGGUGAUGAAAAGUACUAAAAUGAAGGAAAUAAAUCAUGGGCAAGAUCCUUGGUAAGAAGGAAUGGGACACUGAUAUAGAUCCAUGUUCAUGCAACAUCCCUGGUGUUCACACUAAGGUGGACACCGUAGAGAACACUGUCACUUGCAAUUGCUCUAUCCCCGGAGACAACUUCUGCCAUGUUGUUUCAAUGUAAGUUUCUUUACCGUUUGAGUGAUGUUCUUUUUUUUUUUUCCAACCACCGUAAUUAGAUUUUUUUUUUUCAUAUAAAUAUCCAGUUUCUUAGUUUUUUUUUUAAUAUUUACUUGUGUAUCUAUAUGUUGACAAUACAAUCAAAUUAAUAAAUAAAAUAUACUAAUUACUAAUUAUUAAAUUCUUUUAAUAUCAAAGCAUUCACACAAUUAUUUUUUGAACACUAAUCACUUUUAAAAUGUAUAUAUUAUCAUAUAUAAACUCGUCCUCAUAUUGAAUUAGGAUAGAUAUAAAGGAGAAUGUUAUUAAAUUUCAUUUUUUAAGAAUUUAUUAUAUUAGUGGUUUGAUUUGAUUUUAGACACCAAUCAAAAAUUGAACUGCAUCAAUCAAUUCUACUAUUAAAAUAUUCAAUAAAAUAAAUAAAUAAAUAAAUAAAUAAAUAAUUGAUUUGUUUCGAUAGAUAUAUUUUUGGAUUUUUUUUUGCAUGCUCUUUUAUUGGUUGAGUAAAGCAAAACAAAGUUUUGUAUUUGAGUUACAGGUUUGAAGACCUAUAUAUAAUUUUUUUUAGGUAAGGUAAAUAUAGGUUUUUCUACAAGCGUUUGAACCUUGAAGUUUGUCAUACUUUGUACUUGGACACCAUUCUCACUUAAAUUUUAUGUAAGAAAAGAAAAAGUUAGUUCCUCCAUAUAUUACUAGGUGACCAAGUUAUUAACUUAAUUAAUUUAGUUUAUGAUGUUGUUUUGCCUUUUAUUGCUUUAGCUGUUGAGGUAGAAGUAUUUAUAUAAAGUCCAAUGAUUUUAAUUUUUUAAAUUAUUUAUAUAAAGUCAUAAAAUUUCUACAACUUUAAAGUUGUGAUUAUUUUUUAAAAUUAAUUUUGAAUGACUUUAGAAUCGUUUUAAUUAUAAUUUUAUACUUUAUUAUUUAAUUCUUUUAAAAUUUAAAAUAAUUGUAAUGAAUAUUUUUAUAACUUAAAAAUUUAAAGUCAUUUAAAUAAUAAUUAUAAUUAAAAUAUUUUUUUAUAAUUUAAAACUUUAAUAUUGUUUUAAUAUAAUUUUAUAUUUCAUUGUUUAAUUUUUUAAAAUUAAAAAUAAAUAUAAUUAAUAUUUUUUUAUAACUUACAACUUUAAAGUCGUUCAAAUAAUAAUUAUAAUGAAAUUAUUAUUUUUAUAAUUUAUGACUUUAAAUUUGUUAUAUUAUCAUGUACGAUAACUCUUUGAUAUAAAUUUAUUUUUCUCUAGUUCUCGUUUCUUCUAACAUUCUUAUUUUAAUAUAUUUUUUAAUUAAUAUAAAAAAUGUAUUUACAAAAACAAUGAAUAUUUUUUUGUUUUUCUUUUAUAAUGUUAUAUUUCAUCUUAUAGUGUUUCUAACAUCCUAUUUUUCUUUCAUACUGUUGUGUACACUAAGUGUUUAAUGCAAGUUCAUUUUUCUCCUAUUUUAUUUAAUAUAUUUUAUAUUUUAUUUUGUAAAUAAAUAUUAUUUAUUAAAUUUAGAAACGAAAAGGAAUCUAAACAAUAUAAUUUAAUAAUCUACAAAUAAUUCAUUAUUCAUUUUAUCUAAUUAUUAUUGAUUAAGAAAAUAUUAAUUAAAAAUAAUAAUUAAUGGUUAAUAAUAAAAAUAAAAAUAAUUGGAUUAAACAUAUUAAUUAUAAAAUUCUUUAUUAAAUGAAUUUUAAGUAAAAAAAAUUUAAAAUUUUAUAUAAAUAAUCACAAAAAUAAAUAAAAAUAGUUAAAUUUUUUAAAACUUCACUAUUGACAAAAAUUCAAAGUCAUGAAUUUUUUUAUUAUUUCAUACCUAAAAAUAGUAAAAUAAUUUAUGACUUACCUCAUUUGAAAAUUAAUUAAAAAAUAUCCCCAUUUAAUAAAAUUCCAAAUGAAAUUACCCCUUUUGUUGGAAACCUCCAUUAAUAGCCUUUAAACCACCAUACAUAUAGCAAGCAACUAUGAAUUAAAAUUUAAUGAGUUAACUUCCCCGACUUGCAAAUCACACAUAAUUGGAAUAUCUAAUAAGUUGAUCGGUUGAAGCCUAAUCAAUUCUACUUGGAAGUGAUAUGGAGGAGUCAAGCCAUGGUCCCCCCAUUGAUUUGCUUCUUUGCUCUAUACUUUCUUCUGAGAAUGCAGAAGAGACAUGAGUUUGACUGUCUUGUGAUAGCAUCUCAAAGGCUUUAAAUCUUACAUCUUCUGCACUGUCACCGCGUUUAAUUAUUGGUGCUUGAAUUGGAGUUUUUCCCUCAAGCAUGCUCACUACUGAUGACAUACAUGGUCUAAGAGUGGGAGAAGGGUUGGUGCACAAGAGUGCUAACAGCAGCAUUCUCAUGGCCUCUUCUGAGGAGUACUUUGAACCAAGACUUGGAUCCACCAGCUCCAGAAGGUUUCCUUGCUCUUGGAGAACAUAGGCCUUCAAUGACAUGCAACAAAUAGUAUUAGAAAUUCAAGCAAACAAUAACAGGGAAACAAGAAAGGAAAGCACAAAAUAAGAAAAAAGAUAAGUAUAGCCCUACUUAUAUUUAAAGUAUCAAAUUAUCCUCAAUCCUUAUUAUAGUAGGAGAUGAAUGGCAUGAAGACUUGGAUAUAGAUGAAAAAGGCAAGAUACUUUGAAAAUAUUGAACUAGGUAAAUUUUGUGACGAUGACAGGAUAAUUUGUGUAUUAUGCACCCCAGAUGCUCCCACUUCAAUCUAUCGAAAACACAGAAGUGUAACUUACCCAAUCUAAAAGAUAUACAAACUCCUCCUUUGGCCUAUAAUUUGUGUUGCUCUUUCCACUAACAAUCUCUAAAGCUACAAUUCCAAAGCUAUAGACAUCUGCUUUGUCAGUCAAGUAACCCCUCAUAGCAUACUCAGGAGCCAUGUAACCACUGAUAAGAAAACAUUUAAUACCCUUGUGUCAGUGAUUUCACAAAUCAAUGAAAUGUGUAUUUUUUAAUUAUUUAAAUGAUUAUAAAUGCAAGCUAUAGAUAUAUCGUGGAUAACACUGCAAGCCUAUUAAUGAUGAACAAAGUCUAGGAUUCAAACAGGAAAUGCUGUGGCAUAGUACUAACAUUGUCCCAGCUAUUCUUGUGCUGAUAUGAGUAUUCUCUUCUUCAUCAAGUUUGGCUAAACCAAAGUCAGAGAUCUUGGCAUGCAGAUGUUUAUCAAGUAAGACAUUGGUUGCCUUAAUAUCCCUGUGCACUAUUUUCAACCUUGAUUCCUCAUGAAGAUAAGCUAAGCCCUUUGCUAUACCCAGACAAAUUUGCAUUCUUCUGGGCCAGUCCAAUUGCAUCCUCUCAUGUUCUUUACCUAGAAAAGGAAAACCUUUUCAGUUAGAUUUUAACUUGGUAGCGGCAUACACAGCCAAAGAUGUUCAUGAAGCAUUUACCAAAAAGUGCACGAGCAAGACUAUUGUUCUCCAUGUACUGAUAUACUAGCAGCAGCUGGUUUCCUUCAAUGCAGCAGCCAUAAAGUUUCACAAGGUUUGGAUGCUGCAAAGCAGAUAUCAUGCCUAUUUCAUUGAUGAAUUCACGAUUCCCUUGCUUUGAUUUGGAGGAGAGCUGCUUAACAGCAAUCACAGCACCAUCUGAUAGUACACCCUGUGAAUAGCAGUAUCUUUAGUACCAUGUUUUCAUUUUUAAAAAUAUUGGGGAUAAAAAGACUUAACCCCAAUGUUUCAAAACUUCAUACUGCUUAAGAUGAUUAUAAUCUAUCAAAUUUACCUUGAAUACUGGUCCAAAGCCUCCUUCACCUAUCUUAUUUGCUGGGUCAAAGUUAUUAGUAGCAGCUUUAAUUUGUCUUAAACUGAAAUAACCUGUUUUCAGACCUAGAAGUUCUGCAACAAGGUAGAUGUAGCUACUCAGAAAUAAAAUGUAUAAUUGAAAAGAAAGAGAGAUGAUAGAGAUACAGAAAGAGAGAAAUCAGAGAAUUGUUUUUGAGAAACCAAGUGUGCAUUUUCGGUUACCUUAAAAUUACCACAAUUUAGAUCUCUGCAAUAAAUUUCAAGUUGUUAUAUAAUCUACUAUUAAUAUUUAUAAAAAUAUUCAUGUCUAUUAGUAUAUUCCAAGAUUCUAAUAGAUGUAUAUGCAUCAUGCUUGACUGCAAACCAAUCUGAACUUUGUAAUAUCAAAAACCAAAUCAUAAGGGUUGUAACUGCCUGCUUAAUUUGGACUUCAAUCUUACCUUGGUCUGUUUGAUCUUUCUGACAAAGGAAACCCAUCUUCCAAAGAGCAAAGAGCAUCAAUAUGACAAUCACACAUGCCCCAGCAACAAUUCCAACAAUUGUUCCAGUAGAGAACCCAUGUGCAUAAACUUUAAAGUCUACAACAAAGUGGAAAUGCUUACAGAACAUGAAAGGACAAGGUAUUUGAAAGAGAGGACACCAAUAUUAUGAAAACUACUUACUUGGGGUCACAGUGAUAGCAGAUAUGAGAGGUCCAUAUACACCUAUUAUAGGAAUGGCAUUAGUUCCUUUUCCUGCCCAGGAUAAGUGGAUUUCCAAGGUGCUUUCUGUAACAUUAACAUUAAACUCCCUAGUGAUUCCCUUACCAACUCCACCAGCUUCUUUCGCAAUGUUAAAAUCUUUCAGAUAUUUAAAACCCUGUAAUUGUACAGUAAUGAAAAUAUGACCUUUAGAACUCGUGUUAUUGGAGAACCAGAUACAAAAUAUGAGUAAAAUUUUUGGAGAAACAAAAAAAAUGUAACAUUGUUUGCUUGAUUUACUCACUUGAAUUGAUACAUCGAAUACACGCUUUCCAAGGUUGCAAUAUGAUUGGUCAUCAGAGAAUGCUAUCUCAGCAAAAUGAAGUUUCACUUUAUAAUUGCCGUUCAGCAUACAAAGGCCAUAGUAAUUAAGAUACAGAGGAGCUAUGCGGGCUGUGUGGUAGUAAUCAGGGCCAUUAAUAUCCAAAGAAAGCUGAUUUGUUGCUAUAUAAUCAGCUUUUGCAUUUCCUAGAUAUACUCCAGUGCUGCUAUAAGCCCAUUUGCCACUAUUACCAGGAACAUAGUUUGAAAUGCCAAGUGGACUGAGGUCAGCUUCAUAUUCAUUGCCCUCAAACUUUGUUUCAGGUCCUCCACAGUUUAUGAACAGUGAAUGAACUGCAGAGAGACACAGUGAAAGUGAAUAAUUUAUCAAGAAAAAUGAAUAUGCUUAAUGAAAAGCAGGGAAAUAAAGAAAAACAAAAAAACAAAACUUGUUCCCAUACAUGUUACUUCUAAUUUCUAAAUUUCAAAAAACAAUAAUGGUUAUCUAAGUCUAGACACUCACACUGGGGUUUUCCUGAACAAGGUUGGCCCAUCUUCAAACAAGAUAUUCUACAAGAUAUAAAGAUAUAAUAUUAGUUUCAACUGAUGAUUCAUAUCUGAUAUUAUAGAACUAAAACUAGUCCACAAGAAGGAACAUACGAAGUGCUUGCUGUGCGAGAGAGGCUUGAAGCUAAGUUCCUGUUCAAUGAUAAUACCAUGCUUAGUAUUGACAUAGGUGAAAUGCUUAAAUAAUUUGUAUACAAAAAGAAGCUUACAGAUCCGGCCUUUGGCAAUUAUUUGCUGAAGUCUUUGUGAAAUUGUUCAAAGAUAAAUCACUGACAGAGAACAUAAGGUGAGAAUAAAUUUCAUAAUUUAAUGAGUGCUAACUAAAGACUAAGCAUAAGGAAAAGUAUAAGCUAAAUUUCGACCAAGUGCAUCUAAAGUAUGCAAUUAAAGGGGUCGAAAAAAUUCAAGGAGAUAUGCUUACAUUUGCUGUUUUAUGCUCAGUAUCCAAUCAGGAAUUGGUCCACUUAGAGAAUUGUUAGUCAGAAACCUGCAUCCAUCAUGAAUAUGUGUCUCAUUAUAUCAGAAAAAAAAUAAGUUGAGAAAAAGCAACCAACAUUCUUGAGAUCAAAUUAAUAUAAACAUUCACAUCCUGUCGGUUAAUCUUCUUGCUGGCAAAUGAAAAUACACACUUACAAGUAAUUUAGAUUUCCCAAAUCCUGAAAUGAAUCUGGGAUUGAACCUGUUAACAUGUUGGAGCUCAGAUCUCUGAAAGAGAAAAUAGGAAAUGACUAUGAUGUAGUAAUGGCACAUGCUACUUCCAAAUUCUAAGAACAAAAUGUAAUGGAGGUAAUUUCAAGUUUCCAAUCAUUUUUAACUUUUUUCUCUUUUUGCUGGCAUUUUGAAACACAAUAUUGCAGAUAAUAAUUUGCACAGAUGAUGCAUACUAAAAUUUAUAUCCACAUCCUUGGUAGUUAUAUUGUCAUUAUACUGGUAUAACUAAACAACAAAUCACAAUCACCUUAAAGGACAUGCCCCCAUUGAUUACACAAACAGAUGAAGAGUGUCCAAAAAUAAGUCUUGAAAAAUAUCUAACAAUAGUUGAUUACCAGAUGGGCAAAGAAGUGUUAAUCACAAAAUUAAUUGGAUUCAAAUUAUUUCCUAAAUCCUGAUCUUUAUAAUGUAGAAAUUCCAUACUCAUAAACUUUAUCUAAUGAAGAAUAGAGGGAGAAAAGGUGCUACCUAACAAUAUAGGUGCAAAAUUAAAAUAAACACAUACUGUAGAAAUGGAGAUGAUAAAAGGAUCAUAUUAUUACAGAGUGACUUCUAAAUCCUUAAUUGCGUCAUGAUCCAACUAAAAUUAGAAUGUGUUUUUGUAUACUAAAAUUAAAUAGAUAAUAAUGAGAUUGGUAAACAGGUAGAUAAAAAAACUAAAGAAUAUAUAGCUAGUUAUAUACUUUUGAUGCAACUUACAUGGUUUUCAAACUUUUUAUUUCUCCAAUGUAGUUUGGAAUGGGACCAGUUAUUAAGCAAUUCCUCAAUUCCCUGAGUAACAGAAAUAUGAUAGAAGCCUAAAUGAAUUAUAUAGUUCUUCGCGUAAGAGCAGUGAAGGUUUCAACUCACAGUCUUAGCAAAAGUUUCAAAUUCUUCAGAUUAGGAAAUGUCAUAGUUGGUCCCUUCAAAUCAGAUAUCCUCCUGAUAUAUAAAUGUGUCAUCAAUGAAAUGAAAAUGUUCCAUUAUAAGAGAUUGCAUUCCAUUACCACUGUAAAAUGCACACAAAAUGUAAUAAUUUGGAAUACUCUUAAAAGGACAAAGUGCUCACAAUUCUGUCAAAUUUGUCAAGUAAGAUAUGACAGAAGGAAUUGGGCCGUCCAAGGAUGUGCCCUGCAAAUCCCUACAAAAAGUUUUCUUAGAUAAUACAAUGCAAGUUAAUCAUGAUAUAACUUUAUUUUAUUCUUCAACUGAGAAAAGGUCAUGGAUGAACCAAAAUUUAGACUCACAAUCUAUCAAGUUUGGUCCAGUUCCCAAUAAAACUGGGUAUUUUCCCAGAUAAACUGCUCCCAUCUAUCCUACUGCAUGCAGAAAAUGUUGUGUUAUUUAACAAUUUAACAGACAGAAAAUCAAGACCAAGGGAAAAAAAUUGCAUCACAUUAAAUCACUUACAACUGAGUGAGAUUCUUUAGAUUUCCAUAUGUAUCUGGUAUUAUCCCUGUGAAAUUAUUUGCAGAAAGAAGUCUGUAGAUUCAUUUAGUUAAAGUGAAAAAAAAGGAGUUAGGGAUGUGUGGAGAAAACAGUAAGAAAUUGUAGAUAAUAUGGAGACAAAUUAAUGAUUUAAAUUGAUUAUGUAAAUCAAAUGAAAUUAAAAAAAUGAAACAAAUAGUCUCACAAUCUCAGCAAGUUGCUCAUUUUUCCAAGGCUCUGGGGAAGAGGUCCCUCAAGUUGAUUAUCUUCCAAAUUCCUGUAAACAUGGAUUACAAAUAUAAUUAUUCCACCUCCAGUUUUAAUCAAUUGGCAUCAUAGUUUUCUCAAACGCUUACAGUUCUUGCAGACUAGCCAUGUCACCAAUUUCUGAGGGAAUUGAACCAGUAAGUCGAUUUCCCAAAAGUGACCUGAAGCAUGUAGCAAUUGUACUGUGAGGAAUCAUGCAAACCCCAUUUAGGAUUUUUUUUAAUUAAAAUGCAAUGACAGUAUAAAAGAUUUUACACUAUCAUCCAAUUAUAGGUUGUUGGUAAGAUUAUUGACUUCUGUAAUAAGUAUUUUAAAACUAUAUCCUGGGCGAUUUCUAGUUGGUUGUCGGCUACGUAGAUCACACCACGCCAUUUGACUCUUAAAAACCAAAGCCUUAUUUAGGGUGAUUUCUAAUGGGUUAACAAUGUAAAAAAUUUUGCACUUACAAUUUAUGAAAACUAAACUCAAUUGCAAGAAGGAAAAAAAAAAGACAGUCGCAAAGGUUCUUAGUUAACAAAUGAAGAACAUGCCUCACAAAUAGAGCAAGCAAGAUGAAAACACACAGAUGCAUAGGUAAUGAUGACUUACAGAUUGACAACUGAUGAGAGGCGUCCAAGGCUUUUUGGAAUUGAGCCAUUGAAAUUAUUCCAAGUGAGAUCACUGCUCAGUAUAAAAGUUUCAGUUAGUUAUUUCAAAGUAGAUUCCUUUGCAUUUCAUGAAGUUAAUAAUGUUUUGACUUUCAUAAAAAAGAACUAGAAUGUAUACUACUAAUGACAAAAUAACACUACAAAUAUUGCAAUUCACCAUUCAUAUUUGUAUAACAGCAUGCAUGGUGGGGCUUUUCUCUACAAUCCAUAGUUUUUUUUAUCGGUUGAAAUCAAAGACAGUACCAGAAAGUUUAUAAUAACUCAUGUGUCCUAUUCAACCAAUUCAGCUAGACCUCAUUGGUUAGUUGAUUAGUGUUCAUAGUUUUAUUUUCUUAUUUGGUCGACUUUUUCAUUACUUCAUUAAUGGUUAGUUAUUAGUUAUAUUUUACCAUUUUUUUGGCAUUUAUUUAUUAAGAAAUUGGGUAUCAGUAAAUGCUUAACAUUGAUCCCACCUGAUUAGCAUACCCAAAAGGAUAGCAUAGUAACUCCCUCAUUUGUGACUACAACAGUUACGGACAUGGUUAAUCAAUAUUUUCUAUAACAGAGCAGCAUUUAUGAACAUACAACUAAAAAAGUAAGAGACAAAAAGAAUUUAUAACCACUUACAGUAUUUCUAGUCGAGUUAAAUUUCCAAAUUCAUCGGGUAUAGGUCCAGAUAUAUUGAGACCCUUGAGCGCACUGUCAGCCAAUGUGUUAAAUUAGAAUUCUCAAAUGAAUAUUCUUUUUAAAUUUAUUAAAUACGAAUGAAUGUAAAGUAACCAAAGGUGAUCAAUGGUCCAAGUCGUAUUGGGCUUGGUCCCCUUAAAUAAGAUUUCGGGUUCAAGUUUUAUGGAUAAAAAAAUAAAAAUUAUAAUUGAGAGAAAAGACUCUACUAAAGGUGAUCAAUGUUCCCUCAAGAAGAUUAUUCAUUAAAAAAACUGGUGAUACUCCACAUCUAUAUUAUCAUCUCAAAAAAAAAAAAAAAAGUAACCAAAGGUAACAUCUUUCACAUGUUAGUUUCAUUAUGCCUUAAAAAAAACAUAUUAGUUUCAUUAUAAUUUUUUUUUUCACGAACUCACACUAUUGCCUAUUGGUGUCAAUAACAAAUUGUCUAAGUUGCACAAAAUCCAACUGUAGAAGACACUAGUAAGGGGGGUUUGAAAAAAAGCUUACAUUGAUGUCACAUGGCAAGUAGUGUUAUUGUUGAAAGAGCAAUCACACGUGACAUUCCUUAUGAUUUGAGACUUAUCCCUUGAAAUGUUCCUGUUAUCAAAUCCUCUAUCCCCGUUGCAAGAAUGUUGUGUAACUUUCCAAUUCAGGUUCUCUACCUUGUCUGAUAUUGCUUGUAGCAAUUUCACUGCAACAUAUAGAAGGCAAAUAAAUUAAUUAGUUUUAUUCUCAGGCUACAUGCAUCUUAUAUUUCUGGUAUUAAGAUCUAUAAUCUUUUCAAAAGAAGAACUGUAAAAUAAUACUAUGUCAAUUUAGGUAAAUUCUAGAUUGUGACCUACUCAUAUUUUAACAAGCACAAGCUUUAGCAAAACUCUUGUGGUCAAAAGCUUUCAUUAGCAAACAUAUGCAUAAGCCCAUUGCAACUCUAGUCAAUAGCCUCAACAAUUUGAGCACGAUGCUAUCUUUAUAUCCAUUAAUUUGACUAAGUCAAACAAGGCGGGCAAUAAAUAUAAGAAAAAAUUGAACUUUGCAUACAUGCAAAGCUAAUCUUUUUCCUAAUUUUUUAUUGUCAACACUUGUCAUAUGAACCCCAUGCAGCAUCCAUCUAGUCCUAUUAGAGUAGUAUCAUUAUAACAAACCGUCAAUAAUAAGUAAAACAUGAUCAUCGUACCGUCCACAAUAAAGAUAACUAAACCUUAAGCUGGAGAAAUCGAUAUGGUUUUAGGGGUACAAAUCAUAUGACUAAUCAUUACAUUGACAAUUAUGCCAUGUUUAUCCUAAAAUAAAGAACUAUUAGAACGUGUUGGCACACAAUUUGACUCACCUAUCUAUUUAUCAAAAUCCAUCUAUCACAUUUUUUUUUAACUUUCUGUUUGUCUCCUUUAAUUUACUUUCUUCUGUUGCAGCCUUGAUUUUUAUGAGCCAAAUAUUUAGUUCAUUUUACUCUCUUUCGCAUCUAAAAUGUGAAUAGGAUUGGAAAAAUUAAGGGAUAUUUGAUUUGGUUGUCUUUUGUUUUUAUUUUCACUAGAAAUAAAAAUGGUGAUGAAAAUGUAUUUGGUUGAAUUUUUAAAAACAUUUUUAGUGAAAAUAUUUUUCUAAACGAACCAAAAAUUAAAAACAAAAAAAAAUCUUAUUUUCAAUUGAAACCAAUAAUCUUAUUUUAGUAAAAUGAAAAUACGAUGACAAAAAAUGUAAUUUUAAAUAAAUCUAAAAAAUAUUUUCUUUUGAAAACAUAUUUUUAAUAUUUUUAUCUCUCGAAAGAAAAAAUAAAAAAUCAAACCAAAUAUAUUUUUAAAAUUUUAAUCUUUUAAAAAUAUAAACAGUUUUUAGAAAAUAAAAAUACAACCUAAAGAUACCCUAAUAAUGGAGCAGGUGGGUAGAAAUGACAUUUCCCUAUUAAUUGUUGGCGUGCUGGUGACUAGUAAGGCACCGAAACUUCUCUCAUACCGAAAUAGUGAUAAAAGUAAAAUUAAAAUCAUGUCUUUGUAAAACUAUCAGGAUCCGUCCAAGAGUUAGUGAGACGUAAGGUGAAUUUUAAGAUUUUUUUUCCUUCAAAUGAGAGAGAUAUAUUAGUUUUUUUUGUGAAAAUAUGUGGGUUUUUUUUAUCAAUGUGAUUUAUUUUGUUUCAUAAAAGCUAAUAAAUUUUGUAUGGACCUAAAGCUUAAGCGAUCCUUACUGCUGCUUACACCAAAAGGGCAAAAAUCUAAAAAAGGAACGUAUACGAUCAGCCACACUGUCUUUCUGACAUCUAGACAACUAUCACAUGGCCUUUAUAUUACCAAUUUGCCCUCACUUUAUUUAACAAAUUUUCAUCCUCGUGACUUGCUCCACAGCUGUAAAUUGUAAUAUGUGGUGAACAUAUUUCAGUCAUAAAUUACUAAUGUCUUAUGUCAACUACAUAUGAUUUCCUGAAGAUGGAUACAAUUACAGAUAUUAUAAAUGCUAAUAAAUGAUGUGAUAAUGAUUAAAGAAUAAAAUAAAAUACUUAGUGAAAAAUAUUUAUUCAAAAGUCCUGUAAGGCAAUUACAAAAAACGGUCUUCUUAAUAAUAAAAUAAAUAUAGAAUACAAACUAUAAAUAUCUUAUGUCUCAUAUGCAUGAUUCAUGUCUUGAGUUGGCUACAAUAAUAAAUAUUACAAUACUAAUCAAUGAUGCGACAUUGGUUAAAGGAAUAAAAAUCAAAUACACUUGGUAAAAAAGAUGUAUGACUUAGAGAAUUAUUAUCUCUAAACUUUUGAUCAUAGAGCACUACAAAAGCUUCAACUCCUAUGAAGGAACUUGUUAGAGACCUUACACCUAUGACAAUUAAUCCUAGGUGUACAUAUCUUUUAUUUGUAUUAAGGAGUUGUCGUCCUGUUUAUUCUGAGAUUAAUCUGAUAAUCUCAUGUCUUCUGUUAGGAAGAUGAAAAUCAUUAAUCCUUCUAUAUCUGUAUAAGCUAAUUCUAUCUGAGGUCAGUCAAUUUAGGUUAUAUAAUUGUCUAGGAUUAAGAGAGUCUAUCCUAGAAUUUGAUCCAAUAUCAACAUUGGAUUCUAUAUCUAUUAUUUGUUCCAGUUGUCUGGUUCGAGAAUUUGUCCUAAAGAAUCUAUCUAGGAUUCUAGGAUGUUGAUUUAUAGAUUCAUUAACAGGAUUGUGUCCUGAGACUGUUUGUGAGGUUCCGGUAAAUGGUAUUGUCCUCAUUUUCUAGGCUUUGCUAAAACGAAUUUAGUCGAAGUUUGGCUUGUUGUUUUUCCAAGAUAAUUUUAGAAAGCUGUGUUGUAAUUUUGUUGAGUUUGUUUGUAGAUAAGCGAAUUUGUUAGUCUUUAGUUUUAAGAGUAUUCAAAAUAUCGUUAAUUUUAUUUUCUAAUGUUUUUAUUUUGUUAAACAAUAAAUUUUGUAUUUUUGUUAAGUUGUCUAAGGUUUCAGAUAAAUCUUCAAAAGAUUUUAUCGAAAGUUUGUUAUCAGAGUUAUUAUUAUUAAUUAUAUCGUAAUGUCUAUCCAGAGCUAAUGUAAAGGCUCUCAUACCAAAGAGGUAUCGAGAAGCCUAUAUAAACGGUGACAGAAUAUGAAAUAAAUAGUAAGAAUAAUAUAAAUAAGCAAAGGGGGCAAUGCCUCCUAGUUAGAUUUAAAUAAGAGGUACCGAAAAGUCUAUAUAAACGGUGAAAGAAUAUAAAAUGAAUAGUAAGAAUAAUAUAAAUCAGCAAAGGUGGCAGUGCCUCCUAGUUAGAUUUAUAUUAUAUUAAAACAAGUAAAUAAAUGUACAGUUAAGAGUAAUCAAUAACAGUUAAUAGUAAGCGGUUAAAAGUAAGCGAUAUGCAGAAGAAAAAGAUCAAAUUAGAUGGAUAGAGGGUACUUCUCAAGUGAACACGGUAAGUUAUCUUAUUUUAGAAAAAUAUAGAAUAUGAUGAACCCAAAAUCUCUUUUUUUUUUUUUUGAAGAACAAAUAUACAAGAUCCUUAUCGAUUUUCUGGAUAUUAUGCCGAACACUUAAGAUUUUUACUAGCCCACACUUCUCUGGGUCUUACGUUGAUCUUAUUUUCCUCCAAGCACCAGCCUAACCAAAGAGGACUUUUAUCGUUUUUCAAAAACAGCUAUCAAGGGCACACCUGUGUAGGCUUACCAAUCCCAGGUUUUCGAAAUUGUAAAAAACGAUCUUUCCAAUAAUAAAAUAAAUAUAAAAUACAAGCUAUAAAUAUCUUAUAUCUUAGAUGUACGAUUCAUGCCUUGGGUUGGCUACAAUAACAGAUAUUACAAUACUAAUCAAUGCUGCGACAUUGAUUAAAGAAAUAAAAAUCAAAUACACUUAGUAAAAAAUAUGUAUUCUGAAUUCUUAUUAUGACUAGUUACCAGCAUGACUCAUUUAUUAAAAAUACAAUUGCAACCAAGGGUGGGUCUCACCAAUAAUAAAAUAAAAAGAAUAUGGGCCCCCUUUGUUCUCUAGAGACGAGGCUACCUUACAUCACACAUGGUAUAGCAAAGAGCAAUUGUGUGAUUUCAUUAGUUCACAAAAACACUCCAAAAUCAUGAAAUGUCACACCAACAACAAAAGAAAUCCAGAAUUUAUAUACAAAUCCCUUGUUUCAAUUAGAAGAUAGAAAAAUCUAAGUCCCUUGCUUCAAUUAAAAAAAACUCAAGUUCCACAUUGACUAGAGAUAAUGUUAAGAUAGAACAUAUAAAGUGAGAACAACCUUCACUAUAUAAGCUAGCUUUUUGGGUUGAGUUAGACCCAGAUUUUUUCUUGGUAUCAAGGGUCUAUUCUAGAUCCAUUCAAAAGGACCACGCACCAAAUCCAAAGAGUGUUGGGCUUGAGGGGAUGAAUUAGAAAACCCAAGUCCCACAUUGACUAAAGAUAGUGUCAAGAUAGAACAUAUAAGGUGAGAGCAACCCUAACUCUAUGAUAGAAAGAAAAUAAGUAGAAGAGAAAACAAGAAUAAUUAGUCUUAGUUCAAUAAAAAAAUAGUUUGAGGUAUAGAUAAAAAAAAUUCAAAAUUUUCUUUCAUUUUAUUCUCUCUUCCAAUCACCGGGAACCAAAAUAAUCCCAAGAAAAUUUUUAAAAAAAUAGAAAAUUAUUUAUUUAUUUUUAUUUUUGACCAAGUUAGAUGCAGAACUUCUUAAAAAAACUAAUUAAAUGUAAACGGAAGAAGCAGGGAACAAAAAAAAAACGACAUUGGCGAUUUCCUUAUGGAUCUUGUGACAGAAGCAACAAUGCAAGUUGAAGAACUAAAUUCUGGAAGAUGGGUUUGCACUAAAACGGAUAAAGUUGAAACUUUGUGAAGUUGGUGUUAAAAGCAAAAAGACAGUUUCAGUUUAUAGUUUCGGAAGUUACAAAAGUGAAAUUUCCAACACAGAGACAUAAUUAACACAUAAAAAACCCAUAAGAUAAAAAUAUAUAAAAUGGAAAAUAAUUAAGUACCUUCAUCUUGUGGUAAGAGUUGAGCGUUGGAUCCAAAGUGUAGGGAAGCCAGGAACAAAAAAAUGAAGCACUUAGACACACGUUUGGAGCUUGAAGACAUCACAAACCGCAUCAUGGUCCUGCUGUGUGUCGGUAUCAGAAAGUUUCAGAAUGGAGUAGCAAAAAGAGAGAAGAGAGUUGCUAAAGAUUAUUUUUGUUUGAGGGAAAGAAUAUCUGACGUAUGAGAAUCUAGGGAUGUUUUUGCUUGAACAUUAAAUACAGUCAGAAAGGCCAAGAGGAGAAUUUAAAAGAGGAUCUCACAUAAGACAUUAUUUAUUUGAAUUUAUUACACAAAUAUUAUAUAUAUAAUAAGUUGUUGAUUUUCAUAAUAAACAUCUGUAAAGUAAUUUUUAAUUGAUCAUUGAUAAUAUAAAAAAUACCAAUAAUAUAUGUCAAGGGAUCUAAUUCAUUAGUUGAGAAAAUACAUUAGUUAUGUUGUUUUUAAUUCUUAUAAGAUCAAAUUUUAGGUUUGAAUAUUUUUUCUUAUUUUUUAUAUAAUCUUCUUACAUAAUUAGAAGAGAAAUGAAAUAAAAAAGACAUAAAAUAAAUUAUGAAAUAAUGUUACAAAGACAGGAGAAGUAAAGCGAGAAGUAAAGAAUUAAGUAUUGUAAACUAUAUUGAAGUAAAAAAUGUCACAUAAUUAUUACAGUUAUAUAUAUAUAUAUAUAUAUAUAUAUAUAUAUAUAUAUAUAUAUAUAUAUAUAUAUAUACACUCUACUUUUUAGUUGGAGUGUGCAUUAAUAUCCUACACAAAAAAAAAAAAAAAUUGUUGACAAAGAAACCACUCAUAAUUAAAUAUUAACAAUGAACAAAGUUGUUUUUAUAGAAAAAUGAUAGGAAUAAAUAUCAACUUUAAAAGGAUCAAUAUUUAUUUAUUUAUUUUAUUCCUAUAUGAAUUAAUGACAAUUUCAGUAAAUAUGCUUUCUAUAUAUUAAUAUUGUUAUACUUUAUGAGAAAUAAAAAAGAAUAAAUUAUAAUGGUCCAGAGUUCAAGUCAUCGCUUGACUUGACUUCCCCGUCUGAGUAAUGUUAUUAAAAUAAUGGUCCUGUUAAAGUCAUCGCUUGACUUGACUUCCCCGUUUGCGAACGGCGUGUGCCUUACUAAUUUUCAUUCGUUUACAUUUAGCAGAGUUUGAUUCAUGGAUUAAAAGUUUAUUUUUGAGAUGUAUACAUCAAAAUGUGGUGCAUAUAGCAUACACUGAAGGAGCAUGGUGAUUCGAUCUGGAAUAUAGCUGAUCAAGGGUGGAUGCUCAAAGUGAAUGAUGUGAUCGUGGCAGUUGGUAUCUGUUAUGCUGGAUUUGGAAGCCACAUAUAUAUAAUAAGUGGCUACAGAGGGAGGGAUCUUAAUGCAUUUUUUUGGUUAUACAGUGUUACUGUAUAGUUUAUCAGUAAACAAUAUAUAGGGAGUGACUGUGGCAUUGCCCUAGUUUUUGCCCUAUGUUUGUAUAUGGGUUUGGAUAUCCUUUGUACGCAUUUUCAUCAAAAUAUGGGCUGGAUAAUAUGUCCCACCUAUUUUAAGUUCUUUAAGGAGUUGUACGUAAUUGGAGUAAUUAAAAAUUUACUAAAGUUUUUAGAUCGGAGUUCUACCACAUAAUAAGAUCCCAAUAUAAGUGAGUGAAAAACUUCUUCCCUGAUAUCUAGAUUGGAGAUGCUCUUAGACAUUUGACACCACUUAGAAACGUGUGGAUGACUUUGAUUAAUUUUUCUUUUUUUUACAACUAGAAAAAUUAAAUGAAUUAUAUCAUAAAGGUUCACCGAGAUUUGGAUACACUUAAUUGAUUAAUUUCUUUUAGUCCUAUAUACAAUGUGCCAAAUUUGUCCUAACUCCUAAGUAACAUAAAAAUAUCUUGGGUGUGCAAUAACUACAGAAAUAAAAGAAAAAUUAGGAUGAAAUUAUACUAAAAAAGUAUUGUAAAUUUUCUUAUUUUGUUUUUUUUGGCAGAAUAAAGCAUGAGAAGAAUGGCCAAUACAAUAGUUACCUUAGCAAAUACUGCAUCUUAGCAUGAUAUAGAGAAAGGCUCGUGAGUAGCUGCAUGCCUACGCACACGGGCCAUGAUUCUUAAGCUAGUUGCAUCCUUCAUUUUCUUUCCCCACCCUCCCAUUAAUCACAUUAUUUUGAAAAUAACAGUAAUAGGCAUGUGCUGUAAUAAUAGGUUCAUUCCUUGUAACUUCUAUUUCUGUUCAAUUCUAAAAAAAAGGAUUUUUUUUUUAUGGGGACAACAAACUGUCAUAUACGAUAAGAAACCAUGGAAAAUGAAGACAACUUAAAAAGAAAAAGACGAAGAAAAUUAAUGAGAGGGAUCCUCACAUUAAAGGUUGGCUGCCAAAGAAAAAAUCAAAACAAUGAGAAAUCAAAACCAGCCACGCCGUUGAUUUCUUUUGUUCUAAUACCUAUUGGAUGGUUUUGAUUUCUUUUGGCGUUGAGGGAACACCAUUUGAAAAUUGUAACAAUAAUAUUCAAUGCACGUAACGUGUCCUUAAGUAAAUAUAUUAAAACAACUUGGGUGCAAUUUCUACACAAUUAAAUGAAAAAUAUGAUGAAAUUAUACUAAAAAACUCUCGCAAAUUCGUUUGUUUUAAUUUAUAUUUUCACUGAAUAAAGCAUUGAUCAGAAGAAUGGCUAAUGCAUUUACAUUAUCAAAUACUGCAUCGUAGCAUGAUACGAAAAAAAAGGUUCUGUGUAGUGUGUACGUAGCUGUAUUGCUGCAUGAGGAAUAUAUGGUUUUUAUAGGCUAUGAUUCUAAACUCGUAUGCUUCAUUUUCUUUCCCUACCCUCCCAUGAAUCACAUUUGAACAUUGUAAUCGGCAUGUGUUGUAACAAUAGUUUAUGACAAAUCGAAAAAAUUAUUGGUUGAGUUACGAAUAAUGUCGCUUUCUUUAAGACGUUUCGUGACACUGCCAAAAAAUUGUGCAAACAGACUAUCAACUAAGACGUCCCCAGGAUAAAAUAACCCAGAUUAUUGUAUAAGAUUCCACUGCACUGAGGGAAUCUUUUCUAGAAUUAUACCCUCUUGUAUGACUUGAAAAGUAACUCUAAAGUCAACCGAAAAAUAUGACUUCAAAAGUCACUCUAAUAGUCAACCGAAAAGUAUGACUUGAAAAGUCACUAUUAUAGUCAACCGAAAAUAUGACUUAAAAAGUCACUCUUAUAUCCAACCGAAAUUAAGACUUAAAAAGUCGAAAAUAUGACUUAAAAAGUCACUCUUAUAACCCACCGAAAUUAUGACUUAAAAAGUCACUAACUUAAAAAGUCACUAUGCAUCGGCUGAAAUAUGAGAGGGAGAAAGAAAAAUUGAGGAAAUGCUUUUCAGGGCAAGAAAAAAAGAAGAAAGGAACUUUGUAUAUAUAAGGAGUGAAACACUAUUCAAGUAUUUAUCGUGAGCGAUAUGAGAAUUGAAAUUUUUUCUUUUUCAAACUUUCAUUCACAUUUUCCUUUGUUCUAACAGCAUGCACGGUACGGCUGUAGUAAAAGGUUUAUUCCUUGUAACUUCUGUUUUUGUUAUUAAAAAAUAUAUAUUAGCAACAACCAUAGUGAAAGAAGUUCGUGGAAAUAACAACUGCUACAUACAAUUAGAAAAUAAGGAAAGUGAAAUGAAAAAGCUUUAAGAAAGAAAAAGUUGACUAAAAUUAGAGGGACCUGCACAUUAAACUAAGGUUGUUAGCCAAAGAAAAAUCAAAACAAGGAAAAAUCAUAGAAAAAACCUAAUGAACCCGCGGAAGCUCAAUUAUGUAUCGUUGGUGGUAAAUUGUUCCAACUAUAUAAACUUGGAAAUAUUUUAUAAUAUAACUUUUUUAGAGACUACUAUUUUCAUCUUUUAAUAAAAAAGAGUAUAUACACUCUAUAACGUUUAGGAUUUGAAUAGGUUUUUAUAUAUAAAAAAAAGUUGACUAAGCCAACUUUGAGAAUACUCAGCAGUAUUCCUCGCAGGGACGGAUCCAGAAUGAAAUAACCGAGGGACCAAUUAUAAAAACCAAAGUUUAGUUAAAUAUUUGAGGGAUCAAUUAUAAAAGUCAAAGUUUACAUACUUUAUCAAAAAUUCAAGUACGAGAUACUCGAGUUCUUUUUAAAGUAUAAUAAUGAACCGUACUUAUUAUUAUUAUUAUUAUGUACCCCUUCAUCCUUAUUUAUAAGAAAAAGUUUAUUAAAUUAUACUUAUUAAGAAAAUUAAUUAAUUUAGAUAUUAAUAUUAAAUUUAUCUUUAGAUAUAAUAUUUUUUAAAUUUUAUCCUUAAUAUUGAUAAGAGUUUAUUCAAAAUUUUCAAUCUUCCGAUAGAAAAAUGAUAAUUCAAAAUACUAUUCAUUUAAUUAUAAUUUAAAUUAAUAAAGAUAUUUUAGUAAAAAAAGAAUUAAUACAUAAAGGAGAUGAGAUGAAAUCUUAUAAUAAAGUAAAAAAAUUGAUGAUUAUCAGAACCUAAAAUAUAUUUAAAUUGUGAAAGAUAAUUUUUUUUUAUGUCUCUCAAAGUUGAGGUUGUCAACCUGUUAUAAAAUAUUUGUAGGUUUAUCUCAAAGAUAAUUUUUUUCCUUUUUCCUUGUUAAAUCUUUCUUCUAAAUUUUGCCACCUUGCUAGUCUCAUACAUUGGUUUUCUUGCUUUCGGAAAAGUCUUUGGCUGGCUAGUUUAUUUUUAACUAUUGUACUUUCUCCGUUCACUCUCACCAAAUAAAAAUCAUCCAUGCGAAUUAAAUGCCACGGAAAAGACAUUAAUUAGCCGACAAGAUUGACAAUAUUGUUUAGGUCUAUCGUAACUAUUUUUUUAAAGUAUAAUGUUAGUAAUUUUCUUUUUCUUUUUACACUCUUUUAAAUAUUUUUUAUGAUGGAUUAAAAUUGAUUAAAAAUAAAUAAUUUCUAAUAAAUUUAAGAAAAAUAAAUAUUAACUGAAAAAUAAAAUCUAUUAAAAUUUUUAAUUUUUAAAUAAAUUAUAAUCAAUCACUAAGAAAAUAUUAAAAAAAGAGUAUGUACUUUUUUUGUG
This 94436-nucleotide long non-coding RNA is filed under the name Glycine max (soybean). RNAcentral's name for it is "long non-coding RNA (GMAX_LNC002752)". The stretch from base 66412 to 66485 matches the Rfam family "tRNA". The record is from RNAcentral. Lineage: Eukaryota; Viridiplantae; Streptophyta; Magnoliopsida; Fabales; Fabaceae.